CCAUGGUCGACAAGGCAUGCAGCACUGAGGCAACCAGCGUCACCUUCAUCGAGCGCUUGUUCACGGAGCUCGCCGAGGUCGGGGAAAAGAAGGAGGAAGUGUUUAAUCUAGAAACUUCUGGAGGGCAGGAUGCCCUGAAAGAAUCCGUCGACAAGCAUGGUGGCUGCCCAGGCGACAAGACUGUCAAGGACUAUUCUACCCAAUGUGGCGCCGACUGCGACAAGGCAUGCAUGGAUCCUACUUGCACCGACCACUGCUACGUCGACUGCCCAUACAUGGCUGCGAGAUUUGGUUACAUCAUGGCCACCCCCGCCAAUAAGAAAGCCAUAGAGCAAGACAUGGAUUGCUUCAAGCAUUGCGCAAAGGAAAAGGAUAGCUCAGAUAACAAGUGUCGCGAUACAUGCAAGCUGAUUUCUUCUACCCCUACACCCGCCCCGGCCAAAGCCGCUUGAAAAUGCAUCUAUUUAUUCCUUCUUUUGGCGAAUUGAAAAUGCUUCUAUUCUAUCAUCGUAAUUUAUUCAUGUUCCGCAUGUAUUCAUCUUUUUGUUUUGUUUUGCCUAUUCUAAAUCAAUAAAUAAAAGCACGGUACUCGGAAUAAUUUUCUCUGUAAGUCUCAAAUGUCAUGUUUGAAUGGCACUAGAACAUCGCCUCGCAUAAUAAAAUUAGAGGAUUUGUAACUUCCCAUUACCCUAUAAAUAUAGGGUAAUGUCUUACACGGUUUAUAUUUGGUAAAAUGGUGAUGAGAUAAAUCCAAAUAAUGUGUUGGCAACCCAGUGCACUAGUUCACUCAAUCAACCUCAAAUUACAACCUUAGGUGGUUGGAUCAAGGAACUAGAGAAUAUGGGGAUCCUAGGGAAGGAACUAGAAGAGGAGGAAUAAGAAUUGUAGCCAGUCGGAUAAGUCAACCAAGAAGAGGAAGACACCUUCAAGUGUUGUUGUAUAUCGCUCAAUACGAGUGCUAACGCCAGAUCGACCAUUAAUGGUAUUAGGGUAUCGUCAUAGCUAUCAGUUAAUCAUCUGGCAAACGAUCACAUACUCUUUUUUCACACCUAUUUCUUCUUAGUCUAGUUUUUACCUACUUUUUCUAUCGAGGUCGGUUUUUAAGUCAAAACAAUGUCGUGGAAUUCAAAUAAAUGUUCUUGGAUCCAAAUAAAUGGUUAUGAAUUCAAAAAAGUGCAUGAAUUCAAAAAUGUUGGUUAAUUCAGAAAAAUGUGCAUGAAUUCAUGAAAAUGUUCACCCGUUUGAAAUAAGAACAUUAACUCAAAAAUUAUUUAUAAAUAAAAAAAUUGUUCUUAGACUCUAGUUAUUUUUGAAAAUUGCAAACAAUAUUUAUUAAAUGUUCACUUUCUUGUAAUUUCUAAACGUUAUUCAAUUUUUUUGAAACAUGUGUGCUUCCUGGAAAAGGACAAAAACAAUGCUUCCAAGGGAAGCAAUGAUUUGUUUUUGCAAGAAACACAACUAUUUUUUAAAAGGAAAAAAUAGUGCUUGCACAAGAAACACUAUUUGCCUCUUGUGGAAGCACUUAAUUCUUUUGUUUCUUCAAAAAAUGAAAAAACAUGCUUCCAUGAAAAGCACAAUUUUAUUUCUCGCGGAAGCACAUAUUUGCAUGCACGAGAAUCACAACUCGCUAUAAAAUAUGUGAUUCUCGAAAAGAGAAAAAAAACUGGAGUGAAUAUCGUACGAAAAUGUUUACAAAAUUUGAAAAACACAAUCGUGCAUUUUGCUAAAUUUGAAACUGCUCUUGAACCAUAAGGAAAUAGAAAGUGUGUUCUACAUGAAAAAGUUGCGCCUCGAUGAUAUCUUUCUAGAACUGUAUCAUUUGCUUCAGUCCGGCGCAGAGGUUUAGAAAAAACACAAAAAUACGCUCGCUGCCAGUCGUUGGGUGCCCAAGAUGUUUUAAAGUGCACUUAACCCGUUAGGAAUCUCGAAAAGUGUUCAACAUGGCGAAGUUGCGGAUUUUCUAUAGCUAUCCAACGAUACAAUGAACCAAUAUGCAUGUCACUAUUUGUAUAGAAAAUGAAAUUCAUUUAUGAAACAACCGUAAAAUUAUCUCUGAUGAAGAAUUACUUAUUCUGCACUCUCGAUGAUGAAUAGUAUUACUAUAUAUAUUUGACCUACAAGAGUUGGUUAUGUACUUAUAUCUACUUUUUAAAUAGUAUUAUUUUAGAACUUCUUUUAUUUACAGUUAAUUUAGUUUAUUGGCUGGCUGUAUAGUUUAUUGCACAUAUCUAUUAUUUUUAUUUAUAAAGUGAUUUCUAAAUAUCUGCAAAUCUUAAAGGCAACUAACAGUCUUUUCCUCCUUACCUUUACUCUUUAGAGUCAUGCCAUAAUUGUAAUACAUAUCAUACUUUUAUAUCGCUAUAUUCCUUGCAACAUAUAAAAUGACGCUUUUCUACUUUAGAGCUCUUUGUUAGCAUCCCCUUUUACUUAUAUGUUUCUGGAGCAUGCUCAGCUAUGCUAAAUCAUCAUAUUUGUUGGUGUGCAACCAUGUUUUCAUCAACAAGUUCGAGGGCGAGGAUAUACGCUUCUGGAUUCUCGUGGAGAUCCUUGAACUUCUUAUGAAUGUACCCAAGGAAAGGUCAUUACUUCGAAGGCAUCAUUGGUUUUCCCUAAACCAUAUCGUUCUCCUCACAUGCGAUGACGAGUGACUUACCUAUGUCUGACAUAUGUAUUAUUAAAUUCAAAGUGCCGAGGAGUCAUUCAGAUUUGCUUAUUACUCCCUCCUUCCCAAAAUUCUUGUCUUAGAUUUGUCUAGAAAAUUCAUAUCUAGACAAAUCUAAGACAAGAAUUUUGGGACGGAGGGAGUACUUACCACGAGAUGCAUACGAGGAGAUGUUGUGUUCUUAAAACUGAGUCACUAAUCAGAUGUGUCAUAAUAAUAUUAUUCACGGCGGCCGUGGAGGUAAUUUUCAAUUCUCAACAUUAUUAUUCUAAAAACCAAGGUUAUGAAACAACAUAGAAAACUUAAUACAUUAGUGUUUAGCUGGAUACAAUCCUAAAAAAGGACAAUUUUGCACUGGAAACAACUUGAUAAGUAUGAGGUUUUUUGGCACAACCAUUGAACAACAGACUCACAAAUUUAUAUUUCCAAUAGCUUCUAUUUUUAGAUUCAGGUUACAUGCAUGACAUGUUUUAGAGUAGGAUCUUCUUUCCAUUCUACUUGAACUAUUUUUUUCUAUGUUGACAUGUGAGAGGUGAGUUGAUUUUAGUUUAUGUGUAUGCUUUCGAAUUUUGUCACAUGCUGAGGGUUUACAUUACCGACACUAGAUAAGUAGCUAGCACAUAUUCCUUAUUUUGGGUGUUUUAGGUCCCAACCAACGCCAAUAGGAGGAAUGUUGUGGCGAUAGUUUUUUAGAAAAUAAUUUCCAAAAAACAGGUCUUUGUGUUAACCAGCCCCAAGACUACAGUUAGUUGGUAGACAGUCACUUGAUAUAGAAUAUCCAAGCAAAAUACAAAAUCUGGUUUACAAUACCAUAAAGGUCUACUAGUUUGGACAAAAGUCUAAGGUUGACUGUGGAAGCGACUCGAGGAAUCUCUAGUGUCCAUGGGACUCCAUUCCCAAAGGAACAACUGACCUGGAUAAAUUCUUACCUCACAAGGCUGCUAUCCUGGACUCCUAGGUUCCGGGGUCGACAACAUCAUGCUCCUCUCCAUGCAAUCUGGCUAGGACAAUAACCAGGGACAAGCCAAUGAGUACUUUGAAUGUACUCGCAAACAUCAAGAAAACUGAUAAGUUAAAGCAGGUGAGAUGCAUGCAUGGUCCACUAAAAUAACUCUAUCAUGCCAUAAGAAUUUAUUCACGGAUGCAUUCGUGCAUAUAAACUUCCUCCACCAAUGUUAUAUAAACAAGCAAGGAAGGAUAACAAUGAACAAGUAAUUGCAUGUGUGUCGCAGUCGGGCGUCAGAGCGACAACGCCUAAAGGAUUCACAUGCAAGUAAUAACAGUUGCCAGAGUCGGGCGUCUCAGCGACGCCACACAAAGUGCUUGUAUGAAAGAAAUAGUAGUUGCCACACUCGAGCGUCUGAGCAACACCACAGAAAGGGCUUAUAAGAAAUAAUACGAGUAUGCCACACUCGAGCGUCUAAGCGACACCAUAGAAAGGGCUUAUAAGAAAUAAUAACAAGCAUGCCACUAUCGCGCGUCUAAGCGACACCACAAAAAGGGCUUAUAAGAAAUAAUAAUAAAUAUUGAAUAUCCAGGAGGUAGAAUCUUCCCACAGAUAUUCAACCAACAUAAUCAUAGGGAUUAGUCCACAAAAAAAACAAUAGUCAUGAUCAUCCACCAUAUUUCGUGAUUUGUCUCACGAUGUCAUUAACUUCCUUCGAAGAUCGACACACGAACCGACACUUGACUAGUCAACUAGUCGUCCUUGACCGUGGACACGACUACUCGAAUAGUUUUGACUCUGCAGAGGGUGUACUCUUUACCCACAUCCCACGGGUUUCAAGAGUCCCUUGGACUAAUCCUACGCAUGGUAUUUUAGAAGUAAACACUCAUAACUAGUACAAACCCAUUUUCUCCCACGAAUACCGACAUCACUCGGACUGCGCUGCGAGAGAAAACCAUAAGACGGGGAAGGCUCCAACCUCGACUAGCAUGGGAUCCAAUUUAUACCGCGCGCUACAAGGGAAUGGCCAUUCCCUAUCGGUCCGAGACCGGAGACACCCAUACCCCCUGACUGGAUGACUGGAUUUAGUCCAGGGCCAUGGAUACCUUCAUCUCGUCCUCUCUACUUGGUGUGUCCCUGGUAAUAGAUUUACGACCUACUAGACCGUAUUCCCUUUCGAGAAGACCCGCGGUAGCAUGAAAGUUAAGGUCACACAUAGAGAAGACUCGAACUACAGUCGACUUAGGAGGUUUAAUAUUUUCCUGCAAGGGUUAGUACCACACAAUCUUGCUGAAGGUAUUAUUUGAGGGUUACUACCAUCAAACACCAACAAGCUUUCACUGACCACUCUCUACCCACGAGAUGUCAGCCCAUGGUCUUAUUUCCACCACGACACACCUUACUCCGAGGUUGUCCAGACCAACAUAGCAUACGAGGUAUGAGGCAGUACCCACUCACCACUCGCCAUCCACAAACUUAGCAACAAAAAAUAUCCAUCACAUGUUGUCAUGCAAGGUAUGAUUUCAUGCGAUAUUUUUAUCAACAUAAACUAAAAUCAUGCAAUAGAUGUACCACAACAAACAUCACACAACUUGAUGUAAAUAAGAGUUCAAGAUGCUUGCCUUUGGAGUUGAGGAGUGUGAUGUGCACAACAAAUUCUUGAAGUGAGUCCCCUCUCUGCAAAUCCUAUUUUGACAAAUAUCUAAAUUAACGCACAAAUUUAAAACAGCACAUAAAAGUUGUUUGAAGUUUUUUGAAAUAAAUUUGUAAAUAAACUAGAGGAUAUUUUAUAUAGGUAGGAAAAAGAAUGAGUUGUUUUGGAGUUUUCUUUAAAAAGUUAGAGCCAUUUAAAGACCCUGGUCAAAUCUGUUUUUUAAGGAAAGGAAUAGAAAACACUUUGGACCAAAUACGCUUUCCAGAGAGGCAGACGUACCAAGGGAAAAUGCUUCGGCCAAAAUACGCAUUAGUGAGAAGAAAGCGCACCAGGGGAGACUACGCCACUCGGAGGCAACGGAUGGCUCACCGACAGGCGGGGCCAUGAUGACGAGUUGAUGGAUAUACUUCUCGCCCCUCGUUGGUUACCCCAAGUGGAAGGUGGAGAUGUAUUCAGCAACAGAUUUCCCUUACACGGGGACUGUAAGGUUUAUCGAACCAGGAAGACUCCGAGGAUCAAAAAUUAGGUGUCUGUUGCUCUGGCUCUAGCAGAAGACGUGGACCUGCACACACAACAAAUAACUUUGCUCCCAACGAGUACAGAGAGGUUAUCAAUCUCUCCGGCCUUGUAGUUUGCAAAGGACCAAAACAUAAGCGGGAAUAGUGAUAGUGAUUGCAACGGAAAAGUAAAUGAAAGCAGUAAAUGGUGGAGGUGUAAGCAAUGGUGGUGAUAUGGACCUGAGUCACAUGAUGUUCACUAGUGAUGUCUGAUACGUCUCCAACGUAUCUAUAAUUUUUUAUGGUUUCAUGCUAUUAUCUUGUUAAAGUUUUGAUGUUUUGUAUGCCUUUUAUAUCUUUUUUGAGACUAACUUAUUAACUCUGUGCCAAGUGUCAGUUCCUGUUUUUUUCCUUGUUUUUGACCCCUUUCAGAGGAGGAUUUUAAACGAAGUCCAAACGGAACGAAACUGCCAAAAAGAUUUUUUCCGAAACAGAAGAAGAUCGGGAAGCCUGAGAAUCAAGGCAGGGGGCCAGCAGGGAACCCACAAGCCCCCUAGCCGCGGCCAGGGGGGCCGCGCCUCCCAGGCUUGUGGGCUCCCUGGGCCACCUCUACCCUAGGUCUUUCGCCUAUAAAUUCCCUAAAAUCCCAGAAAAAAUCAGGAGAUCAUUGAAACUACUUUUCUGCCGCUGCAAGCUUCUAUGUAUGCAAGAUCCCAUCUGGGGCACAUUCUGGUGCCCUGCCGGAGGGGGGAUUCGGAUACGGAGGGCUUCUUCAUCAACACCAUGACCUCUCCGAUGAUGCGUGAGUAGUUCACCAUAGACCUACGGGUCCAUAGCUAGUAGCUAGAUGGCUUUUUCUCUCUCUUGGAUCUUCAAUACAAAGUUCUCCAUGAUCUUCAUGGAGAUCUAUCCGAUGUAAUCUUCUUUUGUGGUGUGUUUGUCGAGAUCCGAUGAAUUGUGGAUUUAUGAUCAGAUUAUCUAUGAAUCUUAUUUGAGUUUCUUCUGAUCUCUCUUAUGCAUGAUUUCAUAUCCUUGUAAUUCUCUUUGAGUUGUGGGUUUUGUUUGGCCAACUAGAUCUAUGAUUCUUGCAAUGGGAGAAGUGCAUGGUUUUGGGUUCAUACCGUGCGGUGACCUCACCCAGUGACAGAAGGGGUAGCGAGGCACGCAUCGUGUUCUCGCCAUCAAGGGUAAAAAGAUGGGGUUUUCAUCAUUGGUUUGAGUUUAUCCCUCUAUAUCAUGUCAUCUUGCUUAAGGCAUUACUCUGUUCGUCAUGAACUCAAUACACUAGAUGCAUGCUGGAUAGCGGUCGAUGUAUGGACUAAUAGUAGUAGAUGCGGAAAGUAUCGGUCUACUUGUCUCGAACGUGAUGCCUAUAUGUAUGUUCAUUGCCUUAGAUAUCAUCAUGACUUUGCGCGGUUCUAUCAAUUGCUCGAUAGUAAUUUGUUCACCCACCGUAAUAUUUGCUAUUUUGAGAGAAGCCUCUAGUGAACACUAUGGCCCCCGGGUCUACUCCACACAAUAUUUUCAGCCUUCUCUUUUUCUUCGUUGCACUUUCCGCCUUAAGAUCUCACUUUGCAAUCAAUCUUGAAGGGAUUGACAACCCCUUUAUAGCGUUGGGUGCAAGCUCUUUUGUGUUUGCGCAGGUACUCUGGACUUGACGAGAUUCUCCUACUGGAUUGAUACUUUGGUUCUCAAAUUGAGGGAAAUACUUACUGCUCCUGUGCUGCAUCGCCCUUUCCUCUUCAAGGGAAAAACCAACGCAAGCUCAAGAGACGACAGAAGAUUUUUGUCACCGUAGCAAUGUCUCUCUCCCAAAAGACGCUAAACAACUAUGCAUGGGUAAACAACUUACAGCUUGGGAAUUGACAUAAUUAUGAACGCACCGCAAUGCUAAUCAUUCUACAAGAAAGUUAGAUGCUCAAAAGUAAUUGGCAGUACGCCAAGACAAGUAGACCAUUUAUUCAUCAGCAUCUACUUACUAAUCAUCCACCUUAAGAUAUCUAUCCAGAACAUCUCGCUAGUAUUAAGUUGCGAGCCCCACCCAAAGUGUAAACUCAAAGCAACGAACAACUUCAUUAACGAACUUUGUGUAAGGUCAAGUAGCCUUGCAACCGUGGUCACAAGCACCAUUGUUUUCUCCCUGGUGGCAACAUCAUAUCCCCUAGUCUCAUGUUUCUUUCACUCAAGCAAGACAUCAGGGGGCAUGAACCCACAAUCAUGCAAAACGUUCCCUCUUGGAGUUAUAAUCUACUACUCGGCCAAAGCAAUACAAAGCAACGGAGAACAUGCAUGAAUCACUAAAGACCAAAUAUAAAAGGAUAAUCAAAUAUAUAACUCAUCACAAUCUGACGAUAAUCUCAUAAUCCAUCGGAUCCGAGCAAACCGAGCAUAGCAAUAGCAGGAAAAUUACGUAGUUGCCUUGAUCAUGUAGGGCAGCUCACAAGGGCUAAACAUUGAAGCACAAGAUUGGAGAGAAGAUAUCACACAUCUACUGGUCAUGGAUUCAUAGUCAAAGGAGGACUACUCACAUCAUGUUUGGGAAGCGUCCAUGGCGGUGGAGAAGCUCUAGGAUGUCAGUCCUCCCUCCGGCAGGAUGUCAGGAAGAGAUCUCCUGACGCUCCCGAUCUCGGAAGCGUUGCCACGGCGGAACAGUGGAGAAAUUCACGAUUUUGGAUAUGAUGGAUGGGUUUUCGAUCGGAAAGGUAAAUAUAGGCUGAAGGAGGGCACCACAGGAGGUGUGACCCACCCAGGAGACCUGUGGGCACGGCCAGGGGCGAGGCCAUGCAUGGAGGCCGCCUGGGCAGCCCCUGGCUCCCCUCUGGGCCAUCUUUGUGCUUCGUGAAGCUUCCGUCGCGCUGAUUUUUAUAUAUUUUUCUCCGGAUUUUUUAAGCUGUGGAAAUUUGGGCAAAAGCCCCUGCAAAAGAGACAUCAGCAGACAGAAACUUGCACUGGGUGCACUGAGUUAGUAGGUUAGUCCAAAUAUGAGUAAAAAGAUAUAAAAGUGUAGCAAAACAUAUAACAAUGUCACCAAAAAGAUCAUGGAACAAGAAGAAAUUAUAGAUAAAUUUGGGACUAUCAACAUCCCCAAGCUUAAUUCUUGCUCGUCCUCGAGUAGGUAAAUGACAACACAAAUAAUUUAUGUGGUGACAUACUAAUAUACAUAUAAGAACUUCAAAGGAAAGCAAGUAAAUAUGCAAUUCAAGUUAAUACAAUAACAAGCUAGAUUCUAUAUCUAGUAUUGAAAAUAGCAAAGUAAAAACAUAAAGGUGCAAGAGCUCUCGCUGUCCGUGACUCGAAUGUCUCCAAAUGGUGUUUGCGUGCAAGAAAUGGGAGAUGGAUUUAGAGCAUAAAAUAUACUUUUUAAUUGAGAACUCAAUCUACUAAACUUCACACUUGGUCUCCUUCAGAAUCUUAUUUUGACUCAUCCCCAGACCACUAGUCAGGCACAAGUCAAAAUGAUCCUCUCCCUUUCGACUUUGAGCACUCAUGCAAUUGAUGAGCGCAAGCAAGAUAGGUUGGCACUUAGGAUGGCAAAUAGAAUAAUGAUGGGGAAGGAAGACAAAAAGGGUGUGAAAGGCUCACAUCAAUGAGGACAACCAUAGGCGAGAGGAAGCCAAAUGAUAGAUAUGAUGUGAGGAGUAGGGAUUGCCAUCCAACGGAUGCACAUAUGAGCUAAGGUAAGCUCUCCAAUGGAACUAGUGGGGGUGUGUCCAACUUGCUUUCUCAUGAAUACCUAGAGCUCAUUUUAGGACGCUCAUCCUUGGAAUAUACAAGCCAAGUUCUAUAGUAUAAGGGUCCCCACAAAGUUAUGCAUGAAUGAUAAUCUCUAUGGAGUACAAGUAUAACAAUCGAGUACGAGUGUGGAUCUUUCAAAAGGAAUAGUAGUGUUGCCCCCUUCUAUCUUUUUUAUUUAUUUUUUCUUUCUUUUAUUUUUAUUUUUUUGUUGGCCUCUUUGGCUCUUUCUAUUUAUCUCUCAUUUGGCCUCUUUUGGAUCUUUUCAUGUGUCCUCUUUAGGAUCUUUUAAUUAGUCCUCUUUGGGAUCUUUUCCUCACGUAAGGGCAACACUCUAUGUUUUACAAGGGUAAAAAGAAGAUCUUCACACUUUAUAAGAAGUACUCAACAUAAAGACAAAUAAAAACUAUCGUGAUGUAUGCAAAUGUAUGCGUGUGCUAGUGUAGCAGGAUAUGCAAUGAAACUAGCGCAUCAUGUAGCAAUAAUAAGGGCAAGACCCAACCAGCAUGCAGCUCCUCGAUCAAGCAAAAGCAUGUAUGACAUGAAGAUCAAGUCAUGAGAUGGUGGAUGUUGCAUGGCAAUGUAUCUCGGAAAGGCUAUGGAAAUGCCUUAAUAGGUAGGUAUGGUGGCUGUUUUGAGGAAAGAUAUAAUGAGGCUUAUGAUGAUAGAGCGUAUCAUGCCAAGGGUUUGGAUGCACCGAUGAAUUUUGCACCAACUCUCAAGAUGAGAAAUGGCAAUGCACGGUACCGAAGAGGCUAGCAAAAUAUGGAUGGUGGAAGUGCCAACAAUCGAAUACUCGCAUUAGUCUAAAGAACUCAUAGAAUUAUUAUCAGUAACACUCUAUCUAGUUAGGAGAUUCACAAAGAGACAAGUAUCCCAAGGAUGAGUGUUUGGGGGUUUGGUUAUCCUUGCGCAUCCUCGACCAAUGGUAAUGUGAGGGUACUCUAUAUAUUCCAACCCCUCCAGAGGUUAGCGAUCAAUCUAGUAGCUAGAGUUCUCAACUAAUUUCUUUUUUAGUUUUUGAAAAUACACAUAGAUUUCCAAAAAUACGACACCUAUCACUAAUAGGCUCAAGCUCUUGGCACCAAUAGUCCAAACAUUACUCAAAUCAAUACCUGAAAACUAUUGCAAGUUACUACUAUACUUAAAUAGCAACCUCAAUUACCUACUCAUGCAAGACACACAACUCAGUGCAACAAGCAAACUCUCUAAGCAAAAUAAUCAUGAUAACUCAAGAGACUUCCAAAAGCAACCUAAAUAAAAUCUAUUAAAAAUAUAUAGCCUGAAAACUAAGAGCUAAGCAUGACAGCAGCUAUGAAACGAUAAAGAACACACCAAAAAGAUAAGCAUGAAAACCUAUGUUGUGUUCUAGGGUGGAGUGGAGCGUGUUUCUCUCCCUAGCAAAGAAGGCUAGGUUCCAACUUGUUAUGAACAGCAAAGAAAACUAAAACAAACUAAAAAGUAAAGAACGAGACGCUUGAAGCAUAGCACAUAACAUAUGAAGUGAUAAAAAUAUAACAUGGAGAUGGACGAACUGAUGAUUGUUGAUAGAGAAGGGGCUGCACGGGGGCAUCCCCAAUCUUAGAUGCUUGAGUCUCGUUGAAUUAUUCUUGGGGGUGAAUGGGGGCAUCCCCAAGCUUGAGCACUUGACACUCCUGGAUCUUCUUUCAUCAUCUUGCAUCGCAUACUUGAAAACUCCCUUCAUACGAAACUCAUCAUAAGCUGAUUAGAGUGGUUAGCACCCAUAAUAAAAUAAUUUAUUUCCUGCUGAAAAUAAAGAUUUUCAUGAAAAGCUACUGUUUCUCAUGAUUUCCAAAAGGUUUUUGCAAAGGAAAAGAAAGUUUAAAAUUUGCAAAAUGAUGAAAACGCAAAACAUGGCAAAAUAUGAGAAAAACAGAACAACAGGUAGUAAAUAAUUGUUUAGGGCACUUCUGCAACUCAAAUCAAUAGACAUCAGAAAGAAAAUUAUAUGGAGCAUACUGUAAAAGAAAUCAGAUCAAAAAGAUGAUCUGGUGAUUUUUGGGGUAUUUUUUGUCAAGCCGACAUAAUCUGUUUCUGGACGGCACGUCACAACUUUUGAACUUUCUUGCGAUCGGAGGCUAUAAAUUGGCACAAAGCUUGAAAAUAAAGAUACAAUGAUGUUGCUACAGUAGUAACAAGCAUCAAGACCACUAAAACUAAAAGUAAAAAGAAAUUGGGUUUCCUCUCAACAAGCGCUUUCUUUUAUGCCUUUGAGCUAGGCAUGAUGCAAAAAGGAGGAUCAAAAUUCACCAAAGUCAUUGGAGUCAUCGAAACCUUCAAACGGAUCCUCAACAAGUUCAUCCUUAUUUUUCCUAGGGAACGGGUACGUACCUUUCGCUUUCCCACAUAAGCGUAUGUGUCCUUUACCUAUAUCAAUGAAGCAUUUCAUGGCUCGGAGGAAGUCCCUUUCAAGAACUAUGUUUCCUUGGUUUGGCUUCAUGAUGAAGAAAUCAACCGUUGCAUUCCUUUUAGAGAAUGUAACCUCGACAUCUUUUACAUUUCCCUGGAUCUCAGAAAUAUCCCAAUUAUCAUGUUCAUGAUAAGAUGAAAAAUUGUCUAUGUUUAAAAACCUUAGAUAAUCAUAAACAAAUUUUGGCAUUGUGGAAACCAGGGAUCCAAUAUCACAAUAAGCAACGAAAUCUUGGAUAGAGAUGCUAAUUCUAACAAAAGGCUCCCAGUCAUCAUCUAGUUUCAAAAUCUUUUUCUUAUCAACCAUGGGUUUCUCUCUUUCUCUUAAGUCUAGAGCAUCUAUUUUCCUUUCCAUGGAAGAAAUUCUAUCUAUAAUAGUGUCGAAUCCACGACCAUAAUCAAGGUAUUUAGAUAGACCUUGUAUAAUAUCAAGAGCUCUAGCCUGAUCACACUCUAAAAAAAUCUCCUUUAGCUAUAAUAUCAAGAGAGUGUUUACACCAUAUAAAAAACCAAUGAUAAAAAUUUCAAAGCACAAUUAUUAUAGGUAUCCAAGGCAUAAUUCUUUUAUGUGCAUCAGAAAUUCUAUCACAAGCCUCCUUAAUAUUUUCUCCAUUCCUUUGAUGGAAAUCUAGGACCUCAAAUUCCCUCAAAGCAUCAAACCUUAACAUGUUGUACUAAGAAGAAAGGACAACUAGAAGAAAAUCAACUAUUUUUUUUGGUUUGUGGUAUAAGACUCUAAAGAAAAAACUAGAAAGCAAACUAACAAGACUAAAAAGCAAAGGUAAAAGAUAGCGUGCAACUCCCCUAUCUUGAAAACUGGAGUCCCCGGCAAUGGCGCCAAAAAUUUGCUUGAUGACGAGUUAAUGGAUAUACAUCUCGCCCCUCAUUGCUUACCUCAAGUGGAAGGUGGAGUGAUGACCCACAAGUAUAGCAGAUCUAUCAUAGUACUUUCCAUAAGUAAGAGUGUCGAACCCAACGAGGAGCAGAAGGAUCUGACAAGUGGUUUUCAGCAAGGAAAUAUUUGCAAGCACUGAAAUUAUCGGUAACAAGUGAUUGUGUGGUUAGAUGAUUCGUAGCAAGCAACAAAAAACAAAAGUAGCAACGGUGAAGAAAAUUGGCCAGAGAGGUAAUGAGUAGCAUCAAGGAUCUGAACAUAAACUCUUCCACCAAGUAAUCCAACUAGCAUCAACUACAAAGAGUAAUUAACACUACUAGCAACCUUACAAGUACCAAUCGGAGUCGCGAGACGGAGAUUGCUUACAAGAGAUGAACUAGGGUUUGGAGAUGAGAUGGUGUUGAUGAAGAUGUUGAUGGUGAUGAGUCCCCUCCGAUUAGAGGAGUGUUGCUGAUGACGAUGGCGACGAUUUCCCCCUCCGGGAGGGAAGUUUCCCCGGCAGGAUCGUCCUGCUGGAGCUCUAGAUUGGUUCUGCUCAUGUUCCGCCUCGUGGCGGCGGCGAAUCCUCGAAAAAUCCUCCUCUUGAUUUUUUUCGGAACGAAACCCUUCAUAUAGCAGAAGAGGGGGGCCAGAGGGCCAGCUGGGUGCCCACAAGCCCCCUAGGUGCGGCCAGGGGGGUGGCCGCGCCUAGCAGACUUGUGGCCACCUGCUGGCGCCCCUCUGGCACUUCUUCGGACCAAUAUUUUUUAUAAAUCCCGAAAAAAAUCCUCGUUUAAUUUUACGGCGUUUGGAGUUGCGCAGAACAGGUAUCUCAAACUUGCUCCAUUUUCAGGCCGGAAUUCCAGCUGCCGGCAUUCUCCCUCUUCAUGUAAACCUUGCAAAAUAAGAGAGAAAGGGCAUAAGUAUUGUACCGUGAAGUGAAAUAACAGCCCAAGAAGCGAUAAAUAUCAACAUGAAAGCAUGAUGCAAAAUGGACGUAUCAACUCCCCCAAGCUUAGACCUCGCUUGUCCUCAUGCAAAAGCCGAGCUCAAUAAAUAUGACCACAUGUUAAGGGAGAGAGGUGUCGACAAAACAAAAUGCGAACAUGCAUGCAUCAUGAUCAUGAUCAGAACAACAAUACCAACAUAUAAUCUCUCAUGCUAAAGUGACAAUUCCUUCACAAAGUAAAGUACGGAUCAAGAACCUUACCGAGAAAUAACAACUGAUAGUCUAUAGUCAUUGAAGCAAUUUCAAUUUAUCACAACAUCAGAAAGAGUCAAAUAAGAGCUUGUAAAGCAAAUCAACAUACUCAAUCAUCUUUUCAUUCUCUACAAUUGCUACAACUCACGUGCUACUCAUUUGUUCAAAGUUUCAGCUGGACACAGAGAAAGAUAGGGGCUUAUCGUUUUGCCUCCUAACUGCUUACCUCAAGGGUAAUGUCAACAACAAUAAUUCAUGAAUGCUUACCUCCAAGUUGGCAUAUGAAUAUAGAUCUUUCCCUAGCAUAUGACGUUAGCCAAGAUAAAGGCGAAACAAGGAAUUGGUGAAGAUCACCAUGACUCUUUCAAGGGAAAAAAGUAAAGGUACAAGAUAGGCCCUUCGUAGAGGGAAGCAGAGGUUGUCAUGCGGUUUUGAGGUUUGGAUGCGUGUCCUCUUAGUGCGGAGGAACGUCACUUUAUAUUGUCUCCUGUGAUAAAGAACUUUAUUAUGCCGUCUGUCGCUUUUAUGUCUUCCUCAUCACAGGUUCAUACAAAGCUUAUUUUCCACACACUAAAAGAUCAUACAUAUUAGGGAGAAUUUUUUAUUGCUUGCACCGAUGACAACUUACUUGAGGGAUCUUAUUCAAUCCAUAGGUAGGUUUGGUGGACUCUCAUGGCAAAACUGGGUUGAAGGUUUGUGGAUGCACAAGUAGUAUUUCUACUUGGUGCGGGAGUUUUGGCUAAAAUGAGGUGGAAGCAAUCGUCACAGGCUAAGGGAUCUCUAAUCACAUAACAUUGUUCAGAACCAAGCAAACACAAUUCAUUAUGUUGUCUUCCUUGUCCAACAUCUACUUCUAGGCAUGCAAUAGUUUAGUGAGUGUUCACAAUCAUAGAUGGUGUCAAAGAUGAUGUAUUUAUAUGUGAACCUCUCCUUCUUUAUCACUUCCUAUUAAUUGCAACCAUGACCAAGGUCUACGUUUGUCUACCCUCAACAAGUUUCAAUCAACAUUCUUUUUAUAUGUGAAGCCAUCACUUCCCAUAAGAUCAUUACAUGAUCUUUCAUGUUUUUGUUCUUUUCUCACUCUUUUGAUCAUGGCAAGAGGCAAAGCCCUUCAACUAAGACACUCUUUAUUAUAUGGCUCACGAGCUCGAAUACAUCGGGGGUGACACAAAACAAAACUAAAGACUAAAACACUAAGACUUUUAAUCUACUAGAGAAAAAGAAAACUGAAAAGGAACAAAUUAAAACAAAGGUAAAGGCAAAAGAUGUGAUGGUGAUACGAUACUGGGGCAACUCCCGCAAGCUUGGCACAAGCCAAGGGGAUUGCCCAUACCCAUUCUUAGUUGUCUUCCUUUGAAGGUCAUGGUGGUGGUGUUGCUUUGUCCUUUGAUUCCAAGAGGGCCAUUAAUCUUUCAUUUAUACCUUGAAGAUCUGUGAUAUGUUACUCCAGCAAAACAACUUCACGAGUGAGAUAAGUAUUGCGAGCACGAGUUGUUUCAUAAAACCUCAAGAGUUUAAUCAAGGAUGGAGACAGUUAGUAGAGGUAGGGUUGGAGGAAAACCACUUCUUCAACUUCUUCCUUGUUGAGCACAGAUUGAACUUUGUCCCAUGCCUGAUUCUUCUCCUUAGUUUUGCCCUUGGCCUCUUUAGGUAGCCUUUCCCUAGCCUCCAUUCUUCUCAGAUCAGCAUUUACUUCUCCAUAGACUUGAGGGAGAUUGUUCUCCCUCACAGAUUCCUGAGACGACAUCUUGCUUUAAAUCUGCGGCAGAAAACAGGCUCGAAACGAAAACAGAGGAAAUCUGCGUGAUAUGAGGGUCAGACCUUACGGGAGAAUAUAUAAUGAUUUUUUCAGACCAGAAGGAUUACUCCGCACGAAAACAAAGUCCGAGAGGCACACCAGGUGGCCACAAGCCCCCUAGGCGCGGUGAGGGGGUGGGCCCGCGCCUGGCAGGCUUGUCGCCUCCUUGCGCGCUUUCCGGACUACUUCCAAUUUUUCCAUUUUUUCAAAUAUUCCAAAACGGAGAAAAAUUCCUACUGGAAAAGUUUUGGAGUGUGUUUUCUUACCGAAUCACAUACCUCUUCGUUUUCGGAGUCUGAAACAGGCUGGUAAAUAUCCCUUAGGUAUUCUUCCGGAGUUAUGGUAUUGAUGAUAUUGCUUUCAACAUUUAUGGGAGUACCUGAGAUAUAAUGCUUGAUUCUCUGGCCAUUUACCACUCUCGGACAAUUACCUGCCAUGUUGUUGAUCUUGAUAGCACCGGAAUGAUAUACUUCCUGAAAAAUAUAGGGACCUUCCUGCUACGUCAACAAAAGUCAUUCCCCGGCAGUGGUGCCAGAGAUCCUUCUGUCGACCCUUGAGCUCGCGUUGUUUUUUCCCUUGAAGAGGAAAGGGUGAUGCAGCACAAGAGCAGUAAGUAUUUCCCUCAGUUUGAGAACGAAGGUAUCGAUCCAGUAGGAGGGUCUCGUCAAGUCCAGAGUACCUGCACAAACACAAACAAGCUUGCACCCAACGCUUCAAAGGGGUUGUCAAUACCUUCAAGAUUGUUUGCAAAGUGAGAUCUGAAGGCGGAAACUGCUACGAAGUAAAAUGUGUAAUGCUGAAAAUAUGGUGUGGAGUAGAACCGGGGGCCAUAGUGUUCACUAGAGGCUUCUCUCAAAAUAGCAAGUAUCACGGUGGGUAAACAAAUUACUGUCGAGCAAUUGAUAGAACCGCGCAAAGUCAUGACGGUAUCUAAGGCAAUGAUCAUACAUAUAGGCAUCACGUUCGAGACAAGUAGACCGAUACUUUCUGCAUCUACUACUAUUACUCCACACAUCGACCUCUAUCCAGCAUGCAUCUAGUGAAUUGAGUUCAUGACGAACAGAGUAACGCUUUAAGCAAGAUGACAUGAUGUAGAGGGAUUAUCUCAAACCAAUGAUGAAAACCCCAUCUUUUUACUCUUGAUGGCAACAUCACGAUGCGUUCCUCUCUACCCCUUUUGUCACUGGGUGAGGUCACUGCACGGUAUGAAGCCAAAUCCAAGCACUUCUCCCAGUUCAAGAAUCAUAGAUCUAGUUGGCCAAACAAAACCCACAACUCAAAGAGAAUUACAAGGAUAUGAAAUCAUGCAUAAGAGAGAUUAGAAGAAACUCAAAUAAGAUUCAUAGAUAAUCUGAUCAUAAAUCUACAAUUCAUCGGAUUUCAACAAACACACUGCAAAAGAAGAUUACAUCUGAUAGAUCUCCAUGAAGAUCAUGGAGCACUUUUUAUUGAAGAUCCAAGAGAGAGAAGAAGCCAUCUAGUUACUAGCUAUGGCCCCGUAGGUCUAUGGUGAACUACUCACGCAUCAUAGGAGAGGUCAUGGUGUUGAUGAAGAAGCCCUCCGUAUCCGAAUCCCCCUCCGGUAGGGCACCAGAACGUGCCCCAGAUGGGAUCCUGAUUUUUUUGGGAUUUUUAGGGAAUAUAUAGGCGCAACCCCUAGGGAGGAGGGCGUCCAGGGGGCCCACAAGCCUGUGGGCUACGGCCUCCCCCCUGGCCGCAGGGUGAAGGCUUGUGGGGCCCCUGGGGCCCCCUGCCUUGGCUCUCAAGUCUCCUGAUCUUCUUCCGUUACGGAAAAAUUCUUUUCGGGGAUAUUAUUCCAUUUGGACUCCAUUUCAAAAUCUCCUCUCAAAGGGGUCAAAAACUUGGAAAAACAGGAACUGGCACUUGGCACUGAGUUAAUAAGUUAGUCCCAAAAAAUAUAUAAAAGGCAUGCAAAACAUCCAAAGUUUGACAAGAUAAUAGCAUGUAACCAUAAAAAAUUAUAGAUACGUUGGAGACGUAUCAAGCAUCCCCAAGCUUAACUCCUGCUCGUCCUCGAGUAGGGAAGUGAUAAAGAAUGUAUUUUUGAUGUGGAAUGCUACCUAGCAUAGUUGUCCUUUGCAACUUCUUUCAUGUGUCAUGAAUGUUCAGAUCCGUAAGAUUCAAAACAAUAGUUUGGUAUUGACAUGAAAACAAUAAUACUUCAAGCAAACUAGAAAGUUAUCCCUACAAAAUCAUAUAGUCUCGCUAUGCUCCAUCAUCCUCACACAACUAAUGUAAAUCAUGCCCAACCUCGGUAUUGGCCAGGUAAUUGUUUUCGCACUCUUACUUUCUCAAACUUUUUAUAACUAUCACGCGAUACAUGAGCGUGAGCCAUGGAUAUAGCACUAUAAGUGGAAUAGAGUGUGGUGGUGGUUGUGAGACAAAAAGGAGGAGAUGGUCACAUUGACUCGGCGUAUCAAAGGGCUAUGGAGAUGCCCAUUAAUAGAUAUCAAUGUCAACGAGUAGGGAUUGCCAUACAACAGAUGCACUAGAGCUAUAAGUAUGUGAAAGCUCAAAAGGAAAACUAGUGGGCGUGCAUCCAACUUGCUUGCUCACGAAGACCAAUGGCAAUUUUGAGGAAGCCCAUCAUUGGAAUAUACAAGCCAAGUUAUAUAAUGAAGAUUCCCACUAGCAUAUGGUAGUGACAAAGCAAGAAGCUCUCAAUCAUGAAGAACAUGGUGCUAUUAUGAAGCACAAGUGUGGACAAAGAUAGUAGCAUUCUCCCUUCUCUCGUUUUCUCUUUUUUUCAUUUGGGCUCUUAGGCCUCUUUUUUUCUCCCCCUUUUUUUUGUUUUUCGGCUCUUUGGCCUCUUUUUUUAUUUUCUCAUGUGGGACAAUGCUCUAAUAAUGAUGAUCAUCACACUUUUAUUUACUCACAGCUCAAAGCUCACAAUGAUGAUGACUCUAUAGGAAAUGCCUCCGGCAGUGUACCGGGAUGUGCAACGAUCUAGCAUGGCGUAUGACGUUGAAAACAUCUCGCUAGCUAUCUUACGAUCAUGCAAUGGGAAUAUGAGAGUGACGGCACAAGUCAUGAGACGGAACGGUGGGAGUUGCAUGGCAAUAUAUCUCGGAAUGGCUAUGAAAAUGCCAUAGUAGGUAGGUAUGGUGGCUGUUUUGAGGAAGGCAUAUGGUGGGUUGUGCACCGGCGAGAAUUGCGCGGCACUAAAGAGGCUAGCAAUGGUGGAAGGUGAAAGUGCAUCUAUACCAUGGACUCACAUUUGUCAUGAAGAACUCACAUACUUGUUGCGAAAGUUUUUAUUUGUAAUCGAAACAAAGUGCUAAAUGCAUACUCUGAGGGGAAGGGUUGGUAGGUGUUAACAAUCGCGCGAUCCCGACCUCGACACAAAGGAUGACAAUCAAUAGAUCAAUUAUGCUCCGAUUUCCUAACAUAGCGGUUCACCAUACGUGCAUGCUACGGGAAUCACUAACUUUAACACAAGUAUUUCUAGAUUCACAACACCCUACUAACAUAGCUCUUAAUAUUACCAAAUCCACGUCUCAAAACUAAUUGAGAGGAAUCAAGACUUCUCUUUCUACUCAAUGCACAUGAAGAUGGAGGUUUUUGCAUCCUCUUUGGGUACCUAUCACAUUUGGGACUACUUUCAUAGCAUAAGCCAACUACCAAAUCACGCACCUCCGCGCUCUAAAAGAUAUAAAUGAAGCACAUAGAGCAAAAGUAUCUAGCUCAAAAGAUAUAAAUGAAGCGCUAUGAGCAUUCUAGCAAAAUCACGAUGAGUGCAUGUCUCUCUCUAUCAAAAAGGUGUGCAGCAUGGAUGAUUGUGACACAACAAAAAGAAUAGACUCCUACGAUACAAGACGCUCCAAGCAAAACACAUGUCAUGUGGUGAAUAAAAAUAUAGCUCCAAGUAAUGUUACCGAUGGAUUGAAGACGAAAGAGGGGAUGCCUUCCCGGGGCAUUGAUGUUUGCUGUGUACCCUGGCAAUGGUGCCAGAAAUACGUCUCCUACUGCACAAAAGACCUUCCAACGGCGCCAGAGAUAGGCAGGUCGACGGGAGAAUACUUGGCUUGAUCUUUAUGUUGUGGCUACGCCUUAAGGGACUUCCUAGGCAAGUAUGCAAUGGAUUUCCGCCGUGGCCAUGGAGCUUUGCGUUGGUGUUCCCUCGAAGCGGAAAGGGUGAUGUAGCACAAUGACGGUAAGUUUUCACUCAGUUUGAGAACCAAGGUAUCAAUCUGGCGGAAGAGUAUCCCAAGAUCCUGCACAAACACAAAAGCUUGCACCCAACGCUAUGAAGGGGUUGUCAAUCCCUUAUAGAUUGUUUGCCAAGUGAGAACUGAAAGCAACAAAGUAAAAAAGAAAAGUAAAAGCAGAGUUGGAAACGAUGGAUGUGAAUAGACCCGGGGGCCGUAGUGUUUACUAGUGGCUUCUCUCAUGAAAGCAAGUAGACGGUGGGUGAACAAAUUACUGUCGAGCAAUUGAUAGAACUGUGCAGAGUCGUGACGAUAUCUAUGCAAUGAUUAUUUCUAUAGGCAUCACGUCCGAAACAAGUAGACCGAUACUGUCUGCAUCUACUACUAAUACUCCACACGUCGACCGCUAUCUAGCAUGCAUCUAGUGUAUUAAGUCCAUAAGAACAGAGUAACGCCUUAAGCAAGAUGACAUGAUGUAGAGGGAUAAUCUCAAACCAAUGAUAAAACCCCCAUCUUUUUACCCUUGAUGGCAACUGCUUGAUGUGUGCCUUGCUGUCCCUACUGUCACUAGGAAAGGUCACCACAUGGCAGAACCCAAAACCAAGCACUUCUCCCAUUGCAAGAAUCAUAGAUCUAGUUGGCCAAACAAAACCCAAGACUCGGAGAGACUUACAAGGAUAUCAAAUCAUGCAUAUAAUAAAUCAGCAAAGACUCAAAUAUAUAAAAUAUAUAAUCUGAUCACAAGUCCACAAUUCAUCGGAUCUUCACAAACACACCGCCAAAGAAGAUUACAUCGGAUAGAUCUCCGUGAAGAUCAUGGAGAACUUUGUAUUGAAGAUCCAAGAGAGAGAAGAAGCCAUCUAGCUACUAACUACGGACCCGUAGGUCUGAAGUAAACUACUCACGAGUGAUUGGAGGGGCGAUGAUGAUGAUGAAAAGCCCUCCACCUCCAAAGUCCCCUCCGACAGGGCGCCGGGAAGGGUCUCCAGAUGAGAUCUCGCGGAAACGGAAGCUUGCGGCGGCGGAAAAGUAUUUUCGAGGCUCCCCUGAUUUCUUGCGGAAUAUUUGGGAAUAUAUAGGCGCAACACCUAGGUCAGGAGGCGGCCAGGGAAGCCACAAGCUUGCCCACCGCCGCCUCCCCCUGGUGUCUGGGUGGGAGCUUGUGGGCUCCCUGGGGCCCACUUGGCCUGGCCCAAAGGCUCCCUGGACUUCUUCCGUUCGGGAAAAAAUCAUUUCGGGGUUUUUCUUCCGUUUGGACUCCGUUCCAAAAUCAGAUCUGAAAAGAGUCAAAAACACGGAAAAACAGGAACUGGCACUUGGCAUUGAAUCAAUAAGUUAGUCCCAAAAAAGAUAUAAAAAGGUACAUAAAACAUACAAAGAAGGCAAGAUAACAACGUGAAACCAUAAAAAAUUAUAGAUACGUUUGAGACGUAUCAAGCAUCCCCAAGCUUAACUCCUGCUCGUCCCCGAGUAGGGAAGUGAUAAGAAUGAAUUUUUGAUGCUUUCCUGCUACCUAGCAUAAGUGUCCUUUGUAAUUCCUCUUAUGUGACGUGAAUGUUCAGAUCCUNNNNNNNNNNNNNNNNNNNNNNNNNNNNNNNNNNNNNNNNNNNNNNNNNNNNNNNNNNNNNNNNNNNNNNNNNNNNNNNNNNNNNNNNNNNNNNNNNNNNUAGGAACCAACGCGCUAGAUUAGGAGUUAGGUACCCCUUCGGUUUUUAAGUAAAAACCCGAACGGUUUUCUGCCUCACUUACUUUUAGCCGUAGAUUUUCUUAAGUUUCGGCCGUUUGCCCAUUAUAACCUCAGCACACACCCCGCACCAAAUCAGGGAUUGCCACGUGUCUGUUAGUAUUUGAUUUCUUUUUCUGUUUAGUUCCAAAAACAGAAAAGUUUCAAUUUUGUUUUGAGCAUAGCUUUUGAUGCCAAAGUCCAAUGAGUUUGAUUCCUUUUCCAGUAGAUCCCAAUUUUUCUUUAGUUUUUAAAAACAUAUAAUUUGUCUAUGUUUGAAAUUUUCAAAUGUGAAUUAGGUCAGAUUUAGUUUAAACCUUGUUUUGCUUAUUCCAGGAGUUUAAAAAUGAUUUAGAGUUGAUUCUUUUUGCUACUGCUUCCUAGUGAUUAUAUAUUACUGUGGUAGAAGUUUAAAAAAAAUUUAAAUAUUUUUACUUGGGUUUUUAACAGAAACAAGUUUCUGCCUUAGUGACGUGUAGUGAAUUCUUUCACUUAGGCCAUAGCAACUCUUUACUUGUGAUGUUAUUUUUACUUGUUGUUUGAUUGUAGUGCUUAUGGUGUGUAUUUGUUUGUAUCGGUAGAUCACCCGGAGUGCGAAGCUUGUUACUUAUAAGCGCUCGAUCAAGACAACUAUCAUCAAGGCAAGUCAUUUUGAUCAUCCGGUCUUCAAACACCCUGAAGUGCGAGGACAUACACGGAGGCGACCAAAUCUUGUGGGGAACGUGUGCAAAAACUCUGUAGAGUGCCCAACCUAAUCGAUUAGCCGUGUCCACGGUCAUGGACAACUUGAGCCGAAGGCAUUGAAAUUCCCCUGAACUCUCGACACAACUUAANNNNNNNNNNNNNNNNNNNNNNNNNNNNNNNNNNNNNNNNNNNNNNNNNNNNNNNNNNNNNNNNNNNNNNNNNNNNNNNNNNNNNNNNNNNNNNNNNNNNAACAAUAAUACUUCAAGCAAACUAGCUAGGUAAUCAUGAACUUUCAAAAUAACAAGGCCAAGGAAAGUUAUCCCUACAAAAUCAUAUAGUCUCGCUAUGCUCCAUCAUCCUCACACAACUAUUGUAAAUCAUGCACAACCCCGGUAUUGGACAAGUAAUUGUUUUCGCACUCUUACUUUCUCAAACUUUUUAUAAUUAUCACACAAUACAUGAGCGUGAGCAAUGGAUAUAUCACUAUAGCAAUUAUAUCUUUUUUGGGACUAAAUUAUUAAUUCAGUGCCAAGUGCGAGUUCCUGUUUUUUCUGUGUUCUUGGCUCUAUUCAAAUCUAAUUUUGGAACGGAGUCCAAACAGAAUAAAAUCCCCGUAAUGAUUUUUCACGAACGAAAGAAGAUCAGGGGGCCUGUGGGCCAAGCCAGGAGGGCUCCUAGGAGCCCACAAGCCCCCACUCCGCCACCAAGGGGAGGCGGCGGUGGCAGGGCUUGUGGCCUCCUUGAGUGCCCCCUGACCUAGAUCUUUGGCCUAUAUAUUCCCUAAAAUACAGCAAAAAAUCAAGGGAUCCACGAAAAUACUUUUCCGCCGCUGCAAGCUUCCGUUUCCGCGAGAUCUCAUCUGGAGACCCUUCCCGGCGCCCUGCUGGAGGGGACUUUGGAGUUGGAGGGCUUCUUCAUCAUCAUCAUCACCCCUCCAAUGACUCGUGAGUAGUUCACUUCAGACCUACGGGUCCGUAGUUAGUAGCUAGAUGGCUUUUUCUCUCUCUUGGAUCUUCAAUUCAAUGUUCUCCAUGAUCUUCAUGGAGAUCUAUCCGAUGUAAUCUUCUUUGGCGGUGUGUUUGUCGAGAUCCNNNNNNNNNNNNNNNNNNNNNNNNNNNNNNNNNNNNNNNNNNNNNNNNNNNNNNNNNNNNNNNNNNNNNNNNNNNNNNNNNNNNNNNNNNNNNNNNNNNNGUGGAUCUAGAAAUACUUGUGUUGAAGUUAGUGAUUCUCGUAGCAUGCACGUAUGGUGAACCGCUAUGUGAUGAAAUCUGAGCAUGAUUAGUUAUUGAUUGUCAUCCUUUGCGUGGCGGUCGGGAUCGCGCGAUGGUUACCUACCAACCCUUCCCCUAGGAGUAUGCGUUGAAUGCUUUGUUUCGAUUACUAAUAAAACUUUUGCAACAAGUAUAUGAGUUCUUCAUGACUAAUGUUGAGUCCAUGGUUUAGAUGCAUUUUCACCUUCCACCAUCACUAUCUUCUUAGUGCCGUGCAACUUUCGCCGGUGCACAAAACCCACCAUUAGCCUCCCUCAAAACAACCACAAUACCUACCUACUAUGGCUUUUUCAAAGUCAUUCCGAGAUAUAUUUCCAUGCAACUACCACCAUGACAUGUGCCACCACGUCUACAUUGCCAUUGCAUGAUCGUAAGAUAGCUAGCAUGAUGUAUCCAUUAAUGUCUAUGCCAUGCUAGAUCAUUGCCCCGGUACACUAUCGAAGGCAUUCCAUAUAGAGUCAUUGUUGCUCUAAGUUUUGAGUUGAAAGUGUGAUGAUCAUCAUUAAUGGAGCAUUGUCCCAUGUGAGGAAAUAAAAGAGGCCAAAGAAGCCCACCAAAAAAAAGAGGCCAAAGAGCCCACCAAAAAAUGAGAGAAAAAGAGAGAAGGGACAAUGCUACCACUUUUUCCACACUUGUGCAGAUUAAGCACCAUCAUCUUCAUGAUUGAGAGUCUCUCGUUUUGUCACCACCAUAUAGCUAGUGGGAAAUUUUCAUUAUAUAACUUGGCUUGUAUAUUCCAAUGAUAGGCUUCCUAAAAAUUGCCUUAGGUCUUUGUGAGCAAGCAAGUUGGAUGCACACCCACUAGUUUUCUUUAAGAGCUUUCACAUACUCGUAGCUCUAGUGCAUCAUUUUAUGGCAAUCCCUACUCAUUCACAUUGAUAUCUAUUGAUGAGCAUCUCGACAGCUCAUUGAUAUGCCUAGUUAAUGUGACCAUCUUCUCCUUGUUUUGUCUUGCAACCUCCACCACACUCCACACCAUCUAUAGUGCUAAAACCAUGGCUCACGCUCAUGUAUUGCGUGAGAGUUGAAAAGGUUUGAGAAAGUAAAGGUGUGAAACAAUUACUUGGCCAAUACCGGGGUUGUGCAUGAUUUAAAUUCGUUGUGCAAUGAUGAUAGAGCAUAGCCAGACUAUAUGCUUUUGUAGGGAUAACUUUCUUUUGGCCUUGUUAUUUUGAAAGUUCAUGAUUACCUUGCUAUUUUGCUUGAAUUAUUAUUGUUUCCACGUCAAUAGCAAACUAUUGUUUUGAAUCUAAUGGAUCUGAACAUUCACGUCACAUAAGAGGAGUUACUAACGACAUCUAUGCUAGGUAGCAUGAAAGCAUCAAAAAUUCAUUCUUUAUCACUUCCCUACUCGAGGACAAGAAGGAGUUAAGCUUGGGGAUGCUUGAUACGUCUCAAACGUAUCUAUAAUUUUUUAUGGUUUCACGCUGUUAUCUUUUCAUCUUUGGAUGUUUUAUGUACCUUCUAUAUAUUUUUUGGGACUAACUUACUAAUUCAGUGCCAAGUGCCAGUUCCUGUUUUUUCUGUGUUUUUGGCUCUUUUCAGAUCUGAUUUUGGAACGGAGUACAAACGUAAUAAAAUCCCCGAAAUGAUUUUUUCCCGAACGAAAGAAGAUCAGGGGGACUGUGGGCCAAGCCAGGAGGGCUCCUAGGAGCCCACAAGUCACCAGGGGGGAGGCGGCGGUGGCAGGGCUUGUGGCCUCCCUGAGCGCCCCCUGACCUAGAUCUUUGGCCUAUAUAUUCCCUAAAAUACAGCAAAAAAUCAGGGGAUCCACGAAAAUACUUUUCCGCCGCCGCAAGCUUCCGUUUCCCCGAGAUCUCAUCUGGAGACCCUUCCCGACGCUCUGCCGGAGGGGACUUUGGAGUUGGAGGGCUUUUUCAUCAUCAUCUCCACCCCUCCAAUGACUCGUGAGUAGUUCACUUCAGACUUAGGGGUCCGUAGUUAGUAGCUAGAUGGCUUCUUCUCUCUCUUGGAUCUUCAAUACAAAGUUCUCCAUGAUCUUCAUGGAUAUAUAUCCGAUGUAAUCUUCUUUGGCAGUGUGUUUGUCGAGAUCCGAUGAAUUGUGGAUUUGUGAUCAGAUUAUCUAUGAUAUAUAUNNNNNNNNNNNNNNNNNNNNNNNNNNNNNNNNNNNNNNNNNNNNNNNNNNNNNNNNNNNNNNNNNNNNNNNNNNNNNNNNNNNNNNNNNNNNNNNNNNNNAACUUUUGUUGGUUGACCUAAGGGUCCUUUUCAAUUGCAAUCUUUCUCCUGAUGCUUAAUUGACUCGAGUGACCGAUAAAGAAAAUUACUUUUGUAAUUGCAGACAAGUGAAGCUACACCUGGAACAGAAGAUUGGGAGCUCCCUGCUGUGGUAUACCCCCCCUCCAUCCCGCCCCCCCCCCCCGNCCCCCGCCCCCGACGGCCUGUAGAUCCUAGACGUUCCAGGCAUGCCUCUUCCCCUUCCUGCCAUGUACAUAGCUUACUUGUUAUGUUGUCGCGAUUAGAUAAAUUUCUAUGAACAUCGUCAUUCUAUUUGAGCGUAUUGGUUGGUGAUUAGUCGAAAAAGGAAUAAAUUGGAGAAGAAAAAUUGUAGCUUUAUUCUACUAUAAAAAAUCCAGGGGGCUCCUAAUCUGCAAUAGCUUACUCAUUGGCUCAGGAACAUGAACAUAUACUGCUAUGCUUUAUAUGCCUACUUUUUUAAGUUUUCUUUAACUUUUGCAUAGUCUUUUGUUACCAAGUAGAACAAUCAGGACAUACAUAANNNNNNNNNNNNNNNNNNNNNNNNNNNNNNNNNNNNNNNNNNNNNNNNNNNNNNNNNNNNNNNNNNNNNNNNNNNNNNNNNNNNNNNNNNNNNNNNNNNNGAAGAUCCAAGAGAGAGAAAAAGCCAUCUAGCUACUAGCUAUGGACCCGUAGGUCUAUGGUGAACUACUCACGCAUCAUCGGAGAGGUCAUGGUGUUGAUGAAGAAGCCCUCCGUAUCCGAAUCCCCCCUCCGGCAGGGCACCAGAAUGUGCCCCAGAUGGGAUCUUGCAUACAUAGAAGCUUGCAGCGGCAGAAAAGUAGUUUCAAUGAUCUCCUGAUUUUUUCUGGGAUUUUAGGGAAUUUAUAGGCGAAAGACCUAGGGUAGAGGUGGCCCAGGGAGCCCACAAGCCUGGGAGGCGCGGCCCCCCUGGCCGCGGCUAGGGGGCUUGUGGGUUCCCUGCUGGCCCCCUGCCUUGAUUCUCAGGCUUCCCGAUCUUCUUCUGUUUCGGAAAAAAUCUUUUUGGCAGUUUCGUUCCGUUUGGACUUCGUUUAAAAUCCUCCUCUGAAAGGGGUCAAAAACAAGGAAAAAAACAGGAACUGACACUUGGCACAGAGUUAAUAAGUUAGUCUCAAAAAAGAUAUAAAAGGCAUACAAAACAUCAAAACUUUAACAAGAUAAUAGCAUGAAACCAUAAAAAAUUAUAGAUACGUUGGAGACGUAUCAGACAUCACUAGUGAACAUCAUGUGACUCAGGUCCAUAUCACCACCAUUGCUUACACCUCCACCAUUUACUGCUUUCAUUUACUUUUCCGUUGCAAUCACUAUCACUAUUCCCGCUUAUGUUUUGGUCCUUUGCAAACUACAAGGCCGGAGAGAUUGAUAACCUCUCUGUACUCGUUGGGAGCAAAGUUAUUUGUUGUGUGUGCAGGUCCACGUCUUCUGCUAGAGCCAGAGCAACAGACACCUAAUUUUUGAUCCUCGGAGUCUUCCUGGUUCGAUAAACCUUACAGUCCCCGUGUAAGGGAAAUCUGUUGCUGAAUACAUCUCCACCUUCCACUUGGGGUAACCAACGAGGGGCGAGAAGUAUAUCCAUCAACUCGUCAUCAUGGCCCCGCCUGUCGGUGAGCCAUCCGUUGCCUCCGAGUGGCGUAGUCUCCCCUGGUGCGCUUUCUUCUCACUAAUGCGUAUUUUGGCCGAAGCAUUUUCCCUUGGUACGUCUGCCUCUCUGGAAAGCGUAUUUGGUCCAAAGUGUUUUCUAUUCCUUUCCUUAAAAAACAGAUUUGACCAGGGUCUUUAAAUGGCUCUAACUUUUUAAAGAAAACUCCAAAACAACUCAUUCUUUUUCCUACCUAUAUAAAAUAUCCUCUAGUUUAUUUACAAAUUUAUUUCAAAAAACUUCAAACAACUUUUAUGUGCUGUUUUAAAUUUGUGCGUUAAUUUAGAUAUUUGUCAAAAUAGGAUUUGCAGAGAGGGGACUCACUUCAAGAAUUUGUUGUGCACAUCACACUCCUCAACUCCAAAGGCAAGCAUCUUGAACUCUUAUUUACAUCAAGUUGUGUGAUGUUUGUUGUGGUACAUCUAUUGCAUGAUUUUAGUUUAUGUUGAUAAAAAUAUCGCAUGAAAUCAUACCUUGCAUGACAACAUGUGAUGGAUAUUUUUUGUUGCUAAGUUUGUGGAUGGCGAGUGGUGAGUGGGUACUGCCUCAUACCUCGUAUGCUAUGUUGGUCUGGACAACCUCGGAGUAAGGUGUGUCGUGGUGGAAAUAAGACCAUGGGCUGACAUCUCGUGGGAAGAGAGUGGUCAGUGAUAGCUUGUUGGUGUUUGAUGGCAGUAACCCUCAAAUAAUACCUUUAGCAAGAUUGUGUGGUACUAACCCUUGCAGGAAAAUAUUAAACCUCCUAAGUCGACUGUAGUUCGAGUCUUGCCUAUGUGUCACCUUAACUUUCGUGCUACCGCGGGUCUUCUCGAAAGGGAAUACGGUCUAGUAGGUCGUAAAUCUAUUACCAGGUAGACACCAAGUAGAGAGGACGAGAUGAAGGUAUCCAUGGCCCUGGACUAAAUCCAGUCAUCCAGUCAGGGGGUAUGGGUGUCUCCGGUCUGGGACCGAGAGGGAAUGGCCAUUCCCUUUUAGCGCGCGGUAUAAAUUUGAUCCCAUGCUAGUCGAGGUUGGAGCCUCCCCCGUCUUAUGGUUUUCUCUCGCAGCGUAGUUCGAGUGAUAUCGGUAUUCGUGGGAGAAAAAUGGGUUUGUACUAGUUAUGAGUGUUUACUUCUAAAAUACCGUGCGUAGGAUUAGUCCGAGUGACUCUUGAAACCCGUGGGAUGUGGGUAAAGAGUACACCCUCUGCAGAGUCAAAACUAUUCGAGUAGUCGGGUCCACGGUCAAGGACGACUGGUUGACUAGUCAAGUGUCGGUUCGAGUGUCGAUCUUCGAAGGAAGUUAAUGACAUCGUGAGACAAAUCACGAAAUAUGGUGGAUGAUCAUAACUAUUGUUUUUAUUGUGGACUAAUCCCUAUGAUUUUCUUGGUUGAAUAUCCGUGGGAAGGUUCUACCUCCUGGAUAUUCAAUAUUUAUUAUUAUUUCUUAUAAGCUCUUUUUGUGGUGUCGCUUAGACGCCCGAUAGUGGCAUGCUCGUUAUUAUUUCUUAUAAGCCCUUUCUAUGGUGUCGCUUAGACGCUCGANNNNNNNNNNNNNNNNNNNNNNNNNNNNNNNNNNNNNNNNNNNNNNNNNNNNNNNNNNNNNNNNNNNNNNNNNNNNNNNNNNNNNNNNNNNNNNNNNNNNAACGUUGCCCGGGCAUCGUUUCCAUCUUGCCGCCAUAGUUCCCCUUUUGCUCGCCGUGGCGACACUUGUUUCUUUCUCUUCUUCCCGUGAUGUUUGAACUUGCAUGCAUGUCGCAUUCAUGGCAUAUAAUCUUGUGUUGCAUGCCUCUUGUGCCGUAGCUCCGAUCUAUGCUCCGCAUGUUAACCGUCUAGGAUGACUUGUAGAUUUACCGCUUCACCCCUUGCCAUGCUAAACAACAUUUAAUAUCGCCGAGUAAAUAACCGGGAGUGAACUAAAUAAUUAAUAGUGGAGUUUCGUCGAUAUGUAACUCGUUGCAUAUCGAGCUUCACUUAAUGUGUAGUGUUUGCGUGAGGUGAAUUGCCAUGCCAUCCCUUGCAUUUUAACCUGUUCAUGCAUCAUAUUAGGAUGUGCAUCAUGUUGUGCAUCGUGUGGUGAAUAUUUGUGUUGAUGUUUUAUUCCGGUUUGCUCUGUCUCAAUAGAGUUCCGCAAGCGUGUCGGAAUGUGAGGACCCGUUCGACUACGUUGGUUUGCCGACUCCACCGAGUUGUUCUUCUUCCAAGCGGGAUCUCAGGCAAGAUGACCAUUUCCCAGAUACCAUUACUACCAUUGCCAUGCUAGUUUUACCGCUUCUAUCGUUUAUGUCUCGUUGGCUACAACAUGUUUACAUAUCAGCCUCUCAACAAUGCCAUGAUAACCUUUAACCUGUUCGACCUAGCAAACCACUGAUUGGCUAUGUUACCGCUUGCUUACCUUAUUGUUAGCGUUGCUAGUUGCAGGUGUAGUUGCUUCCAUGUGAUAACAUGGGUCCCUUGUCAUAUCACCAUNNNNNNNNNNNNNNNNNNNNNNNNNNNNNNNNNNNNNNNNNNNNNNNNNNNNNNNNNNNNNNNNNNNNNNNNNNNNNNNNNNNNNNNNNNNNNNNNNNNNUUAAUACAAUUAUAGCAUGAACGAUAGACGAUUAUCAUGAACAAGGAAAUAUGAUAAUAACCAUUUUAUUAUUGCCUCUAGGGCAUAUUUCCAACAGUCUCCCACUUGCACUAGAGACAAUAAUCUAGUUACAUUGUGAUGAAUCGAACACCCAUAGCAUUAUGGUGCUGAUCAUGUUUUGCUCGUGGAAGAGGUUUAGUCAACGGGUCUGCAAUAUUCAGAUCCGUGUGUACUUUACAAAUAUCUAUCACUCCAGUUUGGACAUGGUCCUGGAUGGAGUUGUAGCGGCGCUUGAUGUGCUUCGUCUUCCGGUGAAACCUGGGCUCCUUGGCUAUGGCAAUGGCUCCAGUGUUAUCACAGAAGAGUGUCAUAGGACCCGACGCGCUUGGAACCACUCCAAGGUCGGUGAUGAGCUCCUUCAUCCAAAUUCCUUCAUGAGCCGCUUCUGAAGCAGCUAUGUACUCCGCUUCACAUGUAGAUGCUGCCACGACUUCUUGCUUGCUGCUGCACCAGCUCACUGCCCCACCAUUCAACAUAUAUACGUAUCCGGUUUGUGACUUAGAGUCAUCCGGAUCUGUGUCGAAGCUAGCGUCGACGUAACCCUUUACGACGAGCUCUUCGUAACCUCCAUAAAUGAGAAACAUUGCCUUAGUCCUUUUCAGGUACUUAAGGAUAUUCUUGACCGCUGUCCUGUGUUCUGCACCGGGAUUAUUUUGGUACCUCCCUACCAAGCUUAUCGCAAGGUUUAUAUCAGGUCUGGUACACAGCAUGGCAUACAUUAGAGAGCCCACGGCUGAAGCGUAGGGGACAGAACUCAUCUUCUCUCUAUCUACUGCCGUGGUCGGCGACUUAGUCUUACUCAAUCUCAUACCUUGCAAAACUGGCAAGAACCCUUUCUUUGAGUUUUCCAUAUUGAACUUCUUCAGUAUCUUGUCAAGGUAUGUACUUUGCGAAAUACCUAUGAGGCGUCUCGAUCUAUCUCUAUAGAUCUUGAUGCCUAAUAUGUAUGCAGCUUCUCCAAGGUCCUUCAUUGAAAAACUCUUGUUCAAAUAGGCCUUUAUGCUCUCCAACAUCUCUAUAUCAUUCCCCAUCAACAAUUUGUCAUCCACAUAUAGUACGAGGAAAGCUACAGAGCUCCCACUCACUUUCUUGUACAGACAGGCUUCUCCGUAAACCUGUAUGAACCCAAACGCCUUAAUCACCUCAUUAAAGCGAAUGUUCCAACUCCGAGAUGCUUGCACCAGCCCAUAGAUGGAGCGCUGGAGCUUGCAUACUUUGUUAGCACCUUUAGGAUCGACAAAACCUUCUGGUUGCAUCAUAUACAACUCUUCAUUAAGAUUCCCGUUAAGGAACGCUGUUUUGACGUCCAUUUGCCAAAUUUCAUAAUCAUAAAAUGCGGCAAUUGCUAACAUGAUUCGGACUGAUUUCAGCUUCGCUACGGGAGAGAAAGUCUCUUCGUAGUCAACUCCUUGAAUUUGUCGAAAACCCUUUGCGACAAGUCAAGCUUUGUAAACGGUUACAUUACCGUUUGCAUCAGUCUUCUUCUUGAAGAUCCAUUUAUUUUCUAUGGCUUGCCGUUCAUCGGGCAAGUCCACCAAAGUCCAUACUUUGUUCUCAUACAUGGAUCCUAUCUCGGAUUUCAUGGCCUCAAGCCAUUUGUUGGAAUCCGGGCCCGCCAUCGCUUCUUCAUAGUUCGAAGGUUCACCGUUGUCUAACAACAUGAUUUCCAUCACAGGGUUGCCGUACCACUCUGGUGCGGAGCGUACCCUUGUGGACCUUCGUGGUUCAGUAGUAACUUGAUCCGAAGCUUCACGAUCAUCAUCAUUAACUUCCUCUUCAGUUGGUGUAGGCACCACAGGAACAACUUCUUGCGUUGCGCUACUUUCCUGUUCGAGAGGGGGUGUAAUUACCUCAUCAAGUUCUACCUUCCUCCCACUUACUUCUUUCGAGAGAAACUCUUUCUCUAGAAAGGAUCCGUUCUUGGCAACAAAGGUUUUACCUUCGGAUCUAAGAUAGAAGGUAUACCCAAUAGUUUCCUUAGGGUAUCCUAUGAAUACACAUUUCUCCGCUUUGGGUUCGAGCUUUUCUGGUUGAAGUUUCUUCACAUAAGCAUCGCAGCCCCAAACUUUAAGAAACGACAACUUAGGUUUCUUGCUAAACCAUAGUUCAUACGGUGUCGUCUCAACGGAUUUAGACGGUGCCCUAUUUAAAGUGAAUGCUGCAGUUUCUAAUGCGUAUCCCCAAAAUGAUAGCGGUAAGUCGGUGAGAGACAUCAUAGAUCGUACCAUAUCUAAUAAAGUGCGAUUACGACGUUCAGACACUCCGUUGCGCUGCGGUGUGCCAGGCGGUGUUAGUUGUGAAACGAUUCCAUACUUCCUUAGGUGUGUGCCAAACUCGUGACUCAAAUAUUCUCCUCCACGAUCAGAUCGUAGACAUUUAAUUUUCCUGUCACGUUGAUUCUCAACCUCACUCUGAAAUUCCUUGAACUUUUCAAACGUCUCAGAUUUGUGCUUCAUCAAGUAGAUAUACCCAUACCUACUCAAAUCGUCGGUGAGAGUGAGAACAUAACGAUAACCACCGCGAGCUUCAACGUUCAUUGGACCACACACAUCAGUAUGUAUUAUUUCCAGUAAGUCGGAGGCUCUCUCCAUUAUUCCUGAGAAUGGAGUCUUAGUCAUCUUGCCCAUGAGGCACGGUUCGCAUGUGUCAAAUGAUUCAAAGUCAAGAGACUCUAGCAAUCCAUCAGUAUGGAGCUUCUUCAUGCGCUUAACGCCGAUAUGACCAAGGCGGCAGUGCCACAAGUAUGUGGGACUAUCAUUAUCAACUUUGCAUCUUUUGGUACUCACACUAUGAAUAUGUGUAACAUCACGAUCGAGAUUCAUCAAGAAUAAACCAUUCACCAGCGGAGCAUGACCAUAAAACAUAUCACUCAUAUAAAUAGAACAACCAUUAUUCUCUGACUUAAAUGAGUAGCCGUCUCGCAUUAAGCAAGACCCUGAUACAAUGUUCAUGCUUAAAGCUGGUACUAAAUAACAAUUAUUAAGGUUUAAAACUAAUCCCGACAGUAGAUGUAAAGGUAGCAUGCCGACGGCGAUCACAUCGACCUUUGAACCAUUCCCGACGCGCAUCGUCACCUCGUCCUUGGCCAGUCUCCGCUUAUUCCGCAGUUCCUGCUUUGAGUUGCAAAUGUGAGCAACAGCACCGGUAUCAAAUACCCAGGAGCUACUAUGAGCGCUGGUAAGGUACACAUCAAUAACAUGUAUAUCAUAUAUACCUUUAACGUUGUCGUCCUUCUUGUCCGCUAAGUAUUUGGGGCAGUUCCGCUUCCAGUGACCUUUUCCCUUGCAGUAGAAGCACUCAGUCUCAGGCUUGGGUCCGUUCUUUUCUUCUUCCCGGCAUCUGGCUUACCGGGCGCGGCAACAGCUUUGCCGUCUUUCUUGAAGUUCUUUUUACCCCUGCCUUUCUUGAAACUAGUGGUCUUGUUGACCAUCAACACUUGAUGCUCCUUCUUGAUUUCUACUUCUGCAGACUUGAGCAUCGAGUACAACUCGGGAAUGGUUUUCUCCAUCCCUUGCAUGUUGUAGUUAAGCACAAAGCCUUUGUAGCUUGGUGGGAGAGACUGGAGGAUUCUGUCAAUGAUAGCAUCAUCCGGAAGUUCGACUCCAAGUGAAGUCAGACGACCGUGUAACCCAGACAUUUUGAGUAUGUUCUCACUGACAGAACUGUGCUCCUCCAUCUUACAGCUGAAGAACUUGUCGGAGACUUCAUAUCUCUCGACACGGGCAUGAGCUUGAAAAACUAGCUUCAGCUCUUGGAACAUCUCAUAUGCCCCGUGUUGCUCAAAACGUCUUUGGAGCCCCGUUUCUAAACUGUAUAACAUGCCACACCUGACCAGAGAGUAGUCAUCACUCCGUGCUUGCCAGACGUUUAGAACGUCCUGCGCUGCUGUGGGAGCGGGAGGGUCACCUAGCGGCGCAUUAAGGACAUAAGCCUUUUUACUUGCUUCAAGGAUGAGCUUCAGGUUGCGAACCCAGUCCGCAUAGUUGCUACCAUCAUCUUUCAGCUUGUUUUUCUCUAAGAAUGCGUUGAAGUUGAGGUUGACGUUGGACAUCUACAAUAUUUAUAAAGACAACUUUUAGACUAAGUUCACGACAAUUAAGUUCAUUUAAUCAAAUUAAGUAUGAACUCCCACUUAAAUCGACAUCCCUCUAGUCAUCUAAGUGUUACAUGAUCCACGUUGACUAACCCGUGUCCAAUCAUCACGUGAGACGGACUAGUCACCAUGGUGAGCAACUUCAUGCUGAUCGUAUUCAACCAUACGACUCAUGUUCGACAUUUUGGUCUCUUGUAUUCGAGGUCAUGUCUGUACAUGCUAAGCUCGUCGAGUCAACCUAAGUGUUUCGCGUGUGUAAAUCUGGCUUACACCCGUUGUAUGCGAACGUUAGAAUCUAUCACACCCGAUCAUCACGUGGUGCUUCGAGACAACGAACCUUCGCAACGGUGCACACUUAGGGGAAUAUGUUCUCGAAAUUUUAGGAGGGAUCAUCUUAUUAUGCUACCGUCGUUUUAAGCAACAAGAUGUAAAACAUGAUAAACAUCACAAUGCAAUCAUAUAGUGACAUGAUAUGGCCAUUAUCAUCUUUGCUCAUUCGAUCUCCAUCUUCAGGCAUCGCAUGAUCAUCAUCGUCACCGGCUUGACACCAUGAUCUCCGUCAUCAUGAUCUCCAUCAUCGUGUCUCCGUGAAGUCGUCACGCCAACUACUACUAUCACUACUACUAUGGCUAACCGUUAGCAAUGAAGUAAAAGUAGCAAGCACAUGGCGUUGCAUCUCAUACAAUAAAUUAAGACAACUCCUAUGGCUCCUGCCGGUUGUCAUACUCAUCGACAUGCAAGUCGUGAAACCUAUUACAAUAACAUGAUCAUCUCAUACAUCAUACAUGCAACAUCACAACUUUGGCCAUAUCACAUCACAUGUCAAACCCUGCAAAAACAAGUUAGACGUCCUCUAAUUGUUGUUGCAAGUUUUACGUGGCUGAUUUGGGUUUCUAGCAAGAACGCCUUCUUACCUACGUGACAGCCACAAUGAUGAUAUGCCAAAGCUAUUUACCCUUCAUAAGGACCCUUUUCGUCAAAUCCAAUCCGACUAGAGUAGGAGAGACAGACACCCGCUAGCCACCUUUAUGCACGAUGUGCAUGUCUGUCGGUGGAACCAGUCUCACGUAAGCGUACGUGUAAGGUCGGUCCGGGCCGCUUCAUCCCACAAUACCGCCAGAAAAGAAUAAGACUAGUAACGGCAAGCAAAUUGACAAACCAUCGCCCACAACUUUUGUGUUCUACUCGUGCAUAGAAUCUACGCAUAGAAAACCUGGCUCGGAUGCCACUGUUGGGGAACGUAGCAUAAAUUCAAAAUUUUCCUACGCUUAUUGAGAUCUUCCUAUGGAGAGANNNNNNNNNNNNNNNNNNNNNNNNNNNNNNNNNNNNNNNNNNNNNNNNNNNNNNNNNNNNNNNNNNNNNNNNNNNNNNNNNNNNNNNNNNNNNNNNNNNNNNNNNNNNNNNNNNNNNNNNNNNNNNNNNNNNNNNNNNNNNNNNNNNNNNNNNNNNNNNNNNNNNNNNNNNNNNNNNNNNNNNNNNNNNNNNNNNNNNNNNNNNNNNNNNNNNNNNNNNNNNNNNNNNNNNNNNNNNNNNNNNNNNNNNNNNNNNNNNNNNNNNNNNNNNNNNNNNNNNNNNNNNNNNNNNNNNNNNNNNNNNNNNNNNNNNNNNNNNNNNNNNNNNNNNNNNNNNNNNNNNNNNNNNNNNNNNNNNNNNNNNNNNNNNNNNNNNNNNNNNNNNNNNNNNNNNNNNNNNNNNNNNNNNNNNNNNNNNNNNNNNNNNNNNNNNNNNNNNNNNCUAUAUAUAGGGGGAGAGGCAGGGGGCGCAGCCCUUAGGGUUCCCACCCCUAAGGGGUGCGGCAGCCCUUAGAUGGGAGAGGGGUGGCGGCCAGGGCAAGGGGGAGGGGUGGCGCACCCCUCUGGUGGGCCUAAGGCCCACCUAAAUAGGGUUCCCCCUCUCCCCUUUUUCCNNNNNNNNNNNNNNNNNNNNNNNNNNNNNNNNNNNNNNNNNNNNNNNNNNNNNNNNNNNNNNNNNNNNNNNNNNNNNNNNNNNNNNNNNNNNNNNNNNNNAACGACCUAAGGUUGUAAUUUGAGCUUGAUUGAGUGAACUAGUGCACUCGGUUGCCAACACAUUAUUUGGAUUUAUCUCAUCACCAUUUUACCAAAUAUAAACCGUGUAAGACAUUACCGUAUAUAUAUAGCGUAAUGCGAAGUUACAAAUCCUCUAAUUUUAUUAUGUGAGGGCGAUGUUCUAGUGCCAUUCAAACAUGACAUUUGAGGCUUACGCAGAAAAGUAUUCCGAGUACCGUCCUUUUAUUUAUUGAUUUAGAAUAGCAAAAAAAAAGAUGAAUACAUGCGGAACAUGAAUAAAUUACCAUGAUAGAAUAGAAGCAUUUUGAAUUCGCCAAAAGAAGGAAUAAAUAGAUGCAUUUUCAAGCGGCUUUGGCCGGGGCGGGUGUAGGGGUAGAAGAAAUUAGCUUGCAUGUAUCGCGACACUUGUUAUCUGAGCUAUCCUUUUCCUUUGCGCAAUGCUUGAAGCAAUCGAUGUCUUGCUCUAUGGCUUUCUUAUUGGUGGGGGUGGCCAUGAUGUAGCCAAAUCUCGCAGCCAUGUAUGGGCAGUCGACGUAGCAGUGGUCGGUGCAAGUAGGAUCCAUGCAUGCCUUGUCGCAGUCGGCGCCACAUUGGGUAGAAUAGUCCUUGACAGUCUUGUCGCCUGGGCAGCCACCAUGCUUGUCGACGGAUUCUUUCAAGGCAUCCUGCCCUCCAGAAGUUUCUAGAUUAAAGACUUCUUCCUUCUUUUCCCCGACCUCGGCGAGCUCCGUGAACAAGCGCUCGAUGAAGGUGACGCUGCUUGCCUUAGUGCUGCAUGCCUUGUCGACCAUGGCGGUGCACGUGGCGUCCUUUUUUAUCCCUUGCCACAGAGCUUGGAGUACUCGAUGAGGCAGGUGGGAGUAGCCUUCUCAUGCCCCGAGUCCACCAACACAGGUGAUGUGGCCGCCGCCACCACAAGGGUGAUGACGAGCAGCGACUCGGCCUUGCGCUUGGCAUCCAUCUUGUUGUCGAUUUCUCUUUGAUAGUUGGACCACCAACACUAGUGUUGAUCGAGAUACUUGCAUUGCAUUACAUUUAUAUAGGCGAUGACCCAGGGUCGGGGCAAGUGGUAUGAUAGUGAGGCCAUCAGCCAUUGGAGCUCCAUAGACGCUAAAUUUGGCGAAUGCAUUUUUACAAAACCGGCCAAAACAUCCACCCGACCGAGGUCCAAUUUCUAUUUAGGGAGCAAGAUCUAAUUUUAGUACUAAAGGCAUUCAUAUAUGUGUGAGGUGUGUAUUUUCUACUUAUGUAUUUUAAGAAAAAUCCUCGAAUUUUCUAUAGACGGAAAUUAGGUGUGGUAUGCAUGUGUUGUUGCUAAAUUCAGCUUGCUAGUCCUCCUUUCCUGACUGAGACCGUCCCCUGGUCGUGAAGUGAUGUGACACUCCUCCUCUCUUGGAUGAUACCUCCUAUUUCGUGCCUAGGCACUCGCGAAUUAAAAAUUGAGCAACCGAAACUUCUAAUGGGAUAUCGUGCAUAUGAAAACUAUUUGUCACCUAUUUCAAAGAAAAAAUAUGUAUUCUAUAUUAAAGAACUGUGGUCGAAAUUUGAAAAGAAUCAUUGCAUAUUUGACAUUGUGUGAAUUUCCUAUUAGAGGUAUGGAAAUUUUGUAACAAAAUAUGGUCAUCACAUAUUUUAAUAUUCUCAUAGUUUAAUUAAAAUUGUUCAUUGGGUAAGAAAGUCAUCAAGUUAUUAAAACAUCGAAAAGGGAAAAAAUCUAAGAAAUGAAAAGCUGGAAAUGAAAACAUGGUCAUCUGGUACUAAAAGAUAAUAUGAUAAAAGACAACAUUGUCAAAAAUAAGGAAAAGAAAACUAAGGGUAAAACAAAAAUACAAGAAAUAAGUAGGAGGAUGAAGAUAGAAAAUAAAACAAAAACAUCACAAAUAGAGAAGCACAGAAAAUAAAGGGAGCAAAAAAGUACUAGAGCAGCAACUGCUAAGUGCGCAAAAUAACUAUUAUGUGCACUAUGAGCGGAAUAGAAUUCUUACAAUUGGAUGGCUUACUCGAUGGGAGACCCUAUACAGUGACCUACCUGCUAGAAACUCUAAAAUCACUUGUUAAGGGAUAUCCUUUGUAAAGGUCACCAUCAUCUUGUUAGGCUCUUACAUGUUGUGCAUUGCAUGUGCGCCACUUGUCGCACCGAGAUGUCCUUUUUUUUGUAGAUUUGUUUGUUUAAAAUGUUUAUCUCUUGAACCAUGCAUCUAAAGCCAUAGUUGGUUUCACUGUUGGAUUUGCCACGUCAAGAUUUUCAAAACUAGAUCACAUGUUAAUAGAUUUUGAAUAAAACCUCACAAAAACCUAAAAAACAGAAACCUAAAAACAAAAAAAUUGGGAAAAAAUAAUAACAAAAAAGUUUGAAAAAAACUGAACCCGAAAACAGGAUUGUGGUUUUCACUUUUUUUCUCUUUUCGAGGAUCACAUUUUUAUCCCGAGUUGUGAUUCUCGUGCAACCAAAUAUGUGCUUCCGCGAGAAAUAAAAUUGUGCUUUUCAUAGAGGCAAUUUUUUUCAUUUUUUCGAAGAAGCAAAAGAAGUAUGUUCUUCCACAAGAGGCGAAUAGUGUUUCUUGUGGACGUAGUUGUGUUUCUCUUAAAAAUAAAUCUUUGCUUCCCUUGGAAGCACUGUUUUUGUCCUUUUCCAAGAAGCACACAUGUUUCAGAAAAAUCAAAUAACAUUCACAAAUUACUAGAAAGUAAACAUUUAAUAAAUAUUGUUUGCAAUUUUCAAAAAAUAAUUAGAGUCCAAGAACAUUUUUUUAUUUGGGAAUAAAUUUUGAGUUAAUGUUCUUUUUCAAGCGUGCGAACAUUUUCAUGAAUUAAUGCACAUUUUUAUGAAUUCAUCAUAAUUUUUGAAUUCAUGUUUUUUUCUGAAUUCAUAACCAUUUAUUUGGAUUCAAGAAUGUUCAUUUGAAUUUAUCGACAUUGUUCUGACUUAAAAACCGACCUAGAUAAAAAAAGUAGGUAAAAAACUAAUCUAAGAAAAAGCAGGUGUGAAAAAAGAGUAUGUGUGUUGGGACCCUGAUCCUAAGUCAUACAAUUCCAGCUUGUAACACAUUAUAUCACUUUGUGGCCUCAUGCAUGAUACUCACCACGGCUGCCACCUUUCCUUGGCCGGGACCGUUUGCGUAUUUUGGCUCACGUAUAUGACUAUGUCGCCAACAUUCAUAUGUCAGAAAACCCGGAUAGACAUGGCUAGCUUUAAACCCAAGUGGCACAUCCGUACAGGAACAUGCAUACAUAACCCAACAAAGCAAGUGUCGGUCAACAACGUAGAGGCAAUAAUAAAAUGGUUAUUAUCAUAUUUCCUUGUUCAUGAUAAUUGUCUAUUGUUUAUAAUAUAAUUGUAUUGACAGGAAACAUUAAUACAUGUGUGAAUAAAUAGAUCACAAUGUGUCCCUAGCAAGCCUCUAGUUGGCUAGCUCGAUGAUCAAUAGAUGGUCGUGGUUUCCUGAUCAUGGACAUUGGAUGUCAUUGCUAACGGGAUCACAUCAUAGGAGAAUGUUGUGAUGGACAAGACCCAAUCCUAAGCAUAGCACUAGAUCGUUUUGUUCGUAUGCUAAAGCUUUUCUAAUGUCAAGUAUCUUUUCCUUCGACCGUGAGAUUCUGCAACUCACAGAUACCGUAAGAGUGCUUUGAGUGUAUCAAACGUCACAACGUAACUGGGUGACUAUAAAGGUGCACUACGGGUAUCUCCGAAAGUAUCUCUUGGGUUGGCACGAAUCGAGAUCGGGAUUUGUGACUCCGUGUGACGGAGAGGUUUCUCUGGGCCCACUCAGUAGAACAUCAUCAUAAUGAGCUCAGUGUGACUAAGUAGUUAUUCACGGGAUGAUGUGCUACAGAACGAGUAAAGAGACUUACCGGUAACGAGAUUGAACAAGGUAUAGGGAUACCGACGAUUGAAUCUCGGGCAAGUUCUAUACCGACAGACAAAGGGAAUUGUAUACGGGAUUGAUUGAAUCCUUGAGAUCGUGGUUCAUCCGAUGAGAUCAUCGUGGAACAUAUAGGAGCCACCAUGGGUAUCCAGAUCCCGCUAGUGUUUAUUGGCCGGGGAGGUGUCUCGGUCAUGUCUGCAUGCCUCCCGAACCCGUAGGGUCUACACACUUAAGGUUCGAUGAUGCUAGGGUAGUAGGGAAUUGUUAUACGAGGUUACCGAAGGUUGUUCAGAGUCCCGGUUGAGAUCCCGGACAUCACGAGGAGCUCCGGAAUGGUUCGGAGGUAAAGAUUGAUAUAUAGGAUGGAUGGGUUUGGAUGCCAGAAAUGUUUCGAGCACCACCGGCAACGUGUCGGGACCACCGGAAAGGUUCCAGAGGCCCACCGGGAGGGGCCACCAGCCCCGGGAGGCUACAUGGGCUAAGUGUGAGAGGGAACCAGCCCCUGGGUGGGCUCGUGCGCCGCCACACCCAGCCCAAGGCGCCAAGAGAGGGAAGGGGGAACCCUAAGUCAGGUGGGCCUUAGGCCCACCAGGGGGUGCGCCACCCCCUCCUCCCCUCCUGGCCACCACCUCCUGCCCCAUCUAGGGUUGCCGCACUCCUUAGGGGUGGGAACCCUAAGGGGGGCGCCACCCUGCCCUUCCCCCUAUAUAUAGUGGGGGUUUUGGCCAUUGGAGACAUGUAAAUUUCUCUCUCUCUCGGCGCAGCCCUCCUUCUCUUCUUCCUCGUGUCCCACGGUGCUUGGCGAAGCCCUGCGGGAGACCUUGUUGCUCCAUCGCCACCACGCCGUCGUGCUGCCGGAGCUGUUCCCCAACCUCUCCCUCCUCCAUGCCGGAUCAAGGUGCGGGAGACGUCACCGAGCUGCACGUGUGUUGAACGCGGGGGUGUUGUGGUUCGACACUAGAUCGGAAUCACACCAUGAUUUGAAUCGCAACGAGUACGACUCCAUCAACCGCGUUCUAGCAACGCUUCCGCUUAGCGAUCUUCAAAGGUAUGAAGAUGCUCUCACCCCUCUCUUGUUGCUGGUUUCUCCAUAGGAAGAUCUUUAUAUGGCGUAGGAAAAAUUUUGAAUUUUGCUACAUUACCCAACAAAUAGGCCGAGAGGGGUUGAGUUACCGGAACUCAAUGUGCGGUAGUAGCUAGUCUUGGCACACCAACACAAGAUCUCGGGUGGUGAGUGCGACGUAAGUGAGACAACCCACCAUGUACUCCUACAUGGCCUCUCAUCGCUGGCUUUACCGAAAGAGGUUCACAUACUUAACCCUCAUCAGUAGGACAUGAUCAUUCCAAUUCAUCACCCAGAUGAUCAAACCAGCUCAACUCUAAGCAUAGCAAGCAUAACAGGGUAAUGGCACAACAUGUCUCAUGCAUCUACUAGGUAUGCUAGGUUUCUUGGUUUAGCUCUUUACUGUAACAAUGACAUAUCAUGCAAAGGAAUGGGUUCAUCUACCGAAACACAAGUAGCAGUUGAAUUAUCUUGUCCUAAUGUAUUGAAACGAGAGCAAGAGCGAUAGAGUGCGAUUUCAUUGGUCAGAAGAACUCAACUAUUCUUUGAUGUCAGUGAUAAAUACAUCUCACAAGUCUAUCAACAAGAUCAAACAAGGAAGAAUUUAGGCACGGAAAAUGCUUCACAAUGAUGCAUGACUUUGGCAUGUUAACAUGAUUCUGUUUUUGUCUAAUGCAGGUGGUCAUAAGUUAAAUGGAAGUUAUUUGAUCAUUAUAGAUCAAUUUCAAACCCAUUUAUAAGCAUUCAUAUGUCUUUAUUGAAAUUUUCAUAUUCAACAAGUUUAAGUUGUUCAAACAGUCAUGAAAAUGGUACCAUCCUAUUCCUUGCAUUUUUCGAUAACUUUUCAUAAAUAAUUUACUUCAUUUGGAGCUAUGGUUGAAUUUCUAUGAACUUUUGAAGUUUUGAACAUUUUCUAGAAUUAAAUAAAUCCAGAAAUGGUUUACUGCGUCAGCAAGUCAACCGACCAAGUUCCAGGUCAAACCUGACCAGUAGGGGCCACUGGUCAGUGACCCAGGGCUAAUCCCCGCACUGACCCGCCCUAAUUGGGGGUUUGACCACCUGCGGGCCCGCUGGUUUGUGGCUGAUGGGGGCAAUUUGGACUAAUGGCCACGCCACGUGGGCGCCCAUCGGGGUUUGGCCGACGGCGACCGAAUACGUAGCGGGGGCUCACCGGAGUUGCCCUAAUAGGCGCUACAGAGCACGGAUCCAGGCGCUAAGAGCACUAGGAUGAAGCCCAGGCUUGACCUCACCCAGCAGGAUUUGGCGCCGACGAUAAGUUGGGCGGCCGGAUUUGGCGCCGACGAUAAGUUGGGCGGCGUCAGUGGCGCGGGCUCAGCGGAAGCUGCAGCUAGGGGCACGGGAGGACCACAGGGAUAGAGGAAUGGGCUGUGCGGCUCACCACGAUGAGGAUAGAGCCAACGACGACCUCAGGGAGGCCUUCUAGCUGGCGAAUCGGUGACGAGGUUGUCGGCGACUGGAGGUUGAAGACGACGUCGCUGGCGGCGAUGCAGGGGCGUCCGAGCUCAAUUAUUCCAGCGAGGAAGAGCAUUCGUGUUGGCGGAGGCGAUGAGCAGGUCAGGGGGGCGUAGAAGUGACGAUGGCCGUGGUGGUGCCCGAUGGUGACGGCAGCGCGCUCUGGUCCGAGGGAGAGGGAGCAGAGGGAUAGGAAGAAAGCGAGAGGGAGAGACCAGAGGGGAUAAGGGAGAGGGCAUCGGGGCCUCCGUGGCGUCGCUAGAAGGAGGACUGAGCCACGACGAAGCAGGAGGUGGCCGAGGCUCUCGGGUGCACGCCACGCCUCUCCUCUGCCUACUGGCUGGAGGUAGAAGACGGGGCUGCCCCUGGGGGCUGGGCUAGCCAGGUAAGUGGCGAGGUUUGUUCUUUCUCCUUUUUUCUAGUUCAUUUCUUUUCUACUUUCUGAUAUAUUUUUUUGGCUUUUUAUAUAAAUAUAAAACCAUUUGUAAAUUUAUCUUGAUAACAGUCAUGUGGGCUACAUCUGCAUGAUACGUCCAUUUUGCAUCAUGCUUUCAUGUUGAUAUUUAUCGCUUCUUGGCCUGUUAUUUCACUUCACGGUACAAUACUUAUGCCUUUUCUCUCUUAUUUUGCCAGGUUUACAUGAAGAGGAAGAAUGCUGGCAGCUGGAAUUCUGGCCUGAAAAUGGAGCAAGUUUGAGAUACCUAUUCUGCGCAACUCCAAACACCGUAAAAAUAAACGAGGAUUUUUUCGGGAUUUAUAAAAAAUACUAGGCCGAAGAAGUGUGAGAGGGGCGCUAGCAGGUGGCCACAGCCUGCUAGGUGCGGCCACCCCCCUGGCCGCGCCUAGGGGGCUUGUGGGCACCCAUCUGGCCCUCUGGCCCCCCUCUUCUGCUAUAUGAAGGGUUUCGUUCUAAAAAAAAUCAGGAGGAGGCUUUUUUGAGGAUUCGCUGCCGCCACGAGGCGGAACUUGAGCAGAACCAAACUAGAGCUCCACGAGGACGAUCCUGCCGGGGAAACUUCCCUCCCGGAGGGGGAAAUCGUCGCCAUCGUCAUCACCAACACUCCUCUCAUCGGAGGGGAAUCGUCACCAUCAACAUCUUCAUCAGCACCAUCUCAUCUCCAAACCCUAGUUCAUCUCUUGUAACCAAUCUCUGUCCCGCGACUCCGAUUGGUACUUGUAAGGUUGCUAGUAGUGUUAAGUACUGUUUGUAGUUGAUGCUAGUUGGAUUACUUGGUGGAAGAGUUUAUUUUCAGAUCCUUGAUGCUACUCAUUACCUCUCUGGUCAUGAAUAUGAUAAUUCUUUGUGAGUAGUUAUCUUUGUUCCAAAGGACAUGGGAUAAGUCAUGCUAAUAGUAGUCAUCUGAUUUGGUAUCCGUUCGAUAUUUUGAUGUGUUGUAUGUUGUUUUUCCUCUAGUGGUGUUAUGUGAACGUCGACUACAUAACAUUUCACCAUUAUUUGGGCCUAGAGGAAGUCAUUGGGAAGUAGUAAGUAGAUGAUGGGUUGCUAGAGUGACAUAAGCUUAAACCCUAGUUUAUGCGUUGCUUCGUAAGGGGAUGAUUUGGAUCCACUAGUUUAAUGCUAUGGUUAGAGUUUGUCUUAAUUCUUCUUUAGUAGUUGCGGAUGCUUGCGAGAGGGGUUAAUCAUAAGUGGGAUUCUUGUCCAACUAAGGGCAGUACCCAAGCGCCAGUCCACCCACAUAUCAAACUAUCAAAGUAACAAACGUGAAUCAUGUGAACAUGAUGAAAACUAGCAUGACAGAAAUUCCCGUGUGUCCACGGGAGAGUUUUUCCUCCUAUAAGACUUUGUCCAGGCUGGUUCGUUGCUACAAAAGGAUUGGGCCACUUUGCUGCACCGUUGCAACUUUUGUUACUUGUUGCUUUCUACGAAUCAUCUCACCACACAAUCACUUGUUACCGAUAAUUUCAGUGCUUGCAGAUAUUUCCUUGCUGAAAACCACUUGUCAGAUCCUUCUGCUCCUCGUUGGGUUCGACACUCUUACUUAUCAAAAGGACUAUGAUAGAUCCCCUAUACUUGUGGGUCAUCAAGACUCUUUUCUGACGCCGUUGCUGGGGAGUGAAGCGCCUUUGGUAAGUGGAACUUGGUAAGGAAGCAUUCAAAUAGUGUGCUGAAAUUUAUUGUCACUUGUCACUAUGGAAACUAAUCCUUUGAGGGGCUUGUUCGGGGUAUCUUCACCUCGAACAAAAUCACAAAGAGUUGCUUCUCAACCUGCUGCACCUACUGAAAAUAUUUGCUUUGAAUUUCCUUCGGGUAUGCUUGAGAAACUGCUGGCUAAUCCUUUUGCAGGAGAUGGAACAUCACAUCCAGACAUGCAUCUAAUCUAUGUAGAUGAAGUUUGUGGUUUAUUUAAGCUUGCAGGUUUGCCCGAGGAUGAGGUCAAGAAGAAGGUCUUUCGUUUAUCUUUGAAGGAUAAGGCGUUGACAUGGUAUAGGCUACGUGAUGAUACUCGAUCAUGGAACUACAAUCGGUUGAAAUUGGAAUUUCAUCAAAAGUUUUAUCCUAUGCAUUUAGUACAUCGUGAUCGGAAUUAUAUUUAUAAUUUUUGGCCUCGUGACAGAGAAAGCAUCUCUCAAGCUUGGGGGAGGCUUAAAUCAAUGUUAUAUUCAUGCCACAACCAUGAGCUCUCGAGAGAAAUUAUCAUUCAGAACUUCUAUGCUCGGCUUUCUCAUGAUGAUCGCACCAUGCUUGACACUUCUUGUACCAGUUCUUUUAUGAAGAGAUAUAUUGACUUCAGAUGGAAUUUAUUGGAGAUAAUUAACCGCAACUCUGAAGAUUGGGAGCUUGAAGAAGGUAAGGAGUCAUGUAUGAAUUUCCAGUUUGAUUGCGUUAAAUCCUUUGUUGAAACAAAUACUUUGUGUGACUUUAGCGCUAAGUAUGGACUUGACUGUGAGAUAGUAGCUUCAUUGUGUGAAUCAUUUGCUGCUCAUAUUGAUCUCCCCAAAGAUAAGUGGUUUGAAUAUCAUCCACCUUUAGAAGUCAAUGUAGUUAAACCCAAUCCAGUUGAAGGGAAAGUCAUUGCCUAUAGUGAUCCUAUUGUUCCCAGUGCUUACAUUGAGAAACCACCUUUCCCUGUUAGGAUAAAGAUUCAUUCUAAAGCUUCAACUCUGAUACAUAGAGGCUACUAGAACACCUACACCCCAGAGAAAAUUAGAGUUGAACCUAGCAUUGCUAUUAUCAAAGAUCUCCUGUCCGACGAUGUUGUGGGACAUAAUAUUCACUUCUGUGAAGAUGCUUCUAGAAUUGCUAAACCUCACGCUAGAGACAAACAUAGGCCUGUUGUUGGCACGCAUGUUGUUUUUGUUAAGAUAGGAGAUUAUUGUUAUCAUGGUUUAUGUGACGUGGGUGCCAGUGUUAGUGCAAUACCUCAAUCCUUAUACGAUGAAAUUAAAGACGAGAUUCCACCUGUUGAGAUAGAGCCUAUUGAUAUCACUAUUCAGCUAGCCAAUAGAGAUACUAUCUGCCCUGUGGGAAUUGUUAGGGAUGUCGAAGUCUUGUGUGGUAAAACGAAGUAUUCUGCUGAUUUCCUCGUUCUUGCUACCGCACAAGAUUGCUUUUGUCCCAUCAUAUUUGGCAGACCUUUUCUCAAUACUGUCAAUGCUCAUAUUGAUUGUGAGAAGCAAACUGUUACUGUUGGCUUUGAAAGUGUGGCACAUGAUUUCAAUUUCUCCAAGUUUGGUAGACAACCUCAUGAAAAGGAGUUACCUAGUAAGGAUGAAACUAUUGCCUUCACUUCUAUUGUCGUGCCUCCUACUGAUCCAUUGGAGCAAUACUUGCUUGAACAUGAAAAUGAUAUGCAUAUGGAUGAAAGGGAUGAGAUAGAUAGAGUUGUCUUAGAACAAUAUCCUAUCAUUAAGAAUAAGUUGCAUGUUGAACUGCUUGGGGAUCCGCCCCCGCUAAAGGGUGAUCCUGUGUUCGAGCUUAAACAGUUGCCUGAUACUAUUAAGUAUGCUUAUCUUGAUGAAAAAGAGAUAUAUCAUGUUAUAAUCAGAGCAUGAAGAAAAGAAGUUACGAAAUCUGUGAGAAAGCACCGUGCUGCAAUUGGAUAUACUCUUGAUGAUCUUAAUGGCAUUAGUCCCACUUUAUGCAAGCACAAGAUUAAAACUAAUCCUGAUUCCAAACCAGUUGCUGAUCAUCAACGGAGACUAAAUCCUAAGAUAAAAUAGGUAGUAAGAAAAGAAAUACUAAAGCUCCUGGAAGCAGGUAUUAUCUAUCCUGUUGCUCAUAGCGAUUGGGUGAGUCCGGUGCAUUGCGUCCCGAAGAAGGGAGGCAUUACCGUUGUCCCUAAUGAUACGGAUGAAUUGAUCCCAUAGAGGAUUAUUACUGGCUAUAGGAUGGUGAUCAAUUUUAGGAAAUUGAAUAAAGCCACUAGGAAAGAUCAUUAUCCUUUGCCUUUUAUCGACGAAAUGCUAGAAAGACUGUCUAAACACACAUACUUCUGCUUUCUAGACGGUUAUUCUGGUUUCUCCCAAAUACCAGUUGCACAGUCUGAUCAGGACAAAACCACUUUCACCUGCCCUUUCGGUACCUUUGCUUAUAGACGUAUGCCUUUUGGCUUAUGUAAUGCACCUGCCACCUUUCAAAGAUGUAUGAUGGCUAUAUUCUCUGACUUCUGUAAAAAUAUUGUUAAGGUUUUCAUGGAUGACUUCUCCAUUUACGGGUCUUCUUUUGAUGAUUGCUUCAGCAACCUUGAUCGAGUCUUGCAGAGAUGUAAAGACACCAAUAUUGUCUUGAACUGGGAGAAGUGCCAGUUUAUGGUCAAUGAAGGCAUCGUCUUAGGACAUAAGAUUUCUGAAAGAGUUAUUGAAGUCGAUAAUGCUGAAGUUGAUGCAAUCGAGAAAAUGCCAUACCCCACAGAUAUCAAAGGUAUAAGAAGUUUCCUUGGUCAUGUUGGUUUCUAUAGAAGGUUCAUUAAAGACUUCUCUAAGAUUUCUAGGCCUCUUACCAAUCUCUUGAAAAAGGAUAUUCCUUUUGUUUUUGACGAUGAUUGUGAGGAAGCCUUCGAAAUACUUAAGAAGGCUUUGAUAAGUGCACCUAUUGUUCAACCACCUGAUUGGAACCUACCUUUUGAGAUCAUGUGUGAUGCUAGCGAUUAUGCUGUUGGUGUUGUCCUAGGGCAAAGAGUUGACAAGAAGUUGAAUGUUAUUCACUAUGCUAGUAAAACUCUAGACAGUGCCCAGAGAAACUAUGCCACUACGGAAAAGGAGUUCUUAGCAGUUGUGUUUGCAUGGGAAAAGUUCAGGUUUUACAUAGUUGAUUCCAAAGUCACUAUUCACACUAAUCACGUUGCUAUUAAGUACCUCAUGGAGAAGAAGGACGCUAAACCUAGACUUAUCAGAUGGGUUCUCUUGCUACAAGAAUUUCAUUUGCACGUUGUCGACAGGAAGGGUGCUGAUAACCCCGUAGCAGAUAACUUGUCUAGGUUAGAGAACGUUCUUGAUGACCCACAACCUGAUGUUAGCUUUCCUGAUGAGCAACUGAAUGUCAUCAAUACUUCACGUAGUGCAUCGUGCUAUGCUGAUUAUGCAAACUAUAUUGUCGUGGGUAUAAGCGUGACAAUGGAUGUGUAGGGUACGAAUGAGAUGGGCAGAGUCCUAGCUACGACGAGGUUGUAUGAGUUCAGGCCCCUCUGCGGUGGAGGUAACAGCCCUACGUCUUAGUGCUCUCGGAGCUUGUUACCGAGUGUAAUAUGGAAUACAGUGAUUUGCUAACCCCUUGACCAGUGGGGGAGGGCGGCUUAUAUAGAGUGCGCUCCCCUCCACAACGGUUCUGACUCAGGGGUGGAGUAGUGGCGAUUGAAUGCAUACGUUACAGGUAACGUAUGCUCUAAAUGCUAAUAAACGCACCCGGAAACGUACGGCAGUUUACCUCCAGAGAGAUACGAUGUACCGAGUGUAUCCAGUCGGUUGGCCUGGUGCCCUCUGAAUGCUAGUCUCCGACUAGAUAAUUCUGGGCCUAUUACCGACUGGAUGAUGGGGACUCCUUAAUUCAGUCGGGGCAGACUUAAGGUCCUCUCCUUUGUGUGGGGUAGUCCUCGGGUAGGACAUGUAGGGCAGGCCUAUGACCCUACCCUAGGACUAUGACCCCAUCAUUAGUCCCCGAAUGGAUUGGGGUUGAAACGCCGAAGCAGUGCUUGAGGUUCAGAUCCGACUGUACUAGGUUCGCCUUGGGCGUUGCUUGCCUCUAUCCACUUUAUCUCUCCUGACCAGCGCUCCGAGUGGAGGUGCUUGCAAAACAGACUGUCGAGAACCGAGUGCUUCCGUGGCAUCUUUUGACGCGACCGGUCAACUGAUAGCGGCGGAUUUUCCGGGAUCUCAAAUUUCGGGCUCCGCGCGCUCAGCGGGGACGACGUCAGCGCGCUCGAGUAGCGCCUGACUCCUCGAUCCUCGCGCAUUCUACUCCUCCACUGAUAUCGCCGCGGCCGGUCGGGCGGAGAAGAUUUCGGGCCCGCUAGCGACCCAGUCGACGCUCUAUUUAACUCUGGGCGGCGAGACUCCUCGGUUACGCUCGCCGAAUCUUUCGCUCUUGCCUGCUCCGUCUUCCUCGCCACCCCCUGUGCUCAUACACUCCUUCCUUCUCCUCCUUCUCGAGGGCUCGCCGUCGCCUCCAUGACCAAAGGUCUGACCAGCAAGAUGGAGGCGAGGAAGAAGAAGAACAAGGCGGCGGCUGCUCAACGGCGGCAGCGGCCGUUGCCGGCGGGGUGGUUCCAAGGAGACUUCCUCCCCUCCACGGUGACGGUGGGAUAUCUACUGGAGCUGGUGGAGCACGGAAUGCUCGUGCAUAAGUCCUGGAGGCUGCCGGCGGACGACGAGGUCGAGCCAGCGCCACGGGAGGGGGAGGGCCUCUUGCUCCUCAGCCAUGUUCACAGAGGUUUUUCUUUGCCCCCACAUCCCUUCUUCAAAGGCAUCAUGAAUCACUUUGGUGCUCAACUCCAUCACUUUCCUCCGAAUGCCAUCGCCCAUCUUUCUGCCUUUAUCGUUUCGUGCGAGUGCUUUAUCGGUUGCCCCCCCCAUUGGGGUUUGUUCAAACACAUCUUCUCCGCCCGCUCUCAAACCAUCAAACAUCUUAGUCAGUCGGACGAUAAGAUGCACCUCCUCCAGCUCUGCGGCGGUUUAGGGUUCCAGAAGAAGAGUCGGAGUAGCUAUCCUGCUCUCCAGUUGAGCGAGUCGGUUAGGAACUAGCAGUCGACGUGGUUCUACUGCCAAGACAUCGCCUGCCCGAAUGCAUCGACUGGGCUGCCUCCAUUUAGUCUAGACCGGCCCGCUCCGCCCAAGCAACUCGCGCUCUCGAAGGCCGAGAAGAACGACAUCCAGCCUUUGGUCGAGGCACUCGUGGAUGUCGUCAGGAGGGGGGUCGCCGGCAUAGACCUGCUGGAAAUCUUCCUUGGUCGGCGGAUUCAGCCGCUGCAGGCUCGCGACCACGCUAUGUGGCACUACACAGGGCCCGAGGAUUCCACUCGGACCAACGUAGUGGGCGUACCCGAGGAGAGAGUGACCUCGUGGGUGCUCCAUAUCACGGGCCCUUGUGAGAACCCCAAAGGAGCUCGCCGAGUGAAGCCUUACAGCGUGGACCACCCUCCACCGAAUCAGGUGAGUGACAUGAGCCGAGUGCAUUGAACUGUCUUAAUUCCAGUCACUUGAUUAUAUCUCCGUGUGAUGUCUAAUGUUUCCGACUGAACUUCAUGCAGGCGUGGACGAACUGGUUCUCCCCCAUCUCGAAUGGGAAUCCGGAGGAGGAAGAGGAGGAAGGCAGCCAGGAGGGGAGCGUGGAGAGCGCCGAAUACGUCUCCGACAGCGGGGAGUCGGAGGAGGAGGACAGCGAGGAAGAGGAAGAAGAUGAAUAGCAAGACUCGCCACCUCUGCGGCCAGAGCAUCGGAGCAAGCGCCGGCACGAGCCCGCCGUCCCUUCAGCUCCUCCUGCGUCGUCGAGUGCUCCGCCUGCUGCCCCGGUGGUCCCGAGCGUUCGAGGUACCAAGAGGGCCAGGGACGCAGCCGCUGAGCCCGCAGGCCAGUCUUCCAGGGCGCCCAAGCCGAGUGGGCCCAAACCUCGGAAGGCUCUGCCGCGAAUGAGGGUUGCCAUCCCCGUCACCUCCACGUAAGUGAGUCUAACUUUCGGCUCUUUCUGUUGUCUGAGUGAACUCCUGCUUUAUAAGUCGAAUGGACUUGACUUUCGGCCACUUUUGCAACCUCUCCGGCCGCCAAGGGGACGACCCCAUGGACACGGACAACGUCGUUUCGUCCCAGCCAGGUGUGUUGUAGGAGAGUCGGGUGUUUUAUUCCUGCAGACUGUGCCAUUCUUUCUUUUUCUGAGACGUCGUGUCAUUCGACUUAUCAGGGGCGAUUUGCCUGGACGAGGACGACCAGGGGAGAGCCGACCCCACCGUGGAGCCUCUCCUGGAGCCUGUCCCUGAGGCUGAUCCUCCUGCUGCCACCCUUGUCACCGACGCUCCACCGACCGAAGCGCCUCCACCGACUGAACCGGUGCCGGUGGGGGAGGAACCGACUGGGGCGGACCUUGGGAUGCCCUAGGAACCUCCCACGAUUGCCGGUUCGUCGAAUGUUGAAUUCAGCAUCCGGUGUGUCCCAGAGGAGCAGGUGGGAGCGGCCAAGGGGGCCAUGGUGCAGGCGGAGUUGAUGGCUGGAGAAGCCAAGAGGGCUGACGACUCCGUUGCGGCCUUGUACCAGCGGAGCUUGGAGCUGCGCGAUGAUAUCCGAGUAAGUAGUCUAGUAAGUAUUUACUUUUCUCCUGUAACCCAGUGGGUGUAGUCCCCGAGACUUCUGUCGAGUGCUUGCACCGGCAGUUGUCUUUAUACAUUUUGCCUUUAGUUUGGUUGUGUCCAUAGCCAGUAUUUCCGAGUGCGAGUACUUAUUGCAGUCGGAGCGCUCUUGCGGUAAGAGUCUCCGAGAGUAAGUUGCACGCAGGUCGAGUAGUAUUGGCCUCGGAGGCGUAGGUGAAAACGUGCACCUCAAUAGGGCGGGCCUGCUUUAGGUGCAUGCCAGUGGGGUCACUCUUAGUGAACCCACUGGGUGUAGUCCCCGAGACCGCUGUCAACUGCUUGCGUGGGCAGGGGUCUGAAGAACUUAGCCUGUGAACUAACAAACUUGCUGAUAACCCUGUGUUUCUUGGUGCAGAAAAGUUGUGAAAUGGGAACGACUUAUGAAGCCGUGAGAGCGGAGAGGAACCAGUACGCUGGUGAACUUGAAGCUGCGAUGCUUGCCAUGGCCGGCAUGAAGGAUGCUCUGGAGGGAUGAGAGGAGUCCCUAGAGGAGGCUCGGGAAGCAAACAAAGUGUUGAUAGAGGAAGUGGAGAGACUGAAGAAACAGAGGACUCAGCUGCACAAUCAAAUGGCCAUUCGGAACAGACGAUACAUAGCUCAGGAGAAGUAUGUCAACGACUGGGCUGUGCAGAUGAUGACUCGUCUGGCUGGUAAGUCGUAUGUUCUGCCGAGUGCUUGUACCGUGUGCCGUACACUCGGUUUUUAUUGUCUGCUUGUCCGUUUGUUGCAGAUUUUUGCGGCGACGCUGAAGCUGAAGCGGCGGCUGUGGAGCGGUCCAUUAAGGAGAAUGUGCCACUCAACGAGGACGCCAACCGGGAUCUGCUCCGGGCGCAUAUCCACGUAGGUAAAGUAGGUCCUUUCAUCGGCCGACUGAGAGAAGUCGUCGGCAGAAUUGACAAGGAACUUUGGCCAGAAGACGAGUCGCGGCAGGAGAUGGAGACCCUGAUGGCGCGACUGGAGGAGAUUCCGAGCCGAGUGCAAUCGUGGAAGAAAUCGGCAGCGUGUUGCAGUGCUGAUGUUGCGCUGUCCUUGGUCCGAGUCCAUUGCAAGGAGGUGCGGGAAGAUAAGCUGAAAGCAUUGAAGGUCGCCAACACGAAGAAGCUUCGAUUCGAAGACUUCAUGGAGACGUUCCUUGAGACUCCUACCCGCAUCGCUGAUGGAAUCGACUUGGACACUUUUGUGGAGCCCUCCAGUCCUGGCGCCGGCCCAGCUGACGCGUAAUCAAACUUUAUCCUCAGUAUGCCGAGUGUUUACCUGUAAGAUACUCUCGCCACUUCUGUUGGUUGUCAUACUUUUAAAUCGGUGCGGGUAAGCUUGAUCCACACCGAAUCAGCUAUCGUUUUUGGACUUUUGGAGUCGGAAUGAAAACAUUUAGUAUUUUGUUUGAAUGUUGUUUCGAGUGCAACACUUAGUGCGUACUCGGAGAAGAUUAAUACUUAGGUGAUUCUUGAUCACGUCUAAGUCCCCGAGUGCGACGUGUAGUGCACACUCGGAGGAAGUUAUUACUUAGGUGAUUCUUGAUCACGUCUAAGUCCCCGAGUGCGACGUGUAGUGCACACUGGGAGGAAGUUGGUACUUAGGUGAUUCUUGAUCACGUCUAAGUCUCCGAGUGCGACGUGUAGUGCACACUCGGAGGAGGUGAUUACUUAGGUGAUUCUUGAUCACAGCUAAGUCUCCGAGUGCGACGUGUAGUGCACACUCGGAGGAAGUUAUUACUUAGGCGAUUCAGGAUCGCAGCUAAGUCCCCGAGUGCGACAUAUAGUGCACACUCGGAGGGGGUUAGUACUUAGGUGAUUCUUGAUCACAGCUAAGUCCGCAAGUGCGACGUAUAGUGCACGCUCGGAGAGGGUUAGUACGAAGGCGAUUCAGGAUCACAGCUAAGUCCCUGAGUGUGAUGUAUAGUGCACACUCGGAGGAGGUUAGUACUUAGGUGAUUCUUGAUCACAGCUAAGUCCCCGAGUGUGACGUAUAGUGCACGCUCGGAGGAGGUUAGUACUUAGGCGAUUCAGGAUCGCAGCUAAGUCUCCGAGUGCAACGUAUAGUGCACGCUCGGAGGGAGUUAGUACUUAGGCGAUUCAGGAUCGCAGCUAAGUCCCCAAGUGUGACGUAUAGUGCACACUCGGAGGAGGUUAGUACUUAGGUGAUUCUUGAUCAUAGCUAAGUCCCCGAGUGCGACGUAUAGUGCACGCUCGGAGGAGGUUAGUACUUAGGUGAUUCAGGAUCGCAGCUAAGUCCCCGAGUGUGACGUAUAGUGCACACUCGGAGGAGGUUAGUACUUAGGUGAUUCUUGAUCACAGCUAUGUCCCCGAGUGCGACGGAUAGUGCACACUCGGAGGAAGUGAGUACUUAGGCGAUUCAGGACCGCAGCUAAGUUUUUUUUUUUAUGACCGGAGUCUGCGACCGUGGGAGAACUCUGAGUCUGCACAAAACUGAAUCUGCUGUAUAUAUUAUUUCUUCAAAACUUGUUUGUUACACUGCUUCAGUCGACGAUCACGUAUAAAAACGCUUGAGGAGAUCCCCGUUACAUGCGCGCGGCUCGUCUGUCUCCCUCUGAAUGUUGUAGAGUCGGUAUGCUCCAUUGUUCAACACCUUGGAAAUGAUGAAAGGCCCUUCCCAGGCCGGAGCCAACUUGUGUGGUCUUUGCUGAUCCACUCGGAGCACCAAAUCACCAGCUUGGAAUGUGAGACUCCUGACGUGACGUGCGUGAAAGCGUCGCAGAUCUUGCUGGUAAAUUGUUGAGCGAGUAAGUGCCAUCUCGCGCUCCUCCUCUAGAAGAUCGACUCCAUCUUGCCUUGCUUGUUCUGCUUCGGCUUCGGAGAAGAGUUCGACUCGCGGGGCAUUGUGAAGCAGGUCACUCGGAAGGACCGCUUCUGCUCCAUAAACGAGGAAGAACGGUGAUCGCCCCGUUGAUCUGUUCGGAGUGGUGCGGAGGCCCCAAAGCACUGAAGGUAACUCGGUGACCCAUGCACCAGCAGCAUGUCCUACCUCUCGCAAGAGUCGGGGCUUCAAACCUUGAAGGAUAAGUCCGUUCGCACACUCAGCUUGUCCGUUGGAUUGCGGAUGUGCUACGGAAGCAAAAUCCACUCGGAUACCAUGACUCGCACAGAAGCCUUUGAAUCUGUCCGAGUCGAAGUUUGUCCCAUUGUCUGUGAUUAUGCUGUGAGGUACCCCGAAUCUGGAAAUGAUGUCCUUGGCAAACUUGACAGCUGUUGAGGCAUCGAGUUUCUUGAUGGGCUUGGCUUCUAUCCAUUUUGUAAACUUGUCGACUGCCACCAACAGAUGUGUGUAGCCUCCUUGGCCUGUCUUGAAUGGUCCGACUGUGUCUAGACCCCAAACUGCAAAUGGCCACACAAGUGGGAUUGUCUUUAACGCAGAUGUUGGCUUGUGGGACUUGUUGGAGUAGAACUGACAGCCUUCACAUCGGUCGACCAUAUCUUUAGCCAUCUCGUUGGCCUGCAGCCAAAAGAAACCGGCUCUGAAUGCCUUGGCGACAAUCGCUCUUGAAGAAGCGUGAUGACCGCAGGUUCCCGAGUGAAUAUCUUCUAAGAUCAACUGCCCUUCCUCAGGGGAAAUGCAGCGUUGAAGAACGCCCGAAACACUCUCCUUGUACAAUUGACCGUCAAUGACAGUGAAUGCCUUCGAACUAUUUGCCUGGCUUGGACUUCAUCUUCUGGAAGUUCUUGCCUUAGGAUAUAUGCGAUGAUCGGCACAGUCCAAUCGGGAGUGACAACCAGAAUCUCCGUGACUAAAUCAACCACAGCAGGUACAUCGACUUCAGUCGGAUCUGUUGCGCUCUUGGGUUGUAUCGGUUCUUCUGUGAAGGGAUCUUCUUUGACUGAGGGAAGAUGGAGGUGCUCGAGGCAGACAUUACUCGGGACUGGUCUCCGAGUGGAUCCGAGUUUCGCCAACUCAUCCGCCGCUUGGUUCUUCAGUCCCGGAACAUGAUGGAGCUCUAGACCUUCAAACUUCUUCUCUAGCUUCCUCACUGCAUUGCAGUACACUAUCAUGGUGGGGUUCCUUACGUCCCACUCUUUCAUCACUUGGUUGACCACCAAAUCCGAAUCGCCGUAGACCAUCAGGCGACGGAUGCCGAGUGAGAUGGACAUGCGCAAUCCGUAGAGGAGAGCUUCAUACUCCGCCUUGUUGUUGGAGGAAUCAAAGUGUAUCUGAAGCACGUACUUGAGCUUGUCGCCAUUGGGUGAUAUGAUCACAACGCUAGCGCCGGAGCCGUUCAACAUCUUAGACCCAUCGAAGAACAUUGUCCAAUGAGCCGAGUAGAUGUGGGUCGGUUGUUGUUGUUCUACCCAUUCUGCUAUAAAGUCAGCCAGGGCUUGAGACUUAAUAGCUUUCUUGGCCUCAAACUUGAUGUCACAAUACAACAUCUCCAUUGCCCACUUCGCCACUCGGCCUGAUGCGUCACGAUUGUGGAGAAUUUCUGACAACGGAGCAUCAGAAACGACAGAUACCGAGUGGUCUUGGAAAUAAUGGGCCACCUUCUUCGCAGUCAUAUAAAUCCCAUAGAUAAGCUUCUGAUAAUGGGGAUACCUCUGCUUGGAAGGGGUCAGGACUUCGGAGACGUAAUACACUGGCCGCUGAACCUUGUAUGCUUUGCCUUCUUCUUCUCGCUCGACUGUAAGAACAGUACUGACGACUUGAUUUGUAGCCGCGAUAUAUAGAAGAAGGGGCUCUUUACUGAGCGGAGCAGUAAGAACCGGCUGGGUGGAAAGUAGGACUUUGAGAUCGUCAAAUGCGACUUCUGCUUCGUCUGUCCACUCGAAGGUAUCUGACUUCUUCAUGAGUCGGUACAGAGGAAGUGCUUUUUCGCCGAGUCGGCUGAUGAACGUGCUCAAAGCCGCUAGGCAACCUGUGAGCCGUUGAACAUCGUGUAUUCUGAUCGGCCUCUCCAUUCGGACGAUGGUCCCGAUCUUUUCGGGGUUAACGUCGAUCCCUCGUUCGGAAACGAAGAAACCGAGUAACUUUCCGCUGGGAACACUGAAUGAACAUUUGGCUGGGUUGAGCUUGAUAUCGUACCUACGAAGGUUGGCGAAUGUUUCUGCCAAGUCAGUCAGCAGGUCGGAACCUUUGCGUGACUUGACUAUGAUAUCAUCCAUGUAUGCCUCCACAUUGCGACCGAUCUGGUCGAGGAGACAUUUUUGGAUCAUGCGCAUAAAGGUAGCUCCUGCAUUCUUCAGACCGAAAGGCAUAGUGAUGUAGGAGAAGCACCCAAACGGGGUGAUGAAGGCUGUUUUCAACUCAUCAGGACCAUACAGACGGAUCUGAUGAUAGCCCGAAUAGGCAUCAAGAAAUGACAAACGCUCGCAUCCCGCAGUCGAAUCGACAAUUUGAUCUAUGCGGGGGAGCGGAAAAUGGUCUUUCGGGCAGACCUUAUUGAGGUGCUUGAAGUCAAUGCACAUUCGGAGUGACUUGUCCUUCUUGGGCACCAUGACGACAUUUGCGAGCCACUCGGAGUGGUGAACCUCGCGAAUGAAGUUGGCAGCUAGUAGCUUGGACACCUCUUCUCCGAUUGCCUUCCUCUUGUGCACGGCGGAUCGGCGCAGGCGCUCUCGGACAGGCCGAGCGGCGGGAUCCACAUGCAGUCGGUGCUCAGCCAACUCCCUGGGUACACCCAGCAUGUCAGAUGGUUUCCAUGCGAAGAUGUCCCAGUUCUCACGGAGGAAUUGGGUGAGCUCAGCUUCGUAUUUAGGAUCGAGGGUGGUGGAGAUGUUUGUCGGGGUGGCUGAGUCGUCCGUCGGGUGGAUGCUGACCUUCUUCGUCUCUCCCGCCGACUGGAACGCGGACUCAGAAGCUGGUUUCUUUGAGCGCAUUAGGUCGGCAGGGUCGACUGUCUUCUUGUACUCGUCGAGCUCGAGUACCGCCAUCUGCUGGUCAGCGAUUCUUGAUCCCUCCUGCAGACACUCCUCGGCACGCUGGCGGUUGCCUGUGAUGGUGAUAACGCCUUUUGGACCGGGCAUCUUCAGCUUCAAGUACACAUAGCAUGGACGUGCCAUGAAACUCAUGUACGCCGGGCGGCCCAAAAUUGCAUGGUAAGCACUCUGGAAAUCUACCACCUCAAAUGUGAGCUUCUCCUUGCGAAAGUUCUUGUCAGAGCCGAAGAUGACUUCCAACGCCAUCUGGCCGAGUGACUUGGCCUUCCGUCCAGGGACGACUCCGUGGAACUGCAUAUUGCUCUUGCUGAGUCAGGGCAUCGGAAUGCCCAUUCCCUUGAGAGUGUCUGCGUACCUGAUGUUCAGUCCGCUACCGCCGUCCAUGAGGACUUUGCGCAGUCGGACUCCUUCCACCACCGGGUCGACGACCAGAGCCUGUCUUCCUGGGGUGGGGACAUGCGUUGGAUGAUCCGACUGAUCAAAGGUGAUCGCAGUCUGAGACCAUUUAAGGAACUUGGGAGCAGUCGGAACGGCCAUGUUGACCUCUCUGUUCACCAACUUCAGUCGACUCUUGCUUUCGACGUCAGCAAAAAUCAUGAGGGUUGCAUGGACUUGGGGGAACGGAUCCUCCUUGUCCUCCUCAUCCUGUUCGGGAUUCUUCUCACUCGGUUGCCCUUCGCUGAAUCCCUGGAUCAGGAGACGACACUGCCGAGUGGUGUGCUUCGCGUAUAUGGGGUUGCCUUCUUCGUCCAUCUUCGUGUGAACCGGGCAAUGCUGGUCCAGGAUGGGAUUGUUGAACGACUUCUUCUUGGGGGUAAACUGCGCUUUCCCUUUGCCCUUGAACUUGGCGCUGGUCACAGCUGCAGCUUCUGCUUGCGGCCUGGGCAGAACUUUUUGUUUCUGCUUCCGAGUGUUACCUCCGUCGACAUCACCGACUGUCUUGUGUUUGCCGCUCCGGAUGCGGUCCCCUUCUUCGCCAUUUGCAUAGCGAACCGCUAUCUCCAUCAUCUUGCUCAUGGAGAUGUCGCCCGUUCGACCGAACUUCAAGUACAGCUCUCUGUACCGUACGCCUGCCUUGAAUGCACAGACCGCUUGAUGCUCGGUGACGUUCUCCACCGUGUGGUAGAGAGUUGUCCAUCGCUGGAUGAAGUCGCGCAAGGGCUCAUUCGGCUUCUGGACACAGUGCUGAAGCUCCACGAGGCCUGCAGGGCGUUUGCACGUCCCUUUGAAGGUUCUGAUGAACACUCGGGCCAGAUCUGCCCAACUGUAAAUGCUUGAGGGGGCCAACUGGUUCAGCCAAGCUCGAGCCGAGCCGUCGAGUAUCAGAGGGAGGUGCUUCAUAGCGACAUGGUCGUCCCCUCCUCCGAUCUAGACUGCCACUCGAUAGUCGUCUAGCCAUGUUUCAGGCUUGGACUCGGGAUGUCAGCCGAGCGGAUGGCUCGACUAAAACAAUCGGGGCCGGACACGAUGGUCCUGCUUCCACUCGGACGGUCCAUAUCGGGACCAUCGCGGUGGGCUCGACCCCGGUCGACUCUUCGCUGGGCGAUUCGCCCUCUCGCGUCGGGUCUUGGGUCGUAAGUGUCAUCGACCGAACGCCGAUCAUCAUGAUGUCGGGACCCAUAGGGCCCACCCCGCGGAGGGGUGCGUGAGCGGCUACGAUAUUCACGGAUCAUGGAACGGCUGCCCCCCCUGUGAUGCUGAUGGGAACCAGGGCUGUGAACCGAUCGGUGCGUGUUUGCAUGGACGGAACUAUUGUAGAUCCGAUUGUGUGUCUGGGAGACUGCCGAAUUCUGCUGGUGCGCCGUGCGCAACAGAGCUCGGAUCUGCUCGAUUCCCCUUCCUGCCUAUGAAUCAGUCGGUUAGAAGGAAUCGGCAAUCUGGGCAGCCACAGCCAAGUUGAGGAGAGGUGUGCGGAACAACUCCACGUUGCUCCGCCGAGUGUGCCGACUGGCAGAACGACGAGGUGGACGACGUGCACCGGAUGCUUCGCCGAUAUCGUGCUCGCCCCGGCCGGCUUGACGGGGAUCUUCAUGGGAGUUGGCCAUGUGUACUUCUGCUGCAAGCCCACGACCCGCGUACUCGGAAGGGAGCUCAGUCGGAACCGAGCCCGAGCACAGGGAACGCGGGGCAACCACAACAGACUCCAGAACUGCCACCUGAGAGGACGCGAUCUGGCGUGCUCGGGGAUGCUGCACCCAACGUUGGAGACGCGGACUGCGAGACCGCUUGUUGCGGCGCAUGACGGCGGUGCAAGCCGAUAAUGGGGUCGAUUGUUGGAGAAGAAGAACGCCGCGAACGUCAGCACGAAAGUGUGUGGCCCCGCGAUAGGGAAGCGCCUCGACGUCGAGAGGCGCCUCCCGAAGCCACGCCGAGUCGUCGAUGGUGAAGGAGAGAGCGCCGAAGAGGAUCUGGUGAUCCAUGCUCGAACCUCCACCAGACGACAUGACGAAAGGAAGUAGUCGCAAACUCGCCGGAAGUAGUCGCAAACGCUUAUAUAGAGUGCGCUGCCCUCCACAACGGUUCCGACUCAGGGGUGGAGUAGUGGCGAUUGAAUGCAUACGUUACAGGUAACGUAUGCUCUAAAUGCAAAUAAACGCACCCGGAAACGUACGGCAGUUUCCCUCCACAGAGGUUAUGAUGUACCGAGUGUAUCCAGUCGAUUGGCCUGGUGCCCUCCGAAUGCUAGUCUCCGACUGGAUAAUUCUGGGCCUGUUACCGACUGGAUGAUGGGGACUCCUUAAUUCAGUCGGGGCAGACUUAAGGUCCUGUCCUUUGUGUGGGGUAGUCCUUGGGUAGGACAUGUAGGGCAGGCCUAUGACCCUACCCUAGGACUAUGACCCCAUCAUAUAUCGUUGCCAAAUAUAUACCACCUAGUUUCACAUACCAGCGAAAGAAGAAAUUCUUCUUUGACUUGAGACAUUACUGUUGUGAUGAGCCUCACCUUUAUAAGGAAGGAGUAGUUGGUGUUAUUACACGUUGUGUACCUGAACAUGAACAGGGACAUAUCCUACAGAAGUGUCACUCCGAGGCCUACGGAGGACACCAUGCGGCAGAUAGAACUACACACAAGGUAUUGCAAUCAGGUUUCUAUUGGCCCACUCUCUUCAAGGAUGCCCGUAAGUUUGUCUUGUCUUGUGACGAAUGUCAAAGAGUAGGUAACAUCGGUAAACGACAGGAAAUGCCUAUGAACUAUUCACUUGUCAUUGAACCAUUUGAUGUCUGGGGCGUUGAUUAUAUGGGACCUUUUCCAAAAUCCAACCGGUAUACUCACAUCCUGGUUGCUGUUGACUACGUCACUAAGUGGGUAGAAGCUAUCCCCACUAGUAGUGCUGAUCACAACACUUCUAUCAGGAUGCUUAAAGAAGUUAUUUUCCCUAGAUAUCUAAUGACCGACGGUGGUUCACAUUUCAUUCAUGGUGCUUCCCGUUAAACGCUUGCUAAGUACGAUGUCAAUGAGAGAAUUGCGUCCCCCUAUCGCCCUCGGUCCAGUGGUCAAGUAGAGCUAAGCAAUAGAGAGAUUAAACUAAUUCUACAAAAGACUGUCAACACGUCUAGAAAGAAUUGGUCUAAGAAACUAGAUGAUGCACUGUGGGCUUAUAGAACUGCCUAUAAGAAUCCCACGGGCAUGUCUCCGUACAAAAUGGUGUACGGUAAAGCAUGUUAUUUACCUCUUGAGCUAGAGCAUAAAGCUUAUUGGGCAAUCAAAGAGCUCAACUUUGAUUUCAAACUUGCUGGUGAGAAGAGGUUAUUUGACAUUAGCUCGCUUGAUGAAUGGAGGACUCAGGCAUAUGAGAAUGCCAAGUUGUUCAAAGAAAAGGUUAAGAGGUGGCAUGAUAAGAGGAUACAAAAGUGUGAGUUCAAUGUAGGUGAUUAUGUCUUGCUAUAUAAUUCUCGUUUAAGAUUUUUUGCAGGCAAGCUUCUCUUUAAAUGGGAAGUGAUACGUCUCCAACGUAUCUAUAAUUUUUGAUGGUUUCAUGCUAUUAUCUUGUCAAACUUUGGAUGUUUUGCAUGCCUUAUAUAUAAUUUUUGGAACUAACUUAUUAACUGACUUUCAAGUGCCAGUUCCUGUUUUUUCCAUGUUUUUGACCCCUUUGAAAGGAGAUUUUCAAGCGGAGUCCAAACGGAAUAAAAUCCCCGAAAAGAAUUUUUCCGUAACGGAAGAAGAUCAGGAGACUUGAGAGCCAAGGUAGGGGCCAGGGGGGAGGCCGCGGCCCACAGGCUUGUGGGCCCCCUGGACGCCCUCUGCCCUAGGGGUUGCGCCUAUAUAUUCCCUAAAAAUACCAAAAAAUCAGGAGAUCAUCGAAAGUACUUUUCCGCCGCCGCAAGCUUCUGUCUCCGCAAGAUCCCAUCUAGGGCACCUUCUGGUGCCCUGUCGGAGGGGGAUUCGGAUACGGAGGGCUUCUUCAUCAACACCAUGACCUGUCCUAUGAUGCGUGAGUAGUUCACCAUAGACCUACGGAUCCAUAGCUACUACCUAGAUGGCUUCUUCUCUCUCUUGGAUCUUCAAUACAAAGUUCUCCAUGAUCUUCAUGUAGAUCUAUCCGAUGAAUCUUCUUUUGCGGUGUNUUGUGGGUUUUGUUUGGCUAACUAGAUCUAUGAUUCUUGCAAUGGAGAAGUGCUUGGUUUUGGGUUCAUACUGUGCGAUGACCUCACCCAGUGACAGAAGGGGUAGCAAGGCACGGAUCGUGUUGUUGCCAUCAAGGGUAAAAAGAUGGGGUUUUCAUCAUUGGUUUGAGAUUAUCCCUCUACAUCAUGUCAUCUUGCUUAAAGCAUUACUCUGUUCGUCAUGAACUCAAUACACUAGAUGCUUGCUAGAUAGCGGUCGAUGUGUGGAAUAAUAGUAGUAGAUGCAGAAAGUAUCGGUCUACUUGUCUCGGAGGUGAUGCCUAUAUGUAUGAUCAUUGCCUUAGAUAUCGUCAUGACUUUGCGCGGUUCUAUCAAUUGCUCAACAGUAAUUUGUUUACCCACCGUGAUACUUGCUAUUUUGAGAAAAGCCUCUAGUGAACACUAUGGCCCCCGGGUCUACUCCACACCAUAUUUUCAGCCUUACACUUUUAACUUCGUUGCACUUUCCGCCUUUAGAUCUCACUUUGCAAACAAACUUGAAGGGAUUAACAAACCCUUUGAAGCGUUGGGUGCAAGCUUGUUUGUGUUUGCGCAGGUACUCUGGACUUGAUGAGACUCUCCUACUGGAUCGAUACCUUAGUUCUCAAACUGAAGGAAAUACUUACUGCUCCUGUGCUGCAUCACCCUUUCCUCUUCAAGGGAAAAACCAACGCGAGCUCAAGAGACGACAGAAGGAUCUCUGGCACCACUGCCGGGGAACGACUUUUGUUGACGUAGCAGCAGGAUUUAUGGCGCUGUUGCCGGGGAGGAAAAUCAAGUCAAGAACUCAUCCAAGUAGGUGUUGCAAACUCAUCUCUUGCAUUUCCUUUGUUAGCCAGUUGCCUCUCAUUUUCCUCUCCCCCACUUCACCAAUUUGCCUUUUUCGUUUGCCUUUUCGUUCGCCCCUUUCUCUCGCUUGCUUUCUGUUCGUCUGUGUGGGAUAGUCUACCUGUCCUCAUGGCUAGAUCCACCACUUUGAACGAUACUCCCGAGAGCAAAGUCCUAAAUUUCAAACAAAUUGAGGAAGAAAACUUAAAGGAUGCUUGGUAUAGGAUUUGCAAUGCUCAGAGUAGAUCUACUCAUAAGCAAUCCACUACCGUCCUGCUUCGUAGUUUUUAUGUGGGUGUUUCUCCUUGGAAUAGGUAUAUUCUUGACACCAUCGUAGGUGGAAAUUUCUUGGGUAGCCAUACCGUUCAUUCUUACAGAGCUGUCAUAAAUUUGGUAGGCUCACCCCCACUCAUGGUUAAUGGAACUACCUUAAGUCUGGAACAUGUGAUGCGUAGGAUGGACGUCAUUGAAAAUAAAGUUGCUACGAUAGAACUCAUUGAGAAUUUGGAUAAAAAUAUCCACAAUCAAAUCACUCAGUACGGAUCCAAGGUGGGAAUGGUUUUGAAAAAUUUGAAGGAGAAGGAACCCACAGUUAACGAAAAACUAGGUCAUGAUUCCGCUAGGAUUGGCAAACUAGAGGAUGUUAUAACCAACUUGGGUUCCGCUUUUGCCGCUGUGCAGAAUACUCCAAACUUUGCCCACAAUAAGGUCACCAAGUUUGUAUUUGUUCCCAAAAAUAGUGGUGAAUCAUCUAUCAAGAAAGAUGAAAACCUUAAGAUGAUAAGUGAUCACACUACUUAUGGUUUGAGCACCAAAGCCGACGAUACGUGAUUCUAUCGCUUUUAAGCCUAGCUAAGGGCGUUAAACAAUAGCGCUUGUUGGGAGACAACCCAAUGAAUUUAUCUUUUUCUUUCUGUUUGUUGUGUCCACACCAUCACAAUUCUGUUGUGAUUGUGUUUUUUUGUGUUUCUUUUUGUGUUUCAGCCAAGCAAAACCUUUAUGACUAAUCUUGGUAAUGGUUGUUUGAUCCUACUGGAAACACAGAGAAACUUUUCACUCACGAGAUGAUAUUUCAUUUUUAUUCACAAAGAGCUUUUGAGUUGAUUCGUUUUGCUUCUGGUUGAUAUGCCUUUUUCCUAGGCAGUCAUAAAUGUUCAGAUUUUUUGAGGUACCACAAGUAUACGAAGUAUACAGAUUGCUACAGACUGGUCUGUUUUUGACAGAUUUUGUUUUUGUUGAGUUGGUUGCUUGUUUUUAUGAAACUAUGGUUAGUAUAUGGGGGUACUAGCCAUGGAAAAGUGAGAAUACAGUAGCCCAACACAAUUAUAGAUGGAAUUCAAGUUUUAUACAGUACCAAAAGAAGUUGUAGUUUGCUUUCUUGUGCUAAUGUUAUCACGAGUUUCUGUUUAAGUUUUGUGUUGUGAAGUUUUCAAGUUUUGGGUGAUGUUCUCAUGGACAAUGAGAUAAGGAGUGCAAAGAGCUCAAGCUUGGGGAUGCCCAAGGCAUCCCAAGCCAAAUUCAAGGACACCAAAAAGCCUAAGCUUGGGGAUGCCUGAUACGUCUCAAACGUAUCUAUAAUUUUUGAUUGUUUCACGCUAUUAUCUUGCCUUCUUUGUAUGUUUUAUGUACCUUUUUAUAUCUUUUUUGGGACUAACUUAUUGAUUCAGUGCCAAGUGCUAGUUCCUGUUUUUCUCUGUUUUUGACUCUUUUCAGAUCUGAUUUUGGAACGCAGUCCAAAUGGAAGAAAAACCCCGAAAUGAUUUUUUCCCGAACGAAAGAAGUCUAGGGAGCCUUUGGGCCAGGCCAGGUGGGCCCCAAGGAGCCCACAAGCUCCCACCCCGCCACCAGCGGGAGGCGGCGGUGGGAAAGCUUGUGGCUUCCCUGGCAGCCUCCUGACCUAGGUCUUGCGCCUAUAUAUUCCCAAAUAUUCCGCAAAACAUCAGGGGAGCCUCGAAAAUACUUUUCAGCCGCCGCAAGCUUCCGUUUCCGCGAGAUCUCAUCGGGAGACCCUUCCCGGCGCCCUGCCAGAGGGGACUUUGGACGUGGACGGCUUCUUCAUCAUCAUCAUCGCCCCUCCAAUGACUCGUGNUUGAGUCUUUGCUGAUUUAUUAUAUGCAUGAUUUGAUAUCCUUGUAAGUCUCUCCGAGUCUUGGGUUUUUUUGGCCAACUUGAUCUAUGAUUCUUGCAAUGGGAGAAGUGCUUGGUUUUGGGUUCUGCCAUGUGGUGACCUUUCCUAGUGACAGUAGGGGCAGCAAGGCACACAUCAAGCAGUUGCCAUCAAGGGUAAAAAGAUGGGGUUUUAUCAUUGGUUUGAUAUUAUCCCUCUACAUCAUGUCAUCUUGCUUAAGGCGUUACUCUGUUCUUAUGGACUUAAUACACUAGAUGCAUGCUGGAUAGCGGUCGACGUGUGGAGUAAUAGUAAUAGAUGCAGACAAUAUCGGUCUACUUGUUUCGGACGUGAUGCCUAUAGAAAUAAUCAUUGCAUGGAUAUCGUCACGACUCUGCACAAUUCUAUCAAUUGCUCGACAGUAAUUUGUUCACCCACCGUCUACUUGCUUUCACUAGAGAAGCCACUAGUAAACACUACGGCCCCCGGGUCUAUUCACAUCCAUCGUUUACAACUCCGCUUUUACUUUGCUUUGUUACUUUGUUGCUUUCAGUUCUCACUUGGCAAACAAUCUAUAAGGGAUUGACAACCCCUUCAUAGCGUUGGGUGCAAGCUUUUGUGUUUGUGCAGGAUCUUGAGAUACUCUUCCGCCGGAUUGAUACCUUGGUUCUCAAAUUGAGGGAAAUACUUACCAUCGUUGUGCUACAUCACCCUUUCCGCUUUGAGGGAACACCAACGCAAAGCUCCAAGGCCACGGGGGAAAUCCUUCGCAUACUUGCCUAGGAAGUCCCUUAAGGCGUAGCCACAACAUAAAGAUCAAGCCAAGUAUUCUCCCGUCGACGUGCCUAUGUCUGGCGUUGUUGGAAGGUCUUUUGUGCAGUAGCAGAAGUAUUUCUGGCAACAUUGCCAGGGGUACACAGCAAACAUCAGAAGUAUCUAUGGCGCUAUUGCCGGUGAGGAGAAAUCAAGAUCUAUCCCAGUAGGUCUCACAAACUCUUCUCUUGCAUUUACUUUUGUUGCCAGUUGCCUCUCGUUUUCCUCUCCCCCAUUUCACAUUUGCCAUUUUCAUUUGCCUUUCUCCUUUGCCUUUUUUGUUUACCCUUUUCUCUCGCUUGCUUUCUGUUCGCUUGUGUGCCAUGUGCCCUCAAUAUGCUUGCAUCUUCGCUUGCUGAAAAUCUAGUGAUAUCGAUCAUCAUCCGCUAGCUAGUCUCUUUAUGAGACCCACUUGAUGCGUGAAUCUGAAAAUUGUGAAUCUGAAAAUGCGUAAGAUGAAAAGCAUGAUUGCAAUUGUGAAUCUGAAAAUGCGUAAGAUGCGUGAAUCUGAAAGUUGAGGGCAAUUGACUAUUUCUUUGGAGUUUUGCGUAAGAUGCGUGAAUCUGAAAAUUGUGAGGAAGAAAUUCAUGAAGUGAUUCACGAGGGCUCCUAGGAUGAAAAGCAUGAUUGCAAUGAUUUCACUAUAAAUCCUAUUAGUGACAAUCAUGCCGAAAUUAUGCAAAACCCUAAGCUUGGGGAUGCUAGUUUUGCUUUGUCUACUACUUGUUGCAAUAAUCAUGAUUGGGGUGAUGAUCUUUCUUAUGAUCUUGAAAAUUUGUUCCAACCUCAUGAUGAAUAUGAUAUUUGCAACAAUACUGAAAGUGGGAUUGGAGAAGUCAUGAAUUUAUUUGAAGAUAAUCCCACUAUUUUUGAAGAGCGUUAACUUUGCAUGCAUGUGGAUCAUGAAAAGAAUAUCCUUUGUGAUAGUUACAUUGUUGAAUUCGAAUAUGAUCCCACAUGUAAUUACUAUGAGAGAGGAAAAUAAGUUGGUAGAAACUUUCAUAUUACCAAAUCACCUCUCGUGAUGUUGAGAUUGCUCUUGUCUCUUUCUUCUUCCUUGCAUAUGGCCGCUAUUGGUUGUCUUGACAAUUUGUUUUCCUAUAAAAUGCCUAUGCAUAGGAAGUAUGUUAGAAUUAGAUGUGAUUUUCACAUGCUUUAGGAUGCUCUCGUUGUGCUUCAAUUCUUGUCUUUUGUGAGAGCAUUAGGGAAUGCCUAGCUAAGGGCGUUAAACAAAAGCGCUUGUUGGGAGGCAACCCAACGAAUCUAUCCUUUUUCUUUCUGUUUUGUGUUUUCCACACUUUCAUAAUUCUGUUAUGAUUGUGUUUUUAUGUUUCUUUUUGUGUUUGUGCCAAGCAAAACCAUUAUGAUUAGUCUUGAGGAUGAUUCUUUUUUCUGCUGAUUGCUACACAAAUUAUUCAGAGUGUCGUAAGUUUUCAGAAUUUUUGAAGUACCAGAGGAAUACGAAACAUACAGAUUGCUACAGACUGGUCUGCUGUUAACAGAUUCUGUUUUUGUUCUGUGGGUUGCUUAUUUUGAUGAAACUAUGGAUAGUACCGGGGGGGUAUUAGCCAUGGAAGAUUGAAAGUACAGUAACCCAACAUCAGCACAAGUAGAAUUUAAGUUUUCUACAGUACCUAAGGAAGUGGUUGUUUGCUUUCUUGUACUAAUGUUAUCACGAGUUUAUGUUUAAGUUUCGUGUUGUGAAGUUUUCAAGUUUUGGGUGAAGUUCUUAUGGACGAAAAGAUAAAGAGUGGCAAGAGAUCAAGCUUGGGGAUGACCAAGGCACCCCAAAAGAUUCAAGGAUGCCGUAAAAGCCUAAGCUUGGGGAUGCCCCGGGAAGGCAUCCCCUCUCUCGUCUUCAAUCCAUCGGUAACGUUAGUUGGGGCUAUAUUUUUAUUCACCACAUGUUAUGUGUUUUUUCUUGGAGCGUCUUGUAUCGUGGGAGUCCAUUAUUUUUAUUGUGUCAUAAUCAUCCUUGCUGCACACCUAGAGAGAGACAUGCACACACCGUGAUUUUGUCGAGCUUCACUUAUAUCUUUUGGUAGACAAUUCAGCUCACAUGUCACUAAUAGGAAAAGGAAUAUUGAUGAUACAGAUACUAAUGGCGCACCAGACAAGUAGUGCGCCACUACUAUAUAGCAGUGGCGCACCAUGUGCAGGUGUGCCAUUACUGUGAUGGACACUAAUGGCACACCACACACUCGGUGCGCCACUACUAUUUUUUUUUGCAAAAGUACUAAUGGCGCACCGGAGCAGAGUGGCGCACAACUCACCGAGUGCGCCACUGCUAUAUUUUUUUUUGCAAAACUACUAAUGGCGCACAACCAGCUGGUGCGCCAUUAGUAACCAGGGUUACAAAUGGCGCACCCCCUGGGGAUGCGCCAUCGCAAUCACCCCCGCUAAAAUCCCAUGCCAGUCCCCGCGCUCUAUGGAGAGGACCUGGCCGCCACUCUCUUCUUCCUGCAGCCUCGUCUCCCUCCUCACGCCGCACGCCGCCGGCCGCGCUGCUCCACCUCCUCCUCUCCUCCACUUCUCUCCUCCCUCCUUUCCUCGGUUUGUUUCCUCUCCUUGCCCAUGCCGCCUCCUCCCGCACGGAUAAGACCCGUCCGUCCCCCCAUCCCACCCCGCCCGCCGCCGUCCGGUCCGUCGUUAGGGUUUCGUCGGCCAUCCAGCCAUGGCGAUCCUCGGGGAGCUCGGGACGGAGAUCCUCAUCCCCGUCUACGGGGUCAUCGGCAUCGUCUUCGCCGUCGCGUAGUGCUUCAUCGUCUCCAAGGUCAAGGUCACCCCCGGCGCCGCCUCCACCGCUGCCGACGCCAAGAACGGCUACGACGACUACCUGAUCGAGGAGGAGGAGGGCCUCAACGAACACAACGUCGUCGUCAAGUGCGCCGAGAUCCAGACCGCCAUCUCUGAAGGUGAGCUCACCCGUCCCCUCCAUCGACAACGGUGGUGGUCCCCCCUCUCCCUCUCACCCGCUCCCUCCCCAGAUCUGGGGCCGUAGUUGCUCGGCACGCACAGAUCCGGUCGUUUCGCCGUAUAGGUAGAAACGGCCCCUCCCCUCCCCUCGACGCGCGCUGCGCCGUGUGCUGCGGCGUCGACAUCUCCCUCCCACACCAGGCCAACUGCUCCCACUAGUUCUGCGGUAAGCACCAGCUCCCUCGCCGCCUCCCGCCUUCGCCUGCUAGGUCCGGGCCUAGGCUGCCUCGUGCGCCGCCGCGCCCGCGCACGCUCGAUUUGGUUCCUCGAUUCCAUUUUCCUGAGUAAUCUCUUCCUUCGGCAUUCUCAUUGUGCUGCAACCUAUAACAUCAUGGGAGAUAGUUGUAGCGGCCAGAAAGUAGAUCCUGUAAGAGUAGAACAAUUGCUCUAGGAACAGUUAGUUCCCCUUUCUCACCCAGUACAGCCCUGUGCUAUUAUUGUUUAGCUUACCCUGUGUAUUUUGAUCGGAUGCCUAUACAUUUUUGUGUUUAACCCUGUGCGUGCUGUGUAAAAUUUGUGCUGUUCAAAUCUUGUGUCUUGUCUAGCGGUAGUGUUUUUGUUGCUUCAACUUGUUCACGGUGACGCCUGUUGCUAAGAGCUAUUUGACUGUUGGCAUUCUUGACGUGGCGAUGAUUUUGAGGAUACCACCAGUUGUUUUAUUACGGUGCCCGGGACAGUUAUGUCAUUUUAAGUUUUUUGUCGCAAAGUGUAGGUUGUUAUCUUAUCUGUAGCAAGAUUUGUACAUUUGAUGUUUCAGAAUUUUGUGCAUUCACUUGUGAGCUCGACACUUCAGACGGUUGCUGUGAUCUCUGCACAUUGUAAAUUUUAUAUUUUUUUGACAAGAAAGAACAAAAACUAGCACAUCCUCUGAUUCAUAUUACUUGUUGCAGCUUUGUAGCACGAUCAUAGGAAGUGCAGUAACACAGGCAGGCUCUGCUGCGUGUGUUAUUUCCUUGGUUUUGGAGAGAAUUUGAUGCCACUUUGUUCGGGCCGUGCAUUUGGCAUCAACAAAUGUAUUAUGAUGCAGGGUUUGCAGCUCGGAUCAUGUUCGAUCAUUCAUAGACACUAUGUUAUAUGUACAUAUGGACCAUGUGCGCUUGUGGGACUUAAUUAAUUCCUGCAAUGUUUGAGUCCAUUGCAAUGCCAAUUGCUGGUACUGGAAUGUUGAAUUAUGCUCCUUUGCUUACUUCGGUUUGAUGCUUAACUUGGCCUUGUGUUUUCGGCUACUGGCGAACAUUUUGGUCCUGGACCAUUGAUAAACAAAAUUUCUCACAGCUGUCAUUGUCAUUUGUUUGUGUACAGGGCAUUGCAUUGUGGGGGUGUGGCUACAUGGAUCUGUCCUUCGCCCAUCCAGUUGCCCUGUUUGCCGUCGCCCCAUAACGCUGCUGGUACCUUCUCAAGUUGCUUCCCUGCUGCGUGAUGUGCCAAAAAUUGCUCCUAUCAUGAACCGAAUUGAGCAGUACAAUGGCCGUUUUGCUGGAGUAUCUCACAGUAUGGUUCGGUACACCUGCCAUGUAAAACGGCAAUGGUGUUAGAUAUUUGUUUGGCAAUGUGUCAGUCUCUAGGUUGAUGUGCUGAAGAAAAAAAGAUAAAACAUCUACAAAUUUCAUCACUUGCUGCUGUAUGAUAAAAUAUUUUCUUGUGUCACUCGUUCACAUUGCUAUCUAACUUAGGGCAUCUAGAAUGGUUGAUAAGGCAACCUUAUCUUAAAUUCUUAAUCCUGCCAUGUAAUUUAGAUAUGUCAAAAAAUAUGGUGUACAAUGGGUUGUCUCAUAAUCUUAUCUCUAUUAACUUGAUAUGCCUGAAAAUGUGGUGAGAAAUUUGUUAAUAAGAGAUCAUCUCUUAUAUCUAUUUUAGCUUGCAGUCCAAGCUGAUAGCCAUGUGAGGCCAUUGCUACUCGUUUUUGUUGGCAUCUUGUGUUACAAAGAGUUUCCACAUGAUUGCCACUAUUUUUGUUCUUCUUAUCCGCAGAUGCAACACAAUAAAAUGACACAUCUGUGUGCAGCACGUACAUUACAUUACUUCUAUUUCCACUCCUGCCCAAGCGCUUAUCUUCCUUUCCACAAGAGUAUCCGUUUCAUUUAUUGACCUUUAUUUUUUCUACAACAGACUUUAGGGCCAAGAAUUGGGUAUUUUCCAUUGUUGGUGUCGACUAUAAAGGCUCAUUUCAGCAGCUCACUCUCACCAGGUGUUGAUACUGUUUGGUUUGAAUAUAAAGGGAUGCCACUGAAAUGGUAACAUAUGUUAUCUCCUACUAAUAUCAAUGAUGGUCUAUUCACAUUAUUAAAUCUUGAGAACCCAUGUUAUUGCUGUCGCUUUUAUUUGCUGACAGUCCUUUUUAUGUUCGCAUUGUUAGGUGUAUUCCCAUUGGUGUUCUUUUCGACCUUCUCCGUGGAGAUACCGAAAGGCCUUGGAAUCUAAAAGUAAGCACUUUUGUUUAGACAUAUUUUCUUUUAUGAUUUUUUUAAUUUGCGAGGUGUUUUUCUCGUGUUGAAGGUUCAUUUAUGCCUUAAUGGGACGCUGGAUCAGUAGAAACCUUUUGAUUAACCAUGUGCGUUUUCUCUUAACGUUUAACUUUGCUAGAAAUACUGUUAGAGAUUUAUGCCAUAAUGUUCGCAGGAUCUAGUUAGUUACUUAACUCAGCAAUUAAGUUCAAUAAAUUACCAAUUAGACUGCAUAAAUAUUUAUGUGCUUGCCACACUUUUUGUAAUCCUUGCUUAAUUGCAAUCAGCCAGCCAUCAGUGCACGAAUAGUAGAAACCAAGUUUUGAAACAUUUAGUCUUAGCGGUACAUUUUCGAUUGUAUUUUUUGAAAAAUUAGUCUUUCUGAAUAAACUUUUGUUGGUUGACCUGAGGAUCCUUUCCCUGUGCAAACUUUUGUUGGUUGACGUGAGGAUCCUUUUAAAUUGCAAUCUUUCUCCUGCAGAUUGAUUGACUCGAGUGACCCAUAAAGAAAAUUACUUUUGUAAUUGCAGACAAGUGAAGCUACACCUGGAACAGAAGAUUGGGAGCUCCCUGCUGUGGUAAACCCCCCUCCAUCCCCACCACCCCCUGCCCCCGACGGCCUGUAGAUCCUAUACGACCCAGGCAUGCCUCUUCCCCUUCCUGCCAUGUACAUAGCUUACUUGUUAUGUUGUCGCGAUUAGAUAAAUUUCAAUGAACAUCGUCAUUCUAUUUGAGCGUAUUGGUUGGUGAUUAGUCGAAAAACGGCAUAAAUUGGAGAAGAAAAAUUGUAGCUUUAUUCUACUAUAAAAAUCUAGGGGGCUCCAAAUCCGCACUAGCUUACUCAUUGGCUUAGGAACAUGAACAUAUACUGCUAUGCUUUAUAUGCCUAAUUUUUUUUAAGUUUUCUUUAACUUUUGCAUAGUAUUUUGUUACCAAGUAGAACAAUCAGGACAUACAUAACCCCUCUCUCUCUCUCUCACACACACACACAAUCUCAAUCGGGACAUACAUAACGGCUGGUAAUCGAGCCGUUGGCAAUUUAUUGUUUGGAUGUGUGGUGGCGGUCUUGUGUUAUUGUGACUGAUAAUCAUCUUGCUUGAGGAUGUGAUUGCAAUUCUGUGUUGGGCUCCUUUUUGCAGUGCAUGCACCAUUUAUUUGUGCAAUCCAUAUUCUGAUGUCUACACCCCAUUGCAUGUCUGUCCACAAGGCUUGUCUUGUUGUCCCUAUGGUCCGGUGUCGACAAACCCUAAAUUAUAAAACCUUGGCUUUUAGGGUGCCUCGGUGUCGAUAAAAACCUAAAUGAUGAAAGCUUAGGCUUUUAGGGUGCCUCGGCGUUGACAAACCCUAAAUGAUAAAAACUUAGCUUUUAGGAUGCGUCGGUGUCGACAAACCCUAAAUGAUGAGAUCAUGAUCUUGUUCCUUGACAAUAACCAACUUCUUUACCAAACUUUUUUCCUAUUUAGAGCGAAACAUGGCCCACAACGAUGAGGCUGGCGGUUCGGGCAAGGCAUUUUGGGAGCUGUCCUAGGAGAUGGAGGAAGAACUUCACCGCUAUGAGGAUGCCGCGGAAGACACCGAUCCNNNNNNNNNNNNNNNNNNNNNNNNNNNNNNNNNNNNNNNNNNNNNNNNNNNNNNNNNNNNNNNNNNNNNNNNNNNNNNNNNNNNNNNNNNNNNNNNNNNNNNNNNNNNNNNNNNNNNNNNNNNNNNNNNNNNNNNNNNNNNNNNNNNNNNNNNNNNNNNNNNNNNNNNNNNNNNNNNNNNNNNNNNNNNNNNNNNNNNNNNNNNNNNNNNNNNNNNNNNNNNNNNNNNNNNNNNNNNNNNNNNNNNNNNNNNNNNNNNNNNNNNNNNNNNNNNNNNNNNNNNNNNNNNNNNNNNNNNNNNNNNNNNNNNNNNNNNNNNNNNNNNNNNNNNNNNNNNACUGAUGAUGGCAGCGCACGCACAGAUGGUAGUGAUGCCUGCAGCUCUCUUCUAUGUGAUGGUAGUUUAGAUGAUCGAUAUCGACUUGUAAUGUGAAGAAAAACUCGCUACUCGCGGUCUCGAGACUUAUAAUGUUCUAACUUUGUUCGGUAUUUUAAAUUCGGAGACUAAUAUGAUGAAUUGUAUUCGGAGACUAAUCUUCUAUUGUAUUCAAUAAAUCUGUUGUUUAUAUGUUGUGCUCUCUAUAUUCCGUGCAAUAAUAUGUUUUGUAAUUUGUGCAAAUAUCAUAAAAAAACCUAAUAUUCAUACUAGUGGCGCACCACUCAGCACUUUAGUGGCGCACUGCAAAAGCACACUAGUGGUGCAUCGUCAACUAGUGCGCCAUUAGUAAGCCAGAGCACAUGGGUAGAUAUGGCCCCUGGGAGGCAUACUAAUGGCGCACCAUGAGCUAUACUAAUGGAGCCCUUAGUGGUGAGCCAUUAGUAUACCAUAUAGUAAUGGCGCACCAUGAGCNNNNNNNNNNNNNNNNNNNNNNNNNNNNNNNNNNNNNNNNNNNNNNNNNNNNNNNNNNNNNNNNNNNNNNNNNNNNNNNNNNNNNNNNNNNNNNNNNNNNNNNNNNNNNNNNNNNNNNNNNNNNNNNNNNNNNNNNNNNNNNNNNNNNNNNNNNNNNNNNNNNNNNNNNNNNNNNNNNNNNNNNNNNNNNNNNNNNNNNNNNNNNNNNNNNNNNNNNNNNNNNNNNNNNNNNNNNNNNNNNNNNNNNNNNNNNNNNNNNNNNNNNNNNNNNNNNNNNNNNNNNNNNNNNNNNNNNNNNNNNNNNNNNNNNNNNNNNNNNNNNNNNNNNNNNNNNNNNNNNNNNNNNNNNNNNNNNNUGGCGCACUGCCUGGUGCACCAUUAGUAUAUCAGAUACUAAUGGCGCACCUAUGGUGCGCCAUUUUAGUAAAAAAUUCUAAUGGCGUGAUGCUAGUGGCGCACCUAUAGUGCGCCAUUAGUAGCCAAAACAGGUGCGCCACUAGCAUGCCUUUUCCUAGUAGUGUGUGCUUCACUUAUAUCUUUUGAGCUAGAUACUUUUGCUCUAUGUGCUUCACUUAUAUCUUUUAGAGCGCAGCGGUGCGUGGCUUGGUAGUUGAUCUAUGCUUUGAAAGUAGUCUGAAAAGGGGUAGUUAUGCAAAGGGAUACGAAAACUUCCACCUUCAUGUGCAUUGAUUUGAGUUAUGGUUAUGGUAAUAUUGAAAUCAUGCUAGUAAGGUGUUNCAUGCACGUAUGGUAAACCGCUAUGUGAUGAAAUCUUAGCCUGAUUAGUCUAUUGAUUGUCAUCCUUUGCGUGGCGGUCGGGAUUGCGCGAUGGUUUAUACCUACCAACCCUUCCCCUAGGAGUAUGCGUUGAAUGCUUUGUUUCGAUUACUAAUAAAACUUUUGCAACAAGUAUAUGAGUUCUUCAUGACUAAUGUUGAGUCCAUGGUUUAGAUGCACUUUCACCUUCCACCAUCACUAUGUUGUUAGUGUCGUGCAACUUUCGCUGGUGCACAAAACCCACCAUUAGCCUCCCUCAAAACAGCCACCCUACCUACCUACUAUGGCUUUUUCAAAGUCAUUCCGAUAUAUAUUGCCAUGCAACUACCACCAUGAUAUGUGCCACCACGCCUACAUUGCCUUUGCACGAUCGUAAGAUAACUAGCAUGAUGUUUCCAUUGAUCUCUAUGCCAUGCUAGAUCAUUGCCAUGGUACACUACCAAAGGCAUUCCAUAUAGAGUCAUAAUUGCUCUAAGUUUUGAGUUGAAAGUGUGAUGAUCAUCAUUAUUCGAGCAUUGUCCCAUGUGAGGAAAUAAAAGAGGCCAAAGAAGCCCAUAAAAAAAGAGGCCAAAGAGCGCACCAAAAAAAAUAUGAGAGAAAAAGAGAGAAGGGCAAUGCUACCACUUUUUCCACACUUGUGCAUGUUGAGCACCAUGAUCUUCAUGAUUGAGAGUCUCUCGUUUUGUCACCACCAUAUAGCUAGUGGUAAAUUCUCAUUAUAUAACUUGGCUUGUAUAUUCCAAUGAUAGGCUUCCUUGAAUUUGCCUUAGGUCUUCGUGAGCAAGCAAGUUGGAUGCACACCCACUAGUUUUCUUUAAGAGCUUUCACAUACUUGUAGCUCUAGUGCAUCGUUUGUAUGGCAAUCCCUACUCAUUCACAUUGAUAUCUAUUGAUGAGAAUCUCCACAGCUCAUUAAUAUGCCUAGUUAAUGUGACUUUCUUCUCCUUUUUGUCUUGCAAACUCCACCACAUUCCACAACAUCUAUAGUGCUAUAACCAUGUCUCACGCUCAUUUAUUGCGUGAGAGUUGAAAAUGUUUGAGAAAGUAAAGGUGUGAAACAAUUACUUGACCAAUACCGGGGUUGUGCAUGAUUUAAAUUCGUUGUGCAAUGAUGAUAGAGCAUAGCCAGACUAUAUGCUUUUGUAGGGAUAACUUUCUUUUGGCCUUGUUAUUUUGAAAGUUCAUGAUUACUUUGCUAGUUUGCUUGAAUUAUUAUUGUCUCCACGUCAAUAGCAAACUAUUGUUUUGAAUCUAAUGGAUCUGAACAUUCACGUCACAUAAGAGGAAUUACAAAGGACACUUAUGCUAGGUAGCAUGAAAGCAUCAAAAAUUCAUUCUUAUCACUUCCCUACUCGAGGAUAAGCAGGAGUUAAGCUUGGGGAUGCUUCAUACGUCUCAAACGUAUCUAUAAUUUUUGAUGGUUUCAUGCUGUUAUCUUGCCUUCUUUGUAUGUUUUAUGUACCUUUUUAUAUCUUUUUUGGGACUAACUUAUUGAUUCAGUGCCAAGUGCCAGUUCCUGUUUUUCUGUGUUUUGGACUCUUUUCUGAUCUGAUUUUGGAACGGAGUCCAAAUGGAAGAAAAACCCCGAAAUGAUUUUUUCCCGAACGGAAGAAGUCCAGGGAGCCUUUGGGCCAGGCCAGGUGGGCCCCAGGGAGCCCACAAGCUCCCACCCCGCCACCAGGGGGGAGGUGGCGGUGGGCAAGCUUGUGGCUUCCCUGGCCGCCUCCUGAGCUAGGUCUUGCGCCUAUAUAUUCCCAAAUAUUCCGCAAAAAAUCAGGGGAGACACGAAAAUACUUUUCCGCCGUCGCAAGCUUCCGUUUCCGCAAGAUCUCAUCUGGAGACCCUUCCCGGCGCCGUGCCGGAGGGGACUUUGGAGGUGGAGGGCUUCUUCAUCAUCAUCAUCGCCCCUCCAAUGACUCGUGAGUAGUUUACUUCAGACCUACGGGUCCGUAGUUAGUAGGUAGAUGGAUUCUUCUCUCUCUUGGAUCUUCAAUACAAAGUUCUGCAUGAUCUUCACGGAGAUCUAUCCGAUGUAAUCUUCUUUGGCGGUGUGUUUGUCGAGAUCCGAUGAAUUGUGGACUUGUGAUCAGAUUAUCUAUGAUAUAUAUUUGAGUCUUUACUGAUUUCUUAUAUGCAUGAUUUGAUAUCCUUGUAAGUCUCUCCGAGUCUUGGGUUUUGUUUGGCCAACUAGAUCUAUGAUUCUUGCAAUGGGAGAAGUGCUUGGUUUUGGGUUCUGCCAUGUGGUGACCUUUCCCAGUGACAGUAGGGGCAGCAAGGCACACAUCAAGCAGUUGCCAUCAAGUGUAAAAAGAUGGGGGUUUUAUCAUUGGUUUGAGAUUAUCCAUCUACAUCAUGUCAUCUUGCUUAAGGCAUUACUCUGUUCUUAUGGACUUAAUACACUAGAUGCAUGUUGGAUAGCGGUCGACGUAUGGAGUAAUAGUAGUAGAUGUAGACAAUAUCGGUCUACUUGUUUCAGACGUGAUGCCUAUAGAAAUAAUCAUUGCAUAGAUAUCGUCAUGACUCUGCACAGUUCUAUCAAUUGCUCGACAGUAAUUUGUUCACCCACCGUCUACUUGCUUUCAUGAGAGAAGCCACUAGUAAACACUACGGCCCCCGGGUCUAUUCGCAUCCAUCGUUUACAACUCCGCUUUUACUUUGCUUUGUUACUUUGUUGCUUUCAGUUCUCACUUGGCAAACAAUCUAUAAGGGAUUGACAACCCCUUCAUAGCGUUGGGUGCAAGCUUUUGCGUUUGUGCCGGAUCUUGAGAUACUCUUCCGCCGGAUUGAUACCUUGGUUCUCAAACUGAGGGAAAUACUUACCGUAGCUGUGCUACAUCACCCUUUCCACUCCGAGGGAACACCAACGCAAAGCUCCAAGGCCACAGGGGAAAUCCUUCGCAUACUUGCCUAGGAAGUCCCUUAAGGCGUAGCCACAACAUAAAGAUCAAGCCAAGUAUUCUCCCGUCGACGUGCCUAUCUUUGGCGCCAUUGGAAGGUAUUUUGUGCAGUAGCAGAAGUAUUUCUGGCACCAUUGCCAGGGGUACACAGCAAACAUCAAUGCCCCGGGAAGGCAUCCCCUAUUUCGUCUUCUAUCCAUCGGUAACAUUACUUGGAGCUAUAUUUUUAUUCACCACAUGAUAUGUGUUUUUGCUUGGAGCGUCUUGUAUCGUAGGAGUCUUUUCUUUUUGUUGUGUCACAAUCAUCCUUGCUGCACACCUUUUUGAGAGAGAGAGAGACAUGCACUCAUCGUGAUUUUGCUAGAAUGCUCAUAGUGCUUCACUUAUAUCUUUUGAGCUAGAUACUUUUGCUCUAUGUGCUUCACUUAUAUCUUUUAGAGCACGGCGGUGCGUGAUUUGGUAGUUGGCUUAUUCUAUGAAAGUAGUCCCAAAUGUGAUAGGUACCCAAAGAGGAUGCAAAAACCUCCAUCUUCAUGUGCAUUGAGUAGAAAGAGAAGUCUUGAUUCCUCUCAAUUAGUUUUGAGGCGUGGAUUUGGUAAUAUUAAGAGCUAUGUUAGUAGGGUGUUGUUAAUCUAGAAAUACUUGUGUUGAAGUUAGUGAUUCCCGUAGCAUGCACGUAUGGUGAACCACUAUCUUAGGAAAUCAGAGCAUAAUUGAUCUAUUGAUUGUCAUCCUUUGUGUUGAGGUCGGGAUCGCGCGAUUGUUAACACCUACCAACCCUUCCCCUCGGAGUAUGCGUUUAGCACUUCGUUUCGAUUACUAAUAAAAACUUUCGCGACAAGUAUGUGAGUUCUUCAUGACUAAUGUGAGUCCAUGGUAUAGAUGCACUAUCCCCUUCCACCAUUGCUAGCCUCUUUAGUGCCGCGCAAUUCUCGUCGGUGCACAAUCCCACCAUAUGCUUUCCUCAAAACAGCCACCAUACCUACCUACUAUGGCAUUUUCAUAGCCAUUCCGAGAUAUAUUGCCAUGCAACUCCCACCGUUCCGUCUCAUGACUUGUACCAUCACUCUCAUAUUGCCAUUGCAUGAUCAUAAGAUAGCUAGCGAGAUGUUUUCAACGUCAUACGCCAUGCUAGAUCGUUGCACAUCCCGGUACACUGCCGGAGGCAUUUCCUAUAGAGUCAUCAUCAUUGUGAGCUUUGAGCUGUGAGUAAAUAAAAGUGUGAUGAUCAUCAUUAUUAGAGCAUUGUCCCAUGUGAGGAAAUAAAAAAAGAGAGGCCAAAGAGCCCAAAAACAAAACAAAAAGGGGAGAAAAAAAGAGGCCUAAGAGACCAAAUGAAAAAAAGAGAAAAAGAGAGAAGGGACAAUGCUACUAUCUUUUUCCACACUUGUGCUUCAUAAUAGCACCAUGUUCUUCAUGAUUGAGAGCUUCUUUCUUUGUCACUACCAUAUGCUAGUGGGAAUCUUCAUUAUAUAACUUGGCUUGUAUAUUCCAAUGAUUUGCUUCCUCAAAAUUGCCAUUGGUCUUCGUGAGCAACCAAGUUGGAUGCACACCCCUAGUUUUCCUUUCGAGCUUUCACAUACUUAUAGCUCUAGUGCAUCUCUUGUAUGGCAAUCCCUACUCGUUCACAUUGAUAUCUAUUAAUGGGCAUCUCCAUAGCCCUUUGAUACGCCGAGUCAAUGUGACCAUCUCCUCCUUUUUGUCUCACAACCACCACCACACUCUAUUCCACUUAUAGUGCUAUAUCCAUGGCUAACGCUCAUGUAUUGCGUGAUAGUUAUAAAAAGUUUGAGAAAGUAAGAGUGCGAAAACAAUUACUUGGACAAUACCGGGGUUGUGCAUGAUUUACAUUAGUUGUGUGAGGAUGAUGGAGCAUAGCCAGACUAUAUGAUUUUGUAGGGAUAACUUUCCUUGGCCUUGUGAUUUUGAAAGUACAUGAUUACCUUGCUAGUUUUCUUGAAGUAUUAUUGUUUUCAUGUCAAUAGAAAACUAUUGUUUUGAAUCUUACGGAUCUGAACAUUCAUGACACGAAAGAAGUUGCAAAGGGUAACUACGCUAGGUAGCAUUCUACAUCAAAAAUUCAGUCUUUAUCACUUCCCUACUCGAGGACGAGCAGGAGUUAUGCUUGGGGAUGCUUGAUACGUCUCCAACGUAUCUACAAUUUUUGAUGGUUUCAUGCUAUUAUCUUGUCAAACUUUGGAUUUUUUGUAUGGCUUUAAUAUCUUUUUUGAGACUAACUUAUUAACUCUGUGCCAAGUGCGAGUUCCUGUUUUCUUCCAUGUUUUUGACCCCUUUCAGAGGAGGAUUUUAAACGGAGUCCAAAGGGAACGAAACUGCCAAAAAGAUUUUUCCGAAACAGAAGAAGAUCGGGGAGCCUGAGAAUCAGGGCAGGGGGCCAGCAGGGACCCCAGAGGCCUCCUAGCCGCGGCCAGGGGGGCCCGCGCCUCCAAGACUUAUGGGCUCCCUGGGCCACCUCUACCCUUGGUCUUUCGCCUAUAGAUUCCCUAAAAUCCCAGAAAAAAUCAGGAGAUCAUCGAAAGUACUUUUCCGCCACCGUAAUCUUCUAUCUUCGCAAGAUCCCAUCUGGGGCACGUUCUGGUGCCCUGUCGGAGGGGGGAUUCGGAUACGGAGGGCUUCUUCAUCAACACCAUGACAUCUUCGAUGAUGCGUGAGUAGUUCACCAUAGACCUACGGGUCCAUAGCUAGUAGCUAGAUGGCUUCUUCUCUCUCUUGGAUCUUCAAUACAAAGUUCUCCAUGAUCUUCAUGGAGAUCUAUCNUUGCGGUGUGUUUGUCGAAAUCUGAUGAAUUGUGGAUUUAUGAUCAGAUUAUCUAUGAAUCUUAUUUGAGUUUCUUCUGAUCUCCCUUAUGCAUGAUUUCAUAUCCUUGUAAUUCUCUUCUAGUUGUGGGUUUUGUUUGGCCAACUAGAUCUAUGAUUCUUGCAAUGGGAGAAGUGCUUGGUUUUGGGUUCAUACCGUGCGGUGACCUCACCCAGUGAUAGAAGGGGUAGCGAGGCACGCAUCGUGAUGUUGCCAUCAAGGGUAAAAAGAUGGGGUUUUCAUCAUUAGUUUGAGAUAAUCCCUGUACAUCAUGUCAUCUUGCGUAAAGUGUUACUCUGUUCGUCAUGAACUCAAUACACUAGAUGCAUGCUGGAUAGCGGUCGAUGUGUGGAGUAAUAGUAGUAGAUGCAGAAAGUAUCGAUAUACUUUUCUUGGAUGUGAUGCCUAUAUGUAUGAUCAUUGCCUUAGAUAUCGUCAUGACUUUGCGUAGUUCUAUCAAUUGCUCGACAGUAAUUUGUUUACCCACCGUGAUACUUGCUAUUUUGAGAGAAGCCUCUAGUGAACACUAUGGCCCCCGGUUCUACUCCACACCAUAUUUUUAGCCUUACACUUUUAACUUCAUUGCACUUUCCGCCUUCAGAUCUCACUUUGCAAACAAUCUUGAAGGGAUUGACAACCCCUUUGAAGCGUUGGGUGCAAGCUUGUUCGUGUUUGCGUAGGUAUUGUGGACUUGACGAGACCCUCCUACUGGAUCGAUACCUUGGUUCUCAAACUGAGGGAAAUACUUACUGCUCUUGUGUUGCAUCAUCCUUUCCUCUUCAAGGGAAAAACCAACACGAGCUCAAGAGAUGACAGAAGGAUCUCUGGCACCACUGCCGGGGAACGACUUUUGUUGACGUAGCAGGAAGGUCCCAAUAUUGUUGAGGAAGUAUAUCGUUCCGGUGCUAUCAAGAUCAACAACAUGGAAGGUAAUUGUCCGAGAGUGGUAAAUGGGCAGAGAAUCAAGCAUUAUAUCUAAGGGAUAUCAUCAAUACCAUAACUCCGGAAGAAUACCUAAGGGAUAUUUACCAGCCUAUUUCAGACUCCAAAAACGAAGAGGUAUGUGAUUCGGUAAGAAAACAGAGUCCAAAACUUUUCCAGUAGGAAUUUUUCUCCGUUUUGGAAUAUUUGAAAAAAUAGAAAAAUUGGAAGUAGUCCGGAAAGCGCGCGAGGAGGCGACAAGCUUGCCAGGCGCGGGCCCACCCCCUGGCCACGCCUGGGGGGCUUGUGGCCACCUCGUGUGCCUCCCGGACUCCGUUUUCGUGCGGAGUACUCCUUCCGGUCUGAAAAAAUCAUUGUAUAUUCUCCCGUAAGGUCUGACCCUCGUAUCACGCAGAUUUCCUCUUUUUUCGUUUCGAGCCUGUUUUCUGCCGCAGAUUUAGAGCAAGAUGUGAAGUUGAAGAAGUGGAUGCUGAUCUGAAACGAAUGGAGGCUAGGGAAAGGCUACCUAAAGAGGCCAAGGGCAAAACUAAGGAGAAGAAUCAGGCAUGGGACAAAGUGCAAUCUGUGCUUAACAAGGAAGAAGUUGAAGAAGUGGGUUUCCUCCAACCCUACCUCUAGCUACUGUCUCCAUCCUUGAUUGAACUCUUGAGGUUUUGUGAAACAACUCGAGCUCGCAAUACUUAUCUCACUCAUGAAGUUGUUUUGCUGGAGAAACAUAUCACAGAUCUCCAAGGUAUAAAUCAAAGAUUAAUGGCCCUCUUGGAAUGAAAGGACAAAGCAACUCCACCACCAUCACCUCCAAAGGAAGACAACUAAGCAUGGGUAUGGGCAAUCCCCUUGGCUUGUGCCAAGCUUGGGGGAGUUGCCCCGGUAUCGUAUCACCAUCACUUCUUUUGCCUUUACCUUUGUUUUAGUUUGUUCCUUUUCAGUUUUCUUUUUCUCUAGUAGAUUAAAAGUCUUAGUGUUUUAGUCUUGAGUUUUGUUUUGUGUCACCCCUGAUGUAUUCGAGCUCGUGAGCCAUAUACUAAAGAGUGUCUUAGUUGAAGGGAUUUGCCUCUUGCCAUGAUCAAAAGAGUGAGAAAAGAACAAAAGCAUGAAAGUUCAUGUAAUGAUCUUAUGGGAAGUGAUGGCUUCACAUAUAAAAAUAAUGUUGAUUGAAACUUGUUGAGGGUAGACAAACGUAGACCUUGGUCAUUGUUGCAACUAAUAGGAAGUGAUAAAGAAGGAGAGGUUCACAUAUAAAUACAUCAUCUUUGACACCAUCUAUGAUUGUGAACACUCACUAAGCUAUUGCAUGCCUAGAAGUAGAUGUUGGACAAGGAAGACAACAUAAUCAAUUGUGUUUUCUUGGUUCUCAACAAUGUUAUAUGAUUAGAGAUCCCUUAGCAUGUGACGAUUGCUUCCACCUCAUUUUAGCCAAAAAUCCCGCACCAAUUAGAAAUACUACUUGUGCAUCCACAAACCUUCAACCUAGUUUUGCAAUGAGAGUCCACCAUACCUACCUAUGGAUUGAAUAAGAUCCCUCAAGUAAGUUGUCAUCGGUGCAAGCAAUAAAAAAUUCUCCCUAAUAUGUAUGAUCUUUUAGUGUGUGGAAAAUAAGCUUUGUACGAACCUGUGGUGAGGAAGACAUAAAAGUGACAGACGGCAUAAUAAAGUUCUUUAUCACAGGAGGAAAUAUAAAGUGACGUUCCUCCGCACUAAGAGGACACGCAUCCAAACCUCAAAAGCGCAUGACAACCUAUGCUUCCCUCUACGGAGGGCCUAUCUUGUACCUUUACUUUUUGCCCUUGAAAGAGUCAAGGUGAUCUUCACCAAUUCCUUUUUCGCCUUUAUCUUGGCUAACGUCAUAUGCUAGGGAAAGAUCUAUAUUCAUAAGUCAACUUGGAGGUAAGCAUUCAUGAAUUAUUGUUGUUGACAUUACCCUUGAGGUAAGUAGUUAGGAGGCAAAACUAUAAGCCCCUAUCUUUCUCCGUUUCCAGCUGAAACUUUGACCAAAUGAGUACCACGUGAGUUGUAGCAAUUGUAGAGAAUGAAAAGAUGAUUGAGUAAGUUGAUUUGCUUUACAAGCUCUUAUUUGACUCUUUCUGAUGUUGUGAUAAAUUGCAAUUGCUUCAAUGACUGCAGGCUAUAGGUUGUUACUUCUGGGUAAGGUUCUUGAUCCAUACUUUACUUUGUGAAGGAAUUGUCACUUUAGCAUGAGAGAUUACAUGUUGGUAUUGUUGUUCUGAUCAUGAUCAUGAUGCAUGCAUGUUCGCAUUUUGUUUUGUCGACACCUCUCUCCCUUAACAUGUGGUCAUAUUUAUUGAGCUCGGCUUUCACAUGAGGACAAGCGAGACCUAAGCUUGGGGGAGUUGAUACGUCCAUUUUGCAUCAUGGUUUCAUGUUGAUAUUUAUCGCUUCUUGGGCUGUUAUUUCACUUCACGGUACAAUACUUAUGCCCUUUCUCUCUUAUUUUGCAAGGUUUACAUGCAGAGGGAGAAUGCCGGUAGCUGGAAUUCUGUCCUGAAAAUGGAGCAAGUUUGAGAUACCUGUUCUGCGCAACUGCAAACGCCGUAAAAAUAAACAAGGAUUUUUUUCGGGAUUUAUAAAAAAUAUUGGGCCGAAGAAGUGGCAGAGGGGCGCUAGUAGGAGGCCACAAGCCUGCUAGGUGCGGCCACACCCCUGGCCGUGCCUAGGGGGCUUGUGGGCACCCAGCUGGCCCUCUGGCCCCCCUCUUCUGCUAUAUGAAGGGUUUCGUUCUGAAAAAAAUCAAGAGGAGGCUUUUUCGAGGAUUCGCCGCUGCCACGAGGCGGAACUUGAGCAGAACCAAUCUAGAGCUCCAGCAGGACGAUCCUGUUGGGGAAUUAAUUACUCUUUGUAAGGUUGCUAGUAGUGUUGAUUACUCUUUGUAGUUUAUGCUAGUUGGAUUACUUGGUGGAAGAGUUUAUGUUCAGAUCCUUGAUGCUACUCGUUACCUCUCUGGUCAUGAAUAUGAUUAUGCUUUGUGAGUAGUUACUUUUGUUCCUGAGGACAUGGGACAAGUGAUGCUAAUAGUAGUCAUGUGAAUUUGGUAUUCGUUCAAUAUUUUGAUGUGUUGUAUGUUGCUUUUCCUCUAGUGGUGUUAUGUGAAAAUCGACUACAUAACACUUCACCAUUAUUUGGGCCUACAGGAAGGCAUUGGGAAGUAGUAAGUAGAUGAUUGGUUGCUAGAGUUACAGAAGCUUAAACCCUAGUUUAUGCGUUGCUUCGUAAGGGGCUGAUUUGGCUCCACUAGUUUAAUGCUAUGGUUAGACUUUGUCUUAAUUAUUCUUUCGUAGUUGUGGAUGCUUGCGAGAGGGGUUAAUCAUAAGUGUGAUGCUUGUCCAAGUAAGGGCAGUACCCAAGUGCCGGUCCACCCACAUAUCAAACUAUCAAAGUAACGAACAUGAAUCAUGUGAACAUGAUGCAAACUAGCAAGACAAAAAUUCCCGUGUGUCCUCGUGAGUGUUUUUCCUCCUAUAGGACUUUGUCCAGGCUUGUCCCUUGCUACAAAAGGAUUGGGCCACUUUUCUGCACCGUUGCUACUUUUUUUACUUGUUGCUUGCUACGAAUCAUCUCACCACACAAUCACUUGUUACCGAUAAUUUCCGUGCUUGCAGAUAUUUCCUUGCUGAAAACCACUUGUCAGAUCCUUCUGCUCCUUGUUGGGUUCAACACUCUUACUUAUCGAAAGUACUAUGAUAGAUCCGCUAUACUUUUGGGUCAUCACUCCACCUUCCACUUGAGGUAACCAACGAGGGGCGAGAUGUAUAUCCAUUAACUCGUCAUCAAGCAAAUUUUUGGCGCCGUUGCCGGGCACUCCAGUUUUCAAGAUAGGGGAGUUGCACGCUAUCUUUUACCUUUGCUUUUUAGUCUUGUUAGUUUGCUUUCUAGUUUUUUCUUUAGAGUCGUAUACCAAAAACCAAAAAAAUAGUUGAUUUGCUUCUAGUUGUCCUUUCUGCUUAGUACAACAUGUUAAGGUUUGAUGCUUUGAGGGAAUUUGAGGUCCUAGAUUUCCAUCAAAGGAAUGGAGAAAAUAUUAAGGAGGCUUGUGAUAGAAUUUCUGAAGAACAUAAAAUAAUUAUGCCUUGGAUACCUAUAAUAAUUGUACUUAAAAAAUUUUAUCAUUGGUCUUUUAUAUGGUGUAAACACUCUCUUGAUAUUAUAGCUAAAGGAGAUUUUUUUAGAGUGUGAUCAGGCUAGAGAUCUUGAUAUUAUACAAGGUAUAUCUAAAUACCUUGAUUAUGGUCGUGGAUUUGACACUAUUAUAGAUAGACUUGCUGCCAUGGAAAGGAAAAUAGAUGCUCUAGAAUUAAGAGAAAGAGAGAAACCCAUGGUUGAUAAGAAAAAGAUUUUGAAACUAGAUGAUGACUCGGAGCCUUUUGUUAGAAUUAGCAUCUCUAUCCAAGAUUUCCCUACUUAUUGUGAUAUUGGAUCCCUGGUUUCCACAAUGCCAAAAGUUGUUUAUGAUUAUCUAAGCUUUUUAAACAUAGACAAUUUUUCAUCUUAUCAUGAACAUGCUAAUUGGGAUAUUUGUGAGAUCCAGGGAAAUGAAAAAGAUGUCGAGGUUACAUUCUCUAAAAGGAAUGCAAUAGUUGAUUUCUUCAUCAUGNNNNNNNNNNNNNNNNNNNNNNNNNNNNNNNNNNNNNNNNNNNNNNNNNNNNNNNNNNNNNNNNNNNNNNNNNNNNNNNNNNNNNNNNNNNNNNNNNNNNNNNNNNNNNNNNNNNNNNNNNNNNNNNNNNNNNNNNNNNNNNNNNNNNNNNNNNNNNNNNNNNNNNNNNNNNNNNNNNNNNNNNNNNNNNNNNNNNNNNNNNNNNNNNNNNNNNNNNNNNNNNNNNNNNNNGUUGAUUUCUUCAUCAUGAAGCCAAACCAAGGAAACAUAGUGCUUGAAAGGGACUUCCUCCGAGCCAUGAAAUGCUUCAUUGAUAUAGGUAAAGGACAAAUACGCUUACGUGGGAAUGCGAAAGGGACGUACCCGUUCCCUAGGAAAAAUAAGGAUGAACUUGUUGAGGAUCCGUUUGAAGGUUUCGAUGACUCCAAUGACUUUGGUGAAUUUUGAUCCUCCUUUUUGCAUCAUGCCUAGCUCAAAGGCAUAAAAGAAAGCGCUUGUUGAGAGGAAACCCAAUUUCCUUUUAAUUUUAGUUUUAGUGGUCUUGAUGCUUGUUACUACUGUAGCAACAUCAUUGUAUCUUUAUUUUCAAGCUUUGUGCCAAGUUAUACCCUCCGAUCGCAAGAAAGUUCAAAAGUUGUGACAUGCCGUCCAGAAAGAGAUUAUGUCGGCUUGACAAAAAAUACGCCAAAAGUCACCAGAUCAUCUUUUUGAUCUGAUUUCUUUUACAGUAUGCUCCAUAUAAUUGUCUUUCUGACGUCUAUUGAUUUGAGUUGCAGAAGUGCCCCAAAAAAAUAUUUACUACCUGUUGUUCUGUUUUUCACAUAUUCUGCCACGUUUUGCGUUUUCAUGAUUUUGCAAAAUUUAAACUUUCUUUUCCUUUGCAAAAACCUUUUGGAAAUCAUGAGAAACAAUAGCUUUUAAGCAGGGAAUAAAUUGUUUUAUUAUGGGUGCUAACCACUCUAAUCAGCUUAUGAUGAGUUUCGUAUGAAGGGAGUUUUCAAGUAUGUGAUGCAAGAUGAUGAAAGAAGAUCGAGCAAUGUCAAGCGUUCAAGCUUGGGGAUGCCCCCAUACACCCCCAAGAAUAAUUCAACGAGACUCAAGCAUCUAAGAUUGGGGAUGCCCCAGUGCAUCCCCUUCUCUAUCAACAAUCAUCAGUUCGUCCAUCCCCAUGUUGUAGUUUUAUCACCUCAUAUGUUAUGUGCUAUGCUUCAAGCGUCUCGUUCUUUACUUUUUAGUUUGUUUUAGUUUUGUCUGCUGUUCAUAACAAGUCGAAACCUAGCCUUCUUUGCUUGGGAGAGAAACACGCUCCACUCCACCCUAGAACACAACAUGAGUUUUCAUGCUUAUCUUUUUGGUGUGUUCUUUAUCGUUUCAUAGCUGCUGUCAUGCUUAGCUCUUAGUUUUCAUGCUAUAUCUUUUUAAUAGCUUUUAUUUAGGUUGCUUUUGGAACUCUCUUGAGUUAUCAUGCUUAUUUUGUUUAGAGAGUUUGCUUGUUGCACUGAGUUGUGUGUCUUGCAUGAGUAGGUAAUUGAAGUUGCUAAUUAAUUAUAGUAGUAACUUGCAAUAGUUUUCCGGUAUUGAUUUGAGUAAUGCUUGGAAUAUUGGUGCCAAGAGCUUGAGCCUAUCAGUGAUAGGUGUCGUAUUUUUGGAAAUCUGUGGGUAUUUUCAAAAACUAAAAAAGAAAUUAGUUGAGAACUCUAGCUACUAGAUUGAUCGCUAACCUGUGGAGGGUUUGGAAUAUAUAGAGUAACCUCACAUUACCAUGGGUCGAGGAUGCGCGAGGAUAACCAAACCCCCAAACACUCCUCCUCGGGGUACUUGUCUCUUUGUGAAUCUCCUAACUAGAUAGAGAGUUACUGAUAAUAAGUCUAUGAGUCCUUCGGACUAAUGCGAGUAUUCGAUUGUUGGCACUUCCACCAUCCAUAUUUUGCUAGCCUCUUAGGUACCGUGCAUUGCCAUUUCUCAUCUUGAGAGUUGGUGCAAAAUUCAUCGGUGCAUCCAAACCCUUGGCAUGAUACGCUCUAUCAUCAUAAGUGUCAUUAUAUCUUUCCUCAAAACAACCACCAUACCUACCUAUUAAGGCAUUUCCAUAGCCUUUCCAAGAUACAUUGCCAUGCAANNNNNNNNNNNNNNNNNNNNNNNNNNNNNNNNNNNNNNNNNNNNNNNNNNNNNNNNNNNNNNNNNNNNNNNNNNNNNNNNNNNNNNNNNNNNNNNNNNNNNNNNNNNNNNNNNNNNNNNNNNNNNNNNNNNNNNNNNNNNNNNNNNNNNNNNNNNNNNNNNNNNNNNNNNNNNNNNNNNNNNNNNNNNNNNNNNNNNNNNNNNNNNNNNNNNNNNNNNNNNNNNNNNNNNNNNNNNNNNNNNNNNNNNNNNNNNNNNNNNNNNNNNNNNNNNNNNNNNNNNNNNNNNNNNNNNNNNNNNNNNNNNNNNNNNNNNNNNNNNNNNNNNNNNNNNNNNNNNNNNNNNNNNNNNNNNNNNNNNNNNNNNNNNNNNNNNNNNNNNNNNNNNNNNNNNNNNNNNNNNNNNNNNNNNNNNNNNNNNNNNNNNNNNNNNNNNNNNNNNNNNNNNNNNNNNNNNNNNNNNNNNNNNNNNNNNNNNNNNNNNNNNNUAAAGAGGACACAUGAAAAGAUCCCAAAGAGGACAAAUGAGAGAUAAAUAGAAAGAGCCAAAGGGCCACAAAAAAAUAAAAACAAUAAAAAGAAACAAAAAAUAAAUAAAAAAUAGGGAAGGGGCAACACUACUAUUCCCUUUGAAAGAUCCACACUCGUACUCCAUUGUUAUACUUGUACUCCAUAGAGAUUAUCAUUCAUGCAUAACUUUGUGGGGACCCUUAUACUAUAGAACUUGGCUUGUAUAUUCCAAUGAUGAGCAUCCUAAAAUGAGCUCUAGGUCUUCAUGAGCAAGCAAUUUGGAUACACCCCACUAGUUCCAUUGGAGUGCUUACCUUAGCUCAUAUGUGCAUCCGUUGCAUGGCAAUCCCUACUCCUCACAUCAUAUCUAUCAUUUGGCUUCCUCUCGCCUAUGGUUGUCCUCAUUGAUGAGCCUUUCACACCCUUUUUAUCUUCCUUCCCCAUCAUUAUUCUAUUUGCCAUCCUAAGUGCCAACCUAUCUUGCUUGCGCUCAUCCAUUGCAUGAGUGCUCAAAGUAGAAAGGGAGAGGAUCAUUUUGACUUGUGCCUGACUAGUGGUCUGGGGAUGCGUCAGAAUAAGAUUCUGAAGGAGACCAAGUGUGAAGUUUAGUAGAUUGAGUUCUCAAUUAAAAAAUAUAUUUUAUGCUCUAAACCCAUCUCCCAUUUCUUGCACGCAAACACCAUUUGGAGACAUUCGAGUCACGGACAGCGAGAGCUCUUGCACCUUUAUGUUUUUACUUUGCUAUUUUCAAUACUAGAUAUAGACUCUUGCUUGUUAUUGUAUUGACUUGAAUUGCAUAUUUACUUUCUUUACUUUGAAGUUCUUAUAUGUGUAUUAGUAUGUCACCACAGAAAUUAUUUGUGUUAUCAUUUACCUACUCGGGGACGAGCAAGAAUUAAGCUUGGGGAUGUUGUAAGUCCCAAAUGUAUCUAUAACUUCUUCUUGUUCCAUGAUCUUUUUGGUGACAUUUUUAUAUGUUUUGCUACACUUUCAUAUCUUUUUACUCAUAUUUGGACUAACCUACUAACUUAGUGCACCCAGUACAAGUUUCUAUCUGCUGAUGUCUUUUUUGCAGGGGCUUUUACCCAAAUUUCCACAGCCUCAAAAAUCCCGAGAAAAAUAUAUAAAAAUCAGCGUGACGGAAGCUUCACGAAGCACGAAGAUGGCCCAGAAGGGAGCCAGGGGCUGCCCAGGUGGCCUCCCUGCAUGGCCUCGCCCCUGGACGCGCCCACAGGUCUCCUGGGUGGGUCACACCUCCUGUGGUGCCCUCCUUCGUGUUGGAAAUAUUCCCUAGAGGCAAUAAUAAUUAGUUAUUAUUAUAUUUCUUUGUUCAUGAUAAUCGUUUAUUAUCCAUGCUAUAAUUGUAUUGAUUGGAAACACAGUGCAUGUGUGGAUACAUAGACAAAACACUGUCCCUAGUAAGCCUCUAGUUGACUAGCUCGUUGAUCAAAGAUGGUCAAGGUUUCCAGGCCAUAGGAAAGUGUUGUUACUUGAUAACGGGAUCACAUCAUUAGGAGAAUCAUGUGAUGGACUAGACCCAAACUAAUAAAUGUAGCAUGUUGAUCGUGUCAUUUUGUUGCUACUGUUUUCUGCAUGUCAAGUAUUUGUUCCUAUGACCAUGAGAUCAUAUAACUCACUGACACCGGAGGAAUGCUUUGUGUGUAUCAAACGUCGCAACGUAACUGGGUGACUAUAAAGAUGCUCUACAGGUAUAUCCGAAGGUGUUCGUUGAGUUAGUAUGGAUCGAGACUGUGAUUUGUCACUCCGUGUGACGGAGAGGUAUCUCGGGGCCCACUCGGUAAUACAACAUCACACACAAGCCUUGCAAGCAAUGUGACUUAGUGUAAGUUGCGGGAUCUUGUAUUACGGAACGUGUAAAGAGACUUGCCGGUAAACGAGAUUGAAAUAGGUAUGCGGAUACUGACGAUCGAAUCUCGGGCAAGUAACAUACUGAAGGACAAAGGGAAUGACAUACGGUAUUAUAUGAAUCCUUGGCACUAAGGUUCAAACGAUAAGAUCUUCGUAGAAUAUGUGGGAUCCAAUAUGGGCAUCCAGGUCCCGCUAUUGGAUAUUGACCGAGGAGUCACUCGGGUCAUGUCUGCGUAGUUCUCGAACCCGCAGGGUCUGCACACUUAAGGUUCGACGUUGUUUUAUGCAUAUUUGAGUUAUAUGGUUGGUUAACGAAUGUUGUUCGGAGUCCCGGAUGAGAUCACGGACGUCACGAGGGUUUCCGGAAUGGUCCGGAAACGAAGAUUGAUAUAUAGGAUGACCUCAUUUGAUUACCGGAAGGUUUGCGGAGUUACCGGGAAUGACGAAUGGGUUCCGGGUGUUCACCGGGGGAGGGGGGGCAACCCACCCCGGGGAAGCCCAUAGGCCUUGGGGGUGGUGCACCAGCCCUUGGUGGGCUGGUGGGACAGCCCAAGAAGGCCCUAUGCGCCAAAGGAUAAGAAAUCAAAGAGAAAGGAAAAAAAGGGAGGUGGGAAAGGAGAGAAGGACUCCACCUUCCAAACCAAGUUGGACUCGGUUCGGAAGGGGAGGACUUCCCCCCCUUGGCUCGGCCGACCCCCUUGGGGCUCCUUGAGCCUCAAGGCAAGGCCCCUCCCCUCCCUCCUAUAUAUAGUGGGGUUUUUGGGCUGAUUUGAGACAACAUUGCCAUGGCAGCCCGACCACAUACCUCCACGGUUUUUCCUCUAGGUCGCCUUUCUACGGAGCUCGGGCGGAGCCCUGCCGAGAUCAGAUCACCACCAACCUCCGGAGCGCCGUCACGCUGCCGGAGAACUCAUCUACCUCUCCGUCUCUCUUGCUGGAUCAGGAAGGCCGAGACCAUCGUCGAGCUGUACGUGUGUUGAACGUGGAGGUGCCGUCCAUUCGGCACUAGAUCGUGGGACGGAUCGCGGGACGGUUCGCGGGGCAGAUCGAGGGACGUGAGGACAUUCCACUACAUCAACCGCGUUCACUAACGCUUCUGCUGUGCGAUCUACAAGGAUACGUAGAUCGGAAAUCCCCUCUCGUAGAUGGACAUUACCAUGAUAGGUCUUCGUGCGCAUAUGAAACUUUUUUUUUCCCAUGCGACGUUCCCCAACAGUGGCAUCAUGAGCUAGGUUCAUGCAUAGAUGUCUUCUCGAGUAGAACAGAAAAGUUUUUGUGGGCGGUGAUGUGCGUUUUGCUGCCCUCCGUAGUCUUUUCUUGAUUCCGCGGUCUUGUUGGAUUGAAGCGGCUUGGACCGACAUUACUCGUACGCUUACGAGAGACUGGUUUCAUCGCUACGAGUAACUCCAUUCCUCAAAGAUGACCGGCGAGUGUCGGUUUCUCCAACUUUAGUUGAAUCGGAUUUGACCGAGGAGGUCCUUGGAUGAGGUUAAAUAGCAAUUCAUAUAUCUCCAUUGUGGUGUUUACGUAAGUAAGAUACGAUCCUACUAGAUACCCAUGGUCACCACGUAAAACAUGCAACAACAAUUAGAGGAUGUCUAACUUGUUUUUGCAGGGUAUGCUUGUGAUGUGAUAUGGCCAACGAUGUGAUGUGAUAUAUUGGAUGUAUGAGAUUAUCAUGUUGUAAUAGUUAAUAUCGACUUGCACGUCGAUGGUACGGCAACCGGCAGGAGCCAUAGGGUUGUCUUUAAACUAACGUUUCUGCUUGCAGAUGCGUUUACUAUAUUGCUAGGACGUAGCUUUAGUAGUAGUAGCAUGAGUAGCACGACAACCCCGAUGGCGACACGUUGAUGGAGAUCUUGAUGAUGGAGAUCAUGGUGUGACGCCGGUGACAAGAAGAUCAUGCCGGUGCUUUGGUGAUGGAGAUCAAGAAGCACGUGAUGAUGGCCAUAUCAUGUCACUUAUGAAUUGCAUGUGAUGUUAAUCCUUUAUGCACCUUAUCUUGCUUGGAACGACGGUAGCAUUAUGAGGUGAUCUCUCACUAAAAUUUCAAGACGAAAUUGUGUUCUCCCCGACUGUGCACCGUUGUGACAGUUCUUCGUUUCGAGACACCACGUGAUGAUCGGGUGUGAUAGACUCAACGUUCACAUACAACGGGUGCAAAACAGUUGCACACGCGGAACACUCGGGUUAAGCUUGACGAGGCUAGCAUGUGCAGACAUGGCCUCGGAACACAUGAGACCGAAAGGUUGAGCAUGAAUCAUAUAGUUGAUAUGAUUAGCAUAGAGAUGCUUACCACUGAAACUAUUCUCGACUCACAUGAUGAUCGGACUUGAGAUAGUGGAUUUGGAUCAUGUACCACUCAAAUGACUAGAGAGAUGUACUCACUACAAGGAAUAUGCUAAUACACGACGCUAUAUUUUCGUCGCUACAUCGUCAUGGUUUUUAGUUUACGACGAUCUCACGACGAAAAACCAAGCGUCGAAAACGGAGCGUCAGAAAUGAACAACAGCGAUGUUUUGAUCAAAAUCGUCGUAACCUUUACGACGGUUCUUGGAUUGCCGUAACCUUUACGACUAUCCUAAAUCAUCGUUGGCAAUCUAACCCAGUCCUACAUGGCAAAAUUACGACGAAAUCAAAACAUCAUGGUUGAAAUCAGCCCAACCCAUUUCAAUUGAUCACAUGGGCUGAUUUUAUUUUUUUGGGCUUUUUCUUAUUGGGCUUCUUUUUGGACCUUAGCCCAUUUAUAGCCACUUUUAGUUUUUCUUUUUCGAAUUUUUUUUUGCGCCCUGACCUUUUAGUGCCCAAAUACAUUUGGUCCAGUUUCAGUUUUGGCCUUUUUUCAUUUUUGAAUUCAGCAAUUUUUUUUCCAGAACUUGGUUUCUUUUCUAUUUAUUGGGCAUUUUCAACCAAUUAUUUGUCCAAUAUUAAAUGCAGCACUAUUUAAUAUUCAAAUCAAGAAAACUCCAAGUCGAAUUAAAAUCAUCCAUCAUAUAACAUCACAUAAUACAUCUCCGAGGUUUACAUAACACAAUAACUUAUCUCAUUCACAGUUGACAAUCAGAUACCGGUUUUCACAGCUAAAGCAUCAACCCAGAAGAAUCUCAAAAGAAAAUACAGAAAUUAGCACUCGCUGUGCAGAAGUCAUCCUGCUCUUGCUUCCCCACUCCUAGUUUUGCAUCCCUGAUACCAGCUUUUAUGGGCUCUAGUAUACCUGCAUUCAAACAAAGUAAUGUAUUAUUGAGGCGCAUGACCUAGAUGGCAAUGCUAAAUUGUAAAACGUCUUUCAAAGAACAAAAUAUCAUCUCAGGUGAAACUGUAGCGUAAGUUUAAACAAAAUAUGAGGCAGAAAGAGUUUGUGACUAGUAGUACCAUCCAGACUCUAACAAAGGGAUACAUACACAGGAUCCAAGAUAAUAGAAGGACAAAUCAGAGAGUUAACAAAAUGUCGUGGCGAAAUACCGAACUACACUAAGUUGCAUAAUACCACAUACUUCUAUGCAUUAAUGCAGAAUAUAAAGCUCACAUAUUGAUUACUGAAAUUAUUUCCCUUCUGCUUCAGUACAAUAGGUAAAUUAGAUUUUAAAUUCAUAGGAUAAUCUGAUCCUACUGGAAGGAAGAGGCAGUUUAGAAAUUGAUGAACUGCAUUUUACUUUACUGUGUCAAUCAUAUCAAAGAGAGUAAUAUACUAAUAUGUAGACUGCUUGUUGCAAAAGAAGAGAUCGACUGCUUCUGGAAUAUAUAUUCAUGUUUUAAAAGGAUAAAAAUGUUAGGAAGGAAUGAUAAAUCCUGUAUGGUGGAACCAAACUCAUAGAAUAGCUCAGGAGGUGUAAAGGACUGAGAUCAACAAAUAAAAACUCCUGGAAUUAUCGAACUACACUAAAUUCAAGCAUGUCAUCAUGCCUUCUCAAAAAUGUCACCAUGCCUUUAGGAAUUUAGUUGACAUGAAAUUUUCCAUGCACGAAAAGGAUAAAUGUAGAAUCAACAAAACCAGCAAUGCAGGACAAAAAAAUCUACUUACAACAGUGACUCAAUCAUGACCUUAAGUUCAAUUUGAUAUGCUCAAUAAAUAGUAAAUAACACAUACAAGAAAGCAUGUAUUCCUCAGGAGAAGGGAAUGUAUCAUUGGUCUAGUAAGUAUAAUAUCACCUGCGUCAAUGAAGUAGCCGCAUGCAUGUUUUUUUAAUGAUCAAGCAUUGAAAUGUGUCUCAUUGUGUAUUACAAAAGCUGCAUGCAUGUGGGAAACUCUUGACACAAGAUAGAUGUGAUAACUGAGAGCAUGAUAGGUUAUUACAGAGAGGUAGGUAAGCACAAAUGUAAAGAUCUGAGUGGACUUGUGGAUAAUGCAUCCGAAAUGGGUUUUCUUUUUGUAUGAUUCACACUUAUAUGAUGCAGGAUAGGUGAUAGUUCAGUUUAUAAUUGCAUCCUGCAUGCUACUAAUAGAAUUUUACAAUGUUGAUUAGAUAGAACAAGCAUAGCUGUGCAGACUAUACAUUCUUUCUAUUAUUUUGGGAGAGAGUAUAAAUUUGAAUCGUUGGCUGCAGCAAUUUUGCUGUGUUAAAUAAUACAUCUGAAUAUACAGCACUGAACAAGCAUAAUUAGAAUCAAGCACACCAAGAAAGAUGACUUAUUUUUUGUGCUACAAAAGCAUGUACACCAGCAGGAGUUUUACAACAAAACAAAGCUCUGUCAUUGUAGUGCAGAAAUGGUAGAGGUUGAUCUGUGCAGCAAAGUGCAGAGACCCACAGAAGGAUACUCCAUAGUCCUAACAAUCAGGUAGAUCAAGGCCAGAUAUACGACAAUGCACAGACAAUACUAGCAUCUAACGGUUUUAUAUAGAUAGACAGAAUCGAAAUCGCGUACAGGAUGCAGAGCAGCAGAGCAGAGGACACCGGCCGGAGGGACGGGUAUAAAAAAAUGGUUGAUUUAUUUGGGGGUUAGCAGCAACUAGCUAGUACCAUCAGGGCUGUAUUCAUCUUUGAAAUAGGACAUGUGUAGCAUCUGGCCGCUAGAUCUUCCGUUACUGAUGAGCUCGUCACGGAAAGAAGGGUCGACCUCGCGAAGGGCAAAGGGCACGAUGUAUCACAAUUAGCGUCUUGAGCGCAACCUAACGAAUCAGAAACGAAAGUUUAUCAAUCAUAAGCACCAUUUUCUUUUUCUAAAGUAAGCAUCAAGAAAGAAAGUAAGCAUCUUCUAUAUAUCCAUGAUUGACUUGAACGACAUCUCACCGUUUCCAUCUUCUAUAUAUCCAUGAUUUUCUUUUUCUAAAGUAAGCAUCAAGAAAGAAGAAUGACAAUCAAAUUUCACACAAAAACUGCAGCAAUACUUGUUGUUAUGUUGUGUCCAUAACAAUCGCAAUUGAUGUCCACUUCAGAUCAGAUUUGGAAGGGGUAGAAAGAUAGGUUGGAGCUCACCAUGUGUGGAGUAGGAGGUGGAUGCAGGGGAGGGGUGGAUGACGUCCUGUAGCAGAACCUUCUCCUCAUCAGAGCAACCUGCACAUAACAUAGGUAGGGGAGAUGAAUAAAUGAUGGUGAGAAAAGGGCCUUCAACAUGUUCAUAUUGUGAAGAGAAAUAACAACAAAAAUACAAAACAGAAAAAGAACCUUCCGUGACAUGCUGUACUAGGAGCAAAUCCUCUCUCUCCGCUAGGGUUUGGGGCGCUCAGAGGCUCCAUGGGGCCGCUGCAUGGUGGGGGGAAUGGGACUCCAUAUCCAUGGCGGCAUCCCGUCCCACAGAGGUGUGCCCCUCCUGUCAUCGUUUUUGGCACGCCAAUGACGACCUACAGAGAAGGAAGAGAACAUGAGGUGAGCCGAGGAGGAGAUGGUGGGCGAUGGAGGGGAGAGGCUUACCGGUGCUGUAUUCGGGCACCUCUGACCUCACCGUGGCCUUCCGUGGUGGAUCCCGACGAACAAAAGGGGGAGCCGCGGAUCUGCACGGAGGUAAGGGGGGCGCGGACCAAAGGGAUCUCGCCGGUGUGCUGCGUGCGGAUGGAGCUCACCGGAACCGGGUGGUGUGGGUGGCGGCGGUGCGGGCGGCGGCGCGGGCGGCGGCGAGGGAGAGGAGUUCAUGCGGAGAGACGAGGCGACUUGGGUUGGGUGGGUUAGAGCGAGAGAGAGCUCGUGGGCCGCUGGAGGACGCACCGCCGGAUCUCACCGGAUAGGAGCCAUCGAUUCACGAUGGAGAUUGUCGGGAUUGUGCACGGGAGUGGUGGCGGCGUUAAGGGAGGAGUAAAGCUCUAGGGUUCCUGCGAGAUACAGAGAUAGAAAGGUUAGGAGGGGAGGGAGGGCCGGCGCGGUCGGCGGUGGCGCUGUGCGUGAGGGGAGGGAACGUGGGAGAGAGAGUUUUCCUCUCUAUGCGUGGGAGGGAUGGGGUGGCGGCGUGGGGUGGCGGCGUGGGGUGGACUGGGAGGCUGUGGGUGGAUUUAGGGUUAGACGGGGGUUAAAUACCCCCGGUUAGGUGGGCUGGAUGGGGCCGGCCCAGUUUGGGCCGAGGGGGUUUCUUUUCCCUUUUUAUUAGUUGUUUCUGUUUUUAUUUCAUUAUUUAACAGAUUUUCUUAUUUUAGCGCAAUAAAACCCCUUAAAAUUAACAAUUUCUAAAGUUAAAUUCUCUUAGGUAAUAUUCGACACACCCGAACAUUUUUAUUUUGACAUUCGAAAACUUUUAUCGCCUGACUUUAUUUUUAAAUUUUAACAUGGUUGGAAACAUCUACGGUUUUAAAUAUUAGUUUCAAAGUGCUAAAAAGAAGUAGAUUUUUUGAAUCGGCUAUAAAAAAUAUUGUGCAAAAGGGCGUCACUAAAAUAUUCACCCAAUUAUAUCACAUUUUAUGUAUGAUCACCGAGUUGUAUGCAUUUCCGACCUUUCUAGCUAUUUUUGAUCAUUUAUACAUAGACAUAGUUUGACUUUUAAAAAAACUAAUACACCUUAUAUUUUGGAAUGGAGGGAGUAGUUUCUAAGUGCUAAAAAUAAGUAGAUUUUUUGAAUCAUCUAUAAAAAAUAUUGUGCAAAAGGGCAUCACUGAAAUAUUCACUCAACUUAGACCACAUUUUAUGUAUUCACUCAACUUAAAAUUCAAAAAAAAAUCAAAAAAAUAGAAAACCUUCACAUUGUGUCAUUAUAUGUGACAAAGUUACUAGGUAAAAUAAUAACCUUGUAAUAUGGCAAGUAUUUUUAAAAAAUGUUCUCGAAAAUGAGCUAUCAUGUGUGAAGAUUAAUGGCUUUCAAGCCAAAUGAUCAAUCUUAUGGUCACAUUCAUGGCAUAGUUUGUUCAAAAGAUCUAAUAUUUUGCACAAGGGUGCAUAUUGAAAUGGCAAACAAUGCUACUUAAGGAAGUUUUCAUUUUCCUUGCAUGAAAAAUUCAUUUUCCAUUUUUAAGUGCCCAAAAUGAGUUUUUUUGUGAAGGGCCUACCAUAUAUUUGUAACAAAAUUGUACCAAAUCAUUUUUCUAACAUACUAGGACAUAUUUAAUGUACAAUUGACCAAAUGGUUGGGUGUUAAUGGAUUUUAUGGACCUCUCGUGAAAAAGACAAAUUUUCGUUGAAUCAGCUGAAAGCGGGUCAAAUUUGAACUGCAUCUACAUUAUAGUUUGCUCUUUAUUUUUCUUAAAAAUCAUUUUAGGUACACAAGUAUCUAUUUAAUCGUAGAAACACCAAAAUAUUGUCAAGGUUCAACCCUAGGUAGGAACGGUCAUACCCGAUGUUUUGACCGCGUUUUGAAAUGACCAUGAAAAAUUCAAAACAAAUUCAAAAAAAAUGGAAAACCAUUGCAUUGUGUCAUUAUAUGUGACAACGUUACCAGGAAAAAUAAUAAUCAAGUAAUGCGACAAUUAUUUUAAAUAAGUGUUCUUAAAAAUGGGCUAUCAUGUGUGAAGAUUCAUGGCUUUCAAGCCAAAUGAUCAAUCUUAUGACCACAUUCAUGACAUAGUUUGUUGAAAUGAUAUAAUAUUAUGCACAAGGGUGCACAUUGGAAUGGCAAACAAUGUUGAUUAAGGAAGUUUUCAUUUUCCUUGUAUGAAAACUUCAUUUUCCAUUUUUCAAGUGACCAAAAUGAGAAGGACCUACCAUAUAUUUGUUUCAAAAUUGGACCAAAUUAUUUUUAUAAAAUACUAGUCCAUAUUUAAUGUACAAUUGACAAAAUGGUUGGGUGUUAAAAUCUUUUAUCCACCUCUUGUGAAAAAGACAAAUUUAUGUUGAUUCAGCUGGAAGCGGGUUAAAUUUGAACUGCAGUUGCAUUAUAGUUUGCUCUUUAUUUUUCCCAAAAAUCAUUUAUAGGUAUAUAAGUAUCUAUUUAAUUAUAAAUACAUGGUGUGGUGCCUUGACGUCGAGGUUUGGAUGGUGGUCGAGGGCCCCAACUCCAAAGCGCGUGAACUUGGAUGUCAGCCGCAUGGUCACCGCCUGACCGUUGCGUUGCCAUGCGUUCUAGGUGGAAUAGGCAUGUCUGGUGGGUUGGACAAUCCCUCGGUAGGUGUUAGCAAUAAGAAUACAAUAGAAGAAUCUCACGAGGAGACCGAACUAAGCUCAAACAUAAAUUAGCAGCCAAGUGAUUGAUUAGCGGUGCGGGUAAUUCACAUAGACAAUGGGACUAAAUUUUGGCUCAGUAUGAUCAUCUACUAAGGAGACUCUCUUGGCAAAUUUUUAGCUCAAAUGGAUGAAUAUAGGUGGCACUUGCUUGGCAAACUAACACAUUGUGCAGAAAUAUGGAUGUUGAAGAUGGGAUCAAAUGAAUGAAUGGAUUGAGCUGAAAUUUGGUGUAUGAUGUUAAUUUGGGCGUACGAAGGCACUGUAUAAAAAUUAUAACAUUUGGAUAUGCAAAAGUGACACUUCCUUUACAAUGUGCCAAUCUGGACAAAAAAUGGCAAUUGAAACUGGGUUCACAUAGAUGAUUGGAUUAAGCUGAAAAUUGGAGGAGGAUGAUAAUUUGGGCACAUUAAGGUACUGUAAAAAUUUCAUAAAAUUUGGAUAAAGAAAAAUUAUACUUCCUUCACAAUGCUCUCUACUGAACAGAAUAUUGGGAAAAAUAUUGAGGGAAACUGGCGGAAUUAAAUGAGUUAAAAUUUGGUGGAGUGAGGUUAUAUGGUCAGUGUCAUCCCAUGGUAAAUUUUCAUCAACUAUAAAGCAAUAUAAAGUCUAGUUGCUUCACAAAAUGAAAAUAUUACCAGAAACAAAGAUUGGAUGAUGAGCUCACAUGGAUUGUUAUAUGUGGCUAAAAUUUUAUGGAGAGCUAUGUUUUGGGCACAUAGAUGAUGUGGAAAUUUUUUAACUCAUCAAGAUAUUCUUAUCUAGUACUUCCUUCACAAAGCUGUUAGCUGAACACAAACUUUGGAAAUUUGCUGAGAAAGAUUUACUAGGCAAAUCGUUACGAAAGUUUUCAUGAGGCAAUGAUUUGGAUAGGAAAGAGUGCCCAAACAAUAUGAGGGUAAUCAAAGAAAUAGAAAUAGAACUUCCUUCACAAAGUGCUAUUCUGAACAGAAUAGGAAAAUGAAUAUUUUUGAAUUAUUUUUGAACUAUGGAAGGGAGGUUUUUCACAUAUUUGAGAAAUAUAUAGUCCAAAGUAUUUAUGAGAUUUUUUCGAGAAUUUUCGAAAUGAUAGAAUAGUAGGUUGCUUCACAAACUAGGAUUAGAUGGGAUAGAAUGGACCCACGAGUGACAUGUCAACAUAGUUAGAACAUGUUACGACAUUUCUACAAUCGUCGUAAAAGUUAUGACGAUCUCAUCUUAUGCGGUUACGAUGUUUUGACUCACAUCGUCGUAAUUUAUAUGUAGAUUUGAUCCCCUCAAACGGUUUACGAUGAUCUCGGAUGAAAUCAUCAUAGAUUUAUGACAAAUUUGUCAACGACAUUUUAAAAAACAUCACAUAUGAGCAUAUUUCUUGUAGUGACUUUUUGAGUGGGAGUUCUUAAGUAAUAUGAUUAAUUGAACUAAUUGUCAUGAACAUAGUCUAAUGGUCUUUGCGAAUUACGAUGUAGCUUGCGCUAUAGCUCUGCUGUUUUUAUAUGUUCCUAAAGAAAAUUUAGUUGAAAGUUGAUAGUAGCAAACUUUGCAGACUGAGUCUGUGAAACCGAGGAUUGUCCUCGUUGUUGCGCAGAAGGCUUAUGUCCUUAAUGCACCACUCGGUGUGCUGCACCUCGGGCAUCGUCUGUAGAUGUUGUGAACAUCCGACAUACACGUUUCUGAUAACUACACGAUAGUUCAGCACAAAAUACUUAAUGGCUUAGAAGCAAGGCGCCGAAGACGUUUUGAAACGUCACAGAACAUGAGAGAUGUUCUAAAGAGAUGAAAUUGUGAUUUCAUGCUUGUGCCCUUGUUAAGAGGUAUGAGACCUCCGACAAGAUUCUUUGUCCAUGAAGUAAAGGAGAAAAGCUCAAUCAUUGAGCGUGUGCUCAGAUUAUCUGAGUACGACAAUCGCUUGAAUCACGUGGGAGUUGAUCUUCCAGAUAAGAUAGUGAUGGUUCUCCAAAGUCACUGCCACCAAGCUAUGAGAGCUUCGUGAUGAACUAUAACAUGUCCAGGAUAGAUACAAUGAUCCUUGAGCGAUUCGCGAUGUUUGACACUGCGAAAGUAGAAAUCAAGAAGGAGCAUCAAUAGUUGAUGGUUAGUAAAACCACCGAGUUUCAAGAAAGGCAAGGGCUAGAAGGGAUACUUCGUGAAACGGCAAAAUAGUAGCUGCACUAAUGAAGAGACCCAAGAUUAAACCCAAACCUAAGACUAAGUGCUUCUAUAAUGAGGGGAACAGUCACUAAGGCGGAGCAACUCUAGAUACUUGGUAGAUAAAAAGGCUGGCAAAAGUCGAAAGAAGUAUAUUUGUUAUAUAUGAUGUGUACUUUACUAGUACUCCUAGUAGCAUGAGGGUAUUGGAUACCGGUUCGGUUGCUAAGUGAUUAGUAACAUGAAACGAUUGCUACGGCGUAAACGGAGACUAGCUAAAGGCAAGGUGACGAUACGUGUUGGAAGUGUUUCCAAGGUUGAUAUGAUCAAACGUCGCACACUCUCCCUCUACCAUCGGGAUUGGUGUUAAACCUGAAUAAUUGUUAUUUGGUUCUUGCGUUAAGCAUGAACAUGAUUGGAUCGUGUUUAUUGCAAUACGAUUAUUCAUUUAAAGAGAAUAAUGGUUACUCUAUUUGCUUGAAUAAUCACCUUCAAUGGUUUAUUGAAUCUCGAUCGUAGUGUUACACAUGUUCAUGAUAUUGGUGCCAAAAGAUACGAGGUAAUGAUGAUACUACCACUUACUUGUGGCACUGCCGCUUGAGUCAUGUUGGUAUAAAUUGCAUGAAGAUGCUCCAUGAUGAUGGAUCUUUAUACUCACCUGAUUUUAAAUCACUAGUGACAUGCAAAUCAUACCAGAUGAGCAAGGCCUUGUUUUCAUUGAGAUGAAACAAGAUAGUAACUUGUUGGAAGUGAUACAUUUUGAUGUAUGCAGUCCAAUGGGUGCUGGGCACGCAAUGGAUAUCAUUAUGUUCUUACUUCAAUGACGAUUUGAGUGGAUACACGAGUAUUUACUUAAUGAAUCACAAGUCUGAAAUAUUGAAAAGUUCAAUUCUGUUUCGGAGUGAAGUUCGUCGUAACAAGAGGAUAAACUGUCCACGAUAUGAUCAUGGAAAUGAAUAUCUGAGUUACAUGUUUUGGUACGCAGUUAAGACAAUGUGGAAAUUGUUUCGCAGUUCAGGCCACCUGGAAAAUCAUAGUGUGAUGAUGUGUCUGAAUGUCAUAGCCAUGUACUAUUUGGUAUGGUGCAUGCUAUGAUGUCUCUUAUCGAAUUACCACUAUCGUUUAUGGGUUAUGCAUUAGAGACAACCACAUUCACUUUAAAUAGGGCACCGCGUAUUUCCGUUGAGAUGACACAGUAUAGACUGAGGUUUAGAGAAAUCUAAACUGUCGUUUCUUGAAAGUUUGGGGCUUCGACACUUAUGUGAAAAAGUUUCAGUCUGAUAAGCUCGAACCCAAAGCGGAUAAAUGCAUCUUCAUAGGAUAUCCAAAACAGUUGGGUACAUCUCCUAUCUCAGAUCCAAAAGCAAAGUGUUUGUUUGUAGAAACGGAUGCUUUCUCGAGGAAAGGUUUCUCUCGAAAGAAUUCAGUGGGAGGGUGGUAGAACCUGAUGAGGUUACUAAACCAUCACUUCAACCAGUGUGUAGUAGGGCGCAGGAACUUGUUCCUGUGGCGCCCACACCAAUUGAAGUGAAAGCUGAUGACGGUGAUCAUCGAGCAUCAGAUCAAGUUACUACAAACCUCGUACGUCGACAAGGUCUCAUACUACUAUAGAGUGGUAUGGUAACCCUGUCUUGGAGGUCAUGUUGUUGAACAAUAAUGAACCUACGAGCUGUGGAGAAGCGAUGGUGGGCCCGGAUUCCGACAAAUGGCUGGAGGCCAUGAAAUCCGAGAGAGGAUCCAUGUAUGAAAACAAAGUGUAGACUUUGGAAGAACUACUUGAUGGUCGUAGGACUAUUGAGUAAAGUUGGAUCUUUAAAAGGAAGGCAGACGAUGAUGGUGAUAAGUCACUAUUAAGAAAAGCUCGACUUGUCGCAAAGAUGUUUCCGACAAGAUCAAACAGUUGACUAUGAUGAGACUUUCUCACUCGUAGCGAUGCUAAAAGUCUGUUAGAACUAUGUUAGUAGUUGCUGCAUUAUUUAUGAAAUAUUGCACAUAGGAUGUCAAAACAUUGUUUCCUCGACGGUUUCCUUGAACAAACAUUGUAUGUGAUACAACCAGAAGGUUUUGUCGAUCCUAAAUAUACUAGCAAGUAUCCAAGCACCAGCGAUCCUUCAAUGGACUGGUGCAAGCAUCUCGGAGUUGGAAUAUACACUCUGAUGAGAUGAUCAAAGAUUUGGGUUUGCACAAGGUUUAUGAGAAACUUGUAUUUCCAAAGAAGUGAGUGGGAGCACUAUAGAAUUUCUGAUAAGUAUAUGUGGUUGACAUAUUGUGGAUCAGAAGUAAUGUAGAAUUUCUGUAAAGCAUACAAGGUUGUUUGAAAGGAGUUUUUCAAAGGAAUACCUGGAUUGUGCUACUUGAACGUUGAGCAUCAAAGAUCUAUGGAGAUAGAUCGAAAGCGCUUAAUAGAAGUUUCAACAAGAUGCAUGCCUUGACAAGUGUUUGAAGGAGUUCAAAAUAGAUCAGCAAAGAAGGAGUUCUUGGUUGCGUUGUAAGGUGUGAAUUUGAGUAAGACUCAAAACCCGACCAUGGCAGAAUAAAGAGAAUAGACGAAGGUCGUCUUCUAUGCCUUAGCCGUAGACUCUAAUGUAUGCCAUGCUGGGUACCGCACCUUAUGUGUGCCUUGACUCAAAGUCUGUUGAGAGGUACGGAGAGUGAUCCAUGAUUGAAUCACUAGCAGCGGUCAAAGUUAUCCUUAGUAACUAAAUAGACUAAGGAUUUUUUGUCGAUUAUGGAGGUGGUUAAAGAGUUCGUCGUAAAGGGUUACGUCGAUGCAAGCAUUGACACUAAUCCGAAUAACUAUGAGUAGUGAAACGGAUUCGUAUAGUAGAGUAGAUAUUUGGAGCAUUUCCGAAUAGCACGUAGUAGCAGCAUCUAUAAGAUGACAUAAAGAUUUGUAAAGAACGCACGGAUCUGAAAGUUUCAGAACCGUUGACUAAAACCUCUCUCAUGAGCAAGACGUGAUCAGACCCCAGAACUAUAUGGGUGUUGGAUUCGUUGAAAUCACAUGGUGAUGUGAACUAGAUUAUUGACUCUAGUGCAAGUGGGAGACUGUUGGAAAUAUGCCCUAGAGGCAAUAAUAAUUAGUUAUUACUAUAUUUCUUUGUUCAUGAUAAUCGUUUAUUAUCCAUGCUAUAAUUGUAUUGAUUGGAAACACAGUGCAUGUGUGGAUACAUAGACAAAACACUGUCCCUAGUAAGCCGCUAGUUGACUAGCUCGUUGAUCAAAGAUGGUCAAGGUUUCCCGGCCAUAGGCAAGUGUUGUUACUUGAUAACGGGAUCACAUCAUUAGGAGAAUGUAACAUCCCAAUUUUACUAAUUGGGAGUGUUUCCUGGCCAUAGGCAAGUUCGCAUGUGAAUUCCUUCGACUAUUGCUUCUGCAUUUCUAUUUUUUCUUUCUUCACACGAGAAGUGUCGGGAAAUGAUCUCUUGCACGCAAGAGAGAGCGGAGGAAAAUGACCCUCCAAAGUGCGAGACAUUUUUGAAAUAUUUGGAGCCAAGAAAUCCAAAGUUUUAUCGUAAAAAUAAUUGCCAAAAAGAAAUAAAGCAUUUAUGGGAAUUUCUGAAAAACAUUUUUAAAAAAAAGUUUUUAUUUUUGCCUUGGAAAAAUGUUAAUCGAGUAGAGGAUAUUUUUCUGAAAUUUUUGGUAUAUAAUACCCUAUAUUAAUUAUUAUUUUUCGUUGCGUUUUUAUUUGUUUUAGUUUCUGUUUGUGAAAAAAUACUAAAACAGGAAACGUUUUUUUAAAGGAAACCGCCGCGUGCGGCAUUUAAGAGUUGGGCCGAAUCCCACUGUAGCCGGGAUCCUGAUCCCCUUCGGAUCGGUCGACCGCCCCGAGCAUCCCAGUCACCUCUCUCUCUCCCUCACUGCCAGCGGGCUGCACCGCCCGAACCCACCCCGAGUCGGUCAUCUCCUUCCUCUCGUCCCUCUCUUUCCUUAUAGCGCCCCGAUCCCCUUCCAAACUCAUCGGAGCCGAUCCCCUCUCCCCGGAUCUUCCUGCCCCUUCCCUCCCGAGGCCCCCUCUCCCCCUAUAAAUACCCCCCAGUCCCCGCACUCCGUUCCCCACCUCGCCACGCCGUCCCGCCGCCUCUAGACGCCCCUUGCUGCACCUCGCCGGAGCACCAGCACAGCCGAAGCUCCGGGCACUCCACUGCUCGCCCCCGGCCACGCCGCACCUCCGCGACGCCACCAGAAGAACGCCGGAGAUCGCCUCCGCCGCCCGGACGUCUCCCCCACCUCGGCCGACCACCGGAAUUGCCACACCGGCACCACCUCUUCUCCUUGGACCCUGCCGGAGUUCAUCUCCACCACGGUGAGCACCCCACCCCUCCUCCACCGUUAGAUCAGGAACCAACGCGCUAGAUUAGGAGUUAGGUACCCCUUCGGUUUUCAAGUAAAAACCCGAACGGUUUUCUGCCUCACUUACUUUUAGCCGUAGAUUUUCUUAAGUUUCGGCCAUUUGCCCAUUAUACCCGCAGCACACACCCCGCAGCAAUUCAGGGAUUGCCACGUGUCUGUUAGUAUUUGAUUUCUUUUUCUGUUUAGUUCCAAAAACAGAAAAGUUUCAAUUUUGUUUUGAGCAUAGCUUUUGAUCCCGAAGUCCAAUGAGGUUGAUUAUUUUUCCAGUAUAUCCCAAUUUUUCUGUAGUUUUGAAAAACAUAUAAGUUGUCUAUGUUUGAAAUUUUCAAAUUUGAAUUAGAUCAGAUUUAGUUUAAACCUUGUUUUGCUUAUUCCAGGAGUUUAAAAAAUGAUUUUGAGUUGAUUCUUUUUGCUACUGCUUCGUAGUGAUUAUAUCUUACAGUGGUAGAAGUUUCAAAGUUUUGUAAAUAUUUUUACUUGGGUUUUUGACAGAAACAAGUUUCUGCCUUAGUGACGUGUAGUGAAUUCUUUCACUUAGGCCGUAGCAACUCUUUACUUGUGAUGUUAUUUUACUUGUUGUUUGAUUGUAGUGCUUAUGGUGUGUAUUUGUUUGUAUCGGUAUAUCACCCGGAGUGCGAAGCUUGUUACUUAGAAGCGCUCGAUCAAGACAACUAUCAUCAAGGCAAGUCAUUUUGAUCAUACUAUUUCCUAUGUUUUUCGACGCAUGGUAGUUUCACCUUUCUUUGCCCAAUUGCAUGCUGCUUAGGUACUUGGAAAUUUUAGUAUAGGUUGUACUAUCAUGUGGUAGGCACACAACAACCCCGAUACUUGGCCCCGGGACGACAAAUUUCAUAUUGCUAUGCUUGAGUAGACGGGAUUUCGGUUGAGUGUAUAACACGAGUGAUGCGAGGUUGAUUAAAUAAUCAAGACAGGUUAAGACAAGAUUUUCAAGAACUCGGAUGCAAUGCAACUCUGGGUGAAGGACGGUUGAUCGGCUCCCUGGAGAAACCAGUGGAUGACCCGGGAUGCUGGAGACGGCCAUGACACCUUGCGGAAAGCUUCACCCAGGCUCGAAGAGACGGAUGGAGACUUCAAGACCCAAGGCUUACCUGCACAGCCACAAGUCAUUAUGGGCUCUGGCUUGGUUGGACAACGCGGCGACUCUGGACAGGCGGUGCUAGUAGAUGUAGAAGAACGAUAGGAAUGGAUGGGCACCAACAGGGAUUUAGAGGGACCCGUUGAAAGAUCAUGUUUUGAUCAUCCGGUCUUCAAACACCCUAAAGUGCAAGGACAUACACGGAGGGGAUCAAAAUCUUGUGGGGAACGUGUGCAAAAACUCUGCAGAGUGCCCAACCUAAUCGAUUAGCCGUGUCCACGGUCAUGGACAACUUGAGCCGAAGGCAUUGAAAUUCCCCUGAACUCUCGACACAACUUAAUAAUGAUGUGGGUGUUAACAACAACUCGGGUACGAGAAUUGGUUGGCGGAACCAUCUCGUUAACAACAAACAAUGUAGUAAUAUUUUGCUUCCAGCCCCUCUUGUUGUAGGAUAACAUUGGCUUUAUGCAAAACUUAUAGCCCACCUGCCAAAUAUGAUGUAGACAUAGUUGAUUAUUAUUUUUACCCCUCUCUCUGAUGACUUGCCGGCAUAUUCCAUAUGCUGACCUACACGGCUGCAAUGUAUCAUGUUGCAGAGUACUUUUCCGACCAGGAGUGAGACUAGGAUCUACGCUCAGCGACAUGCCCUGGAGUCAGAUGGACUCGUCUACCUGAUGCUUCCGCUAGUCUUCGUUAGAUAUCUCAUGAGAUGGCCUUCAGCCACUUUAUUGUAAUCCAUUAUUGUAAUAAAGUACGCGUUAUGAGAUUUCGAUUAAUAAAGCUGUGUGAUUGAACUCUUGAUAUAUACAUUGAUGUACUGAGUGUGUACCAGCAUGAUCUUGGGAUGGUACGGAAACACCAGAGGCUUGACUCGUCUUGAGUCGGGUUGCUACAGAAAUGGUAUCAGAGCACACGCUGACCGUAGGACGUAACCUCUAGGAAUGGAAAAGCCUUAGGAAGAAAACUAUUUUCUUAUGUCUAUAAAUCUUCUAUUUCCUCUUCUGAUCAUUUCUGACUUCUCUCCGAUUUUCCAAUGUUUUAGAUGGCCACCUUCAUCCCCGUUAAGUUCACGGAGAUUUGCCAGCCCGACGCCACUAUGCCUUUCGGAAAGGAGAUGGUACAAAUCACCAAGGACUUGAGGAUUGCUCUACCGACUAUCACAAGGAAGCCGACUUCGUCUUACCCGAAGGAUUCGCGCUACAGGAUCGAGGUGCACGUUCCCGGAAGGACAUUCGAGCAGCGCACUGAGCCGGUGGAUUUCAAGUUCAUUGCACCCAACUGGAUUCUCGGAAGGGACAUGGCGGUCCAUUGUGCACUCGGACGUAUCAAGGAAGUGUACAGAGGCUGCCCUAUUUCAUCGGACCUAUUCAUGGUUUCCCGGAGAAGAGAAGAUGGAGAAAUCAUCUCAAGCAAGACCAAGGAUGCUCUCAUGUCCUAUGCCGAGACCUUGGAGAAGCACAGCGGGACUCUGGAGCAUCGUGUGAUCAAGGACGCCAGGAAGAUCAAGCAACCGUCGCUCCGCGAACUCGAACUCGAAGAAGCAGCCCGGGAAGCCCACUAUGAGCAUGAACUGGAGGUGAAGGACUUUCUGGAGAGGAUCGAGAAGCUGAAGACUCGAGUUGCAUACCUGGAGGAGGAACUGGACAUGGGCGAGAACCUUCAUCCCGAAGGAGACGUAGCCCCCUUGAUCAGCAAUGAUGAGGACUAUGAAGAAAGCUCCACCGAAGGACCCACCACCAUGCUUUUUUGAGGAGGACACUUAGACUAGACCACCAAAUUUAUUUUAUCGUUUAACGCUUAGGCCGAUGUUUAGGUUAUCGAAUUUUGUAUCCCCGUGUGAACCUUUGUGAUGGUAUUGAAUAAAAUGUGUGGUGUGAUACUUGUUUGUUGCAUUUCAUAUGGGUAGUGUAAUUACUCUUAGACCAUUGUUCUAUGCUAAUCUCACCCCUCUACAAACAUCAGGUGCCUCCGAGACGUGCCCCUACUUCCAACUUUCCGCCGGAACUCACCCAGUUGAUUCAGCAACAGAAUACCCUGAUGCAGCUGAUCAUCCAGAACCAGAACAAUAACAACAACCAUCAUCCACCCCGGGCCGACAAUCUCACCCGUUUCCUGAGGUUGAACCCUCCGACUUUCUCCAGCAGCAUUGAGCCCAUUGUGGCAGUUGAUUGGCUCCGCAAGAUGGAGCGGGAACUUAUCACUGCUGGUUGUACUGAAGCUGAGAAGGCGCGCUUUGCCGCGCAUCAACUUGAAGGCCCUGCAGCUGCAUGGUGUGAGAACUACACCACCACAUACCCCAUUGCUGGAGUCACUUGGGAGCAGUUCAAGCAAGCCUUCCGUACCGCACAUGUCUCAGCUGGUGCAAUGAGUCUGAAGAAGCGUGACUUUCGCAACUUACGCCAGAGAAAUCGCUCUGUGGCUCAGUAUGUCGAUGAAUUCAGCAUGCUCGCCCGUUAUGCACCUGGAGAUGUGGCCGAUGAUGCGGCCAAGCAGGAAAAGUUCUUGGAGGGACUCAAUGAUGAGCUGAGCAUUCAACUGACUGUAGCCACCUUCAACAACUACCAGGAGUUGGUAGAUAAGGCCCUCAUCUUGGAGGGGAAACACCAGCAGAUGGAGAACCGCAAGCGUAAGUAUGGAAUGGAAAGUUCAACUCCGGCACUCAGCAGAAUCCUCGCUACACCCCCUAUUCAGGGAAUACCGGGACUGGAUCCGGUAAGUUUGGAGGACACGUCCACCAUAACCACCCAGUGCACAACCAUGGAGGCCACAACCAUGGAGGAAAUGGGAACCACCGCAACAACAGCAACUUCAAGAAUGGCGGUACUGGCACUCAGCAGCAUUCAGCUCCAGCUCAGAAGGAUCUGAAUCACAUCACCUUCUUCAAGUGUCAGAAGACGGGACACUAUGCCACUGAAUGUCCCCAGAACAAGCAGGGAAAUGGAAAUGGUGUUGGAAAUAUGCCCUANNNNNNNNNNNNNNNNNNNNNNNNNNNNNNNNNNNNNNNNNNNNNNNNNNNNNNNNNNNNNNNNNNNNNNNNNNNNNNNNNNNNNNNNNNNNNNNNNNNNNNNNNNNNNNNNNNNNNNNNNNNNNNNNNNNNNNNNNNNNNNNNNNNNNNNNNNNNNNNNNNNNNNNNNNNNNNNNNNNNNNNNNNNNNNNNNNNNNNNNNNNNNNNNNNNNNNNNNNNNNNNNNNNNNNNNNNNNNNNNNNNNNNNNNNNNNNNNNNNNNNNNNNNNNNNNNNNNNNNNNNNNNNNNNNNNNNNNNNNNNNNNNNNNNNNNNNNNNNNNNNNNNNNNNNNNNNNNNNNNNNNNNNNNNNNNNNNNNNNNNNNNNNNNNNNNNNNNNNNNNNNNNNNNNNNNNNNNNNNNNNNNNNNNNNNNNNNNNNNNNNNNNNNNNNNNNNNNNNNNNNNNNNNNNNNNNNNNNNNNNNNNNNNNGUAUCUUUUCCUUCGACCGUGAGAUUGUGCAACUCCCGGAUACCGUAGGAGUGCUUUGGGUGUAUCAACCGUCACAACGUAACUGGGUGACUAUAAAGGUUCACAACGGGUACCUCCGAAAGUNNNNNNNNNNNNNNNNNNNNNNNNNNNNNNNNNNNNNNNNNNNNNNNNNNNNNNNNNNNNNNNNNNNNNNNNNNNNNNNNNNNNNNNNNNNNNNNNNNNNAUUAGAUUCAAAGCCAUAGUUUUCUAUUGACGUGGAGACAAUAAUAAUUCAAGCAAACUAGCAAAGUAAUCAUGAACUUUCAAAAUAACAAGGACAAAAGAAAUUUAUCCCUACAAAACCAUAUAGUCUGGCUAUGCUCUAUCAUCAUUGCACAACGAAUUUAAAUCAUGCACAACCCCGGUAUUGGCCAAGUAAUGGUUUCACACCUUUACUUUCUCAAACAUUUUCAACUCUCACGCAAUACAUGCGCGUGAGCCAUGGUUAUAGCACUAUAGAUGGUGUGGAAUGUGGUGGAGUUUGCAAGACAAAAAGGAGAAGAAAGUCACAUUAACUAGGCAUAUUAAUGAGCUAUGGAGAUGCUCAUCAAUAGAUAUCAAUGUGAAUGAGUAGCGAUUGCCAUACAAACGAUGCGCUAGAGCUACAAGUAUGUGAAAGCUCUUAAAGAAAACUAGUGGGUGUGCAUCCAACUUGCUUGCUCACGAAGACCUAAGGCAAUUUUGAGGAAGCCUAUGAUUGGAAUAUACAAGCCAAGUUAUAUAAUGAGAAUUUCACACUAGCUAUAUGGUGGUGACAAAACGAGAGACUCUCAAUCAUGAAGAUCAUGGUGCUCAAAAUGCACAGUGUGGAAAAAGUGGUAGCAUUGUCCCUUCUCUCUUUUUCUCUCAUAUUUUUUAUAUCUUUUUUUAUUUUGGUGGGCUCUUUGGCCUAUUUUUUUAUGGGCUUCUUUGGCCUAUUUUAUUUCCUCACAUGGGACAAUGCUCCAAUAAUGAUGAUCAUCACACUUUCAACUCAAAAGUUAGAGCAAUUAUGACUCUAUAUGGAAUGACUUUGGUAGUGUACCGUGGCAAUGAUCUAGCACGGCAUAGACAUCAAUGGAAACAUCAUGCUAGCUAUCUUACGAUCGUACAAAGGCAAAGUAGGCGUGGUGGCACAUAUCAUGGUGGUAGUUGCAUGGCGAUAUAUCUCGGAAUGACUUUGAAAAAGCCAUAGUAGGUAGGUAUGGUGGCUGUUUUGGGGGAGGCUAAUGGUGGGUUUUGUGCACCGGCAAAAGUUGCACGACACUAAGAAGAUAGUGAUGGUGGAAGGUGAAAGUGCAUCUAAACCAUGGAGUCAAUAUUAGUCAUGAAGAACUCAUAUACUUGUUGCAGAAGUUUUAUUAGUAAUCCAAACAAAGCAUUGAACGCAUACUCCUAGGGGAAGGGUUGGUAGGUAUAAACCAUCGUGCGAUCCCGACCGCCAUGCAAAGGAUGACAAUCAAUAGACUAAUCAUGCUCAGAUUUCAUCACAUAGCGGUUCACCAUACGUGCAUGCUACGGGAAUCACUAACUUCAACACAAGUAUUUCAAGAUCCAUAACACCUUACUAGCACGAUUUCAAUAUUACCAUAACCACAACUCAAAAAUAAUUGAGAUGAAUCAAACUUCUCUAACUAUUCAAUGCACAUGAAGGUGGAAGUUUUCGUAUCCCUUUGGAUAACUACCCCUUUUGAGACUACUUUCAAAGCAUAGAUCAACUACCAAGCCACGCACCACUGCGCUCUAAAAGAUAUAAGUGAAGAACAUAGAGCAAAAGUAUCUAGCUCAAAAGAUAUAAGUGAAGCACACACUACUAGGAAAAGGCCUGCUAGUGGCGCACCUGUUUUGGCUACUAAUGGCGCACUAUAGGUGCGCAACUAGCAUCACGCCAUUAGAAUUUUUUACUAAUGGCGCACCACAGGUGCGCCAUUAGUAUCNNNNNNNNNNNNNNNNNNNNNNNNNNNNNNNNNNNNNNNNNNNNNNNNNNNNNNNNNNNNNNNNNNNNNNNNNNNNNNNNNNNNNNNNNNNNNNNNNNNNNNNNNNNNNNNNNNNNNNNNNNNNNNNNNNNNNNNNNNNNNNNNNNNNNNNNNNNNNNNNNNNNNNNNNNNNNNNNNNNNNNNNNNNNNNNNNNNNNNNNNNNNNNNNNNNNNNNNNNNNNNNNNNNNNNNNNNNNNNNNNNNNNNNNNNNNNNNNNNNNNNNNNNNNNNNNNNNNNNNNNNNNNGGUGCGCCAUUAGUAUGUGGUAUACUAAUGGCGCACCAGGAAGUGCUCCAUUAGUAUAGCUCAUGGUGCGCCAUUAGUAUGCCUCCCAGGGGCCAUAUCUACGCAUGUGCUCUGGCUUACUAAUGGUGCACUAGUUGACGGCGCGCCACUAGUGUGCUUUUGCAGUGCGCCACUAGUAUGAAUAUUAGGUUUUUUUUUCUGAUAUUUGCACAGAUUACAAAACAUAUUAUUGCACAGAAUAUAGAGAGCACAACAUAUAAACAGCAGAUUUAUCGAAUACAAUAGAAGAUUAGUCUUCGAAUAUAAUUCAUCAUAUUAGUCUCCGAAUUUAAAAUACCGAACAAAGUUAGAACAUUACAAGUCUCGAGACCGCGAGUAGCGAGUUUGUCUUCACAUUACAAGUCGAUAUCGAUCAUCUAAACUACCAUCACAUAGAAGAGAGCUGCGGGCAUCACUACCAUAUGUGCAUGCGCUGCCAUCAUCAGUGGUGGCAUCCUCGGCGGCACCAUCAGUGGUGUCAUCCCCGACGUCACUAGGGGUUGUGUAGUCGGGAUCGGUGUCUUCCGCGACGUCCUCAUAGCGGUGAGGUUCUUCCUCCUUCUCCUGGGACGGCUCCCAAAAUGCCUUGCCCGAACCGCCGGCCACAUCGUUGUGGGCCAUGUUUUUCUCUAAAUAGGAAAAAAGUUUGGUCAAAAAGUUGGUUAUGGUCAAGGAACAAGAUCAUGGUCUCGUCAUUUAGGGUUUGUCGACACCGAGGCAUCCUAAAAGCUAAGUUUUUAUCAUUUAGGGUUUGUCAACGCCGAGGCACCCCAAAAGCCUAAGCUUUCAUCAUUUAGGUUUUUAUCGACACCGAGGCACCCUAAAAGCCAAGGUUUUAUAAUUUAGGGUUUGUCGACACCGGACCAUAGGGACAACAAGACAAGCCUUGUGGACGGACAUGCAAUGGGGUGUAGAAUUAGAAUAUGGAUUGCACAAAUAAAUGGUGCAUGCACUACAAAAAGGAGCCCAACACAGAAUUGCAAUCACAUCCUCAAGCAAGAUGAUGAUCAGUCACAAUAACACAAGACCACCACCACACAUCCAAACAAUAAAUCGCCAAUGGCUCGAUUACCAGCCGUUAUGUAUGUCCUGAUUGUGAGUGUGUGUGUGUGUCUGUGUGUGUGUGUGAGAGAGAGAGAGAGAGGUUAUGUAUGUCCUGAUUGUUCUACUUGGUAACAAAAGACUAUGCAAAAGUUAAAGAAAACUUAAAAAAGUAGGCAUAUAAAGCAUAGCAGUAUAUGUUCAUGUUCCUGAGCCAAUGAGUAAGCUAUUGCAGAUUAGGAGCCCCCUGGAUUUUUUAUAGUAGAAUAAAGCUACAAUUUUUCUUCUCCAAUUUAUUCCUUUUUCGACUAAUCACCAACCAAUACGCUCAAAUAGAAUGACGAUGUUCAUAGAAAUUUAUCUAAUCGCGACAACAUAACAAGUAAGCUAUGUACAUGGCAGGAAGGGGAAGAGGCAUGCCUGGAACGUCUAGGAUCUACAGGCCGUCGGGGGCAGGGGGUGGUGGGGAUGGAGGGGGGUUUACCACAGCAGGGAGCUCCCAAUCUUCUGUUCCAGGUGUAGCUUCACUUGUCUGCAAUUACAAAAGUAAUUUUCUUUAUCGGUCACUCGAGUCAAUUAAGCAUCAGGAGAAAGAUUGCAAUUGAAAAGGACCCUUAGGUCAACCAACAAAAGUUUGCACAGGGAAAGGAUCCUCAGGUCAACCAACAAAAGUUUAUUCAGAAAGACUAAUUUUUCAAAAAAAACAAUCGAAAAUGUACCUCUAAGACUAAAUGGUUAAAAACUUGGUUUCUACUGUUCGUGCACUGAUGGAUGGCUGAUUGCAAUUAAGCAAGGAUUACAAAAAGUGUGGCAAGCACAUAAAUAUUUAUGCAGUCUAAUUGGUAAUUUAUUGAUAUUAAUUGGUGAGUUAAGUAACUAACUAGAUCCUGCGAACAUUAUGGCAUAAAUCUCUAACAUUAUUUCCAGCAAAGUUAAACAUUAAGAGAAAAUGCACAUGGUUAAUCAAAAGGUUUCUACUGAUCCAGCGUCCCAUUAAGGCAUAAAUGAACCUUCAACACGAGAAAAACACCUUGCAAAUUAAAAAAAUCAUAAAAGAAAAUAUGUGUAAACAAAAGUGCUUAUUGUUAGAUUCCAUGGCAUUUCGGUAUCUGCACAGAGAAGGUCGAAAAGAACACCAAUGGGUAUACACGUAACAAUGCGAAUAUAAAAAGGACUGUCAGCAAAUAAAAGCGACAUCAAUAACAUGGGUUCUCAAGAUUUAAUAAGCUGAAUAGACCAUCAUUGAUAUUAGUAGGAGAUAACAUAUGUUACCAUUUCAGUUGCAGCCCUUUAUACUCAAACCAAACAGUAUCAACACCUGGUGGGAGUGAGCUGCUGAAAUGAGCCUUUAUAGUCGACACCAACAAUGGAAAAUACCCAAUUCUUGGCCCUAAAGUCGGUUGUAGAAAAAAUAAAGGUCAAUAAAUGAAACAAAUACUCUUGUGGAAAGGAAGAUAAGCGCUUGGGUAGGAGUGGAAAUAGGAGUAAUGUAAUGUACGUGCUGCACACAGAUGUGUCAUUUUAUUGUGUUGCAUCUGCGGAUAAGAAGAACAGAAAUAGUGGCAAUCAUGUGGAAACUCUUUGUAACACAAGAUGCCAACAAAAACGAGCAGCAAUGGCCUCACAUGGCUAUCAGCUUGGACUGCAAGCUAAAAUAGAUAUAAGAGAUGAUCUCUUAGUAACAAAUCUCUCACCACAUUUUUAGGGAUAUCAAGUUAAUAGAUAUAAGAUUAUGAGACAACCCAUUGUACACCAUAAUUUUUUGACAUAUCUAAAUUACAUGGCACGAUUAAGAAUUUAAGAUAAGGCUGAGUUAUCAACCAUUCUACAUGCCCUAAGUUAGAUAGCAAUGUGAACGAGUGACACAAGAAAAUAUUUUAUCAUACAACAGCAAGUGAUGAAAUUUGUAGAUGUUUUAUCUUUUUUUCUUCAGCACAUCAACCUAGAGACUGACACAUUGCCAAACAAAUAUCUACCACCACUGCCGUUUUACAUGGCAGGUAUACCUGAAUCAUACUCUGAGGUACUCCAGCAAAAUGGCCAUUGUACUGCUCAAUUCGGUUCAUGACAGGAGCAAUUUCUGGCUCAUCGCACAGAAGGGAAGCAACUUGAGAAGGUACCAACAGCGUUAUGGGGCGACGACAAACAGGGCAACUGGAUGGGCGAAGGCCAGAUCCAUGUAGCCACACCCCCACAAUGCAAUGCCCUGUACACAAACAAAUGACAAUGACAGCAGUGAGAUAUUCUGUUUAUCAAUGGUCCAGGACCAAAACGUUCGCUAGAAGCCGAAAACACAAGGCCAAGUUAAGCAUCAAACCAAAGUAAGCAAAGGAGCAUAAUCCAGCAUUCCAGUACCAGCAAUUGGCAUUGCAGUGGACUCAAACAUUGCAUGAAUUAAUUAAGUUCCACAAGCGCACAUGGUCCAUAUAUACAUAUAACAUAAUGUCUAUGAAUGAUCGAACAUGAUCCGAGCUGCAAACCCUGCAUCAUAAUACAUUUGUUGAUGCCAAAUGCAUGGCCCUUACAAAGUGGCAUCAAAUUCUCCCCAAAACCAAGGAAAUAACACAGGCAGCAGAGCCUGCCUGUGUUACUGCACUUCCUAUGAUCGUGCUACAAAGCUGCAACAAGUAAUAUGAAUCAGAGGGUGUGCUAGUUUUUGUUCUUUCUUGUCAAAAAAAUCUAAAAUUUACAAUCUGCAGAGAUUACAGCAACCGUCUGAAGUGUCGAGCUCACAAGUGAAUGCGCAAAAUUCUGAAACAUCAAAUUUACAAAUCUUGCUACAGAUAAGAUAACAACCUGCACUUUCCCACAAAAAACUUAAAAUGACAUAACCGCCCCGGGCACCGUAAUAACACAACUGGUGGUAUCCUCAAAAUCAUCGACACGUCGAGAAUGCCAACAGUCGAAUAGCUCUUGGCAACAGGCGUCACCGUUAACAAGUUGAAGCAACAAAAACACAACCGCUAGACAACACACAAGAUUUGAACAGCACAAAUUUUACACAGCAUGCACAGGGUUAAACACGAAAAUGUAUAGGCAUCCGAUCAAAAUACACAGGGUAAGCUAAAUAAUAAUAGCACAGGGCUGUACUGGGUGAGAAAGGGGAACAAACUAUUCCUAGAGCAAUUGUUCUGCUCUUACAGGAUCUACCUUCUGGCUGCUAUAACUAUCUCCCAUGAUGUUACAGGUUGCAGCACAAUGAGAAUGCCGAAGGAAGAGAUUACUCACGAAAAUGGAAUCGAGGAACCAAAUCGAGCGCGCGCGGGCGCGGCGGCGCACGGGGCAGCCCAGUCCCGGACCUAGCGGGCGAAUGCGGGAGGCGGCGAGGGAGCUGGUGCUUACCGCAGAACCAGUGGGAGCUGUUGGCCUGGUGGGGGAGGGAGAUGUCGACGCUGCGGCACACGGCGCAGCGCGUGUCGAGGGGAGGGCAGGGGCUGUUUCUACCUAUACGGCAAAACGGCCGCGAAACGGCUGGUUCUGCACGUGCCGAGCAACUGCAGCCCCAGAUCUGGGGGAGGGAGUGGGUGAGAGGGAGAGGGGGGACCACCACCAUUGUCGGCGGCGGGGACGGGUGAGCUCACCUUCAGAGAUUGUGGUCUGGAUCUCGACGCACUUGACGACGACGUUGUGGUCGUUGAGGCCCUCCUCCUCCUCGAUGAGGUAGUCGUUGUAGCCGUUCUUGGCGCCGGCGGCGGCGGAGGCGGCGCCAGGGGUGACCUUGACCUUGGAGACGAUGAACCACUAUGCGAAGGCGAAGACGAUGCCGAUGACCCCACAGACGGGGAUGAGGAUCUCCGUCCCGAGCUCCCCGAGGAUCGCCAUGGCUGGCUGGCUGACGAAACCCUAACGACGGACCGGACGACGGUGGGAGGGGUGGGAUGGGGGGACGGACGAGUCUUAUCCGUGCCGAAGGAGGCGGCGCGGGCAAGGAGAGGAAACAGAUCGAGGGAGGGAGGGAGGAGAGAAGUGGAGGAGAGGAGGAGGCGGAGCAGCGCGGCCGGUGGCUUGCGGGGCUAGGGUUUGGAGGGAGACGAGGCUGCAGGAAGAUGAGAGUGACGGCCAGGUCCUCUCCACAGAGCGCGGGGACUAGUAUGGGAUUUAAGAGGGGGCGAUAGCAAUGGCGCAUCCCCAGGGGGUGCGUCAUUAGUAACCCUGGGUACUAAUGGCGCAUCAGCUGGUGGUGCCCCAUUAGUAGUUUUGAAAAAAAAUAUAGUAGUGGCGCACCACCUACAUAUGCGCCAUCAGUAACCACUAAUGGCGCACCAGCUUGUGGUGCGCCAUUAGUAGUUUUGCAACAACAAAAAAUAUAGUAGUGCCGCACUCGGUGAGUGGUGCGCCAUUACUAGUUAAACUAGUAAUGGCGCACUCUGCUCCGGUGCGCCAUUAGUACUUUUGCAACAAAAAGAAAAUUGUAGUGGCGCACCGAGUGUGUGGUGCGCCAUUAGUGUCCAUCACACUAAUGGCACACCUGCACAUGGUGCGCCACUGCUAUAUAGUAGUGGCGCAGUACUUGUCUGGUGCGUCAUUAGUAUCUAUAUCAUCUAUAGCCCUUUUCCUAGUAGUGACAUGUGAGCUGAAUUGUCUACCAAAAGAUAUAAGUGAAGCUCGACAAAAUCACGUUGUGUGCAGGUCUCUCUCUCUAGGUGUGCAGCAAGGAUGAUUGUGACCCAACAAAAAUAAAAGAAUCCUACGAUACAAGACGCUCCAAGCAAAAACACAUAACAUGUGGUGAAUAAAAAUAUAGCCCCACGUAACGUUACCGAUGGAUUGAAGACGAGAGAGGGGAUGCCUUCCCGGGGCAUCGUCAAGCUUAGGCUUUUACGGCAUUCUUGAAUCUCUUGGGGUGCCUUGGGCAUCCCCAAGCUUGAGCUCUUGCCACUCUUUAUCUUUUCGUCCAUAAGAACUUCACUCAAAACUUGAAAACUUCACAACACGAAACUUAAACACAAACUCGUGAUAACAUUACUACAAGAAAACAAACCACCACUUCCUUAGGUACUGUAGCAAACUUAAAUUCUACUUGUGCUGAUGUUGGGUUACUGUACUUUCAAUCUUCCAUGGCUAGUACCCCCCGAUACUAUCCAUAGUUUCAUCAAAAUAAGCAACCAACACAACAAAAACAGAAUCUGUUAAAAGCAUACCAGUCUGUAGCAAUCUGUAUGUUUCGUAUACCUCUGGUACUUCAAAAAUUCUGAAAACUUACGACAGUUUGAAGAAUUUGCGUAGCAAUGAGAAGAAAAAAGAAUCAACUCCAAAUCUCUUACAGAAAAAAAAAUAUUUUCGUGAGCAGAAAGUUUCUGUCUUUCCCAGCAUGACCAAACGAUCAUCCUCAAGACUAAUCAUAACGGUUUUGCUUGGCACAAUCGCAAAAAGAAACACAAAAAACACAAUCAUAACAGAAUUACGAAAGUGUGGAAAACAAAAAGCAGAAAGAAAAAGGAUAGAUUCGUUGGGUUGCCUCCCAACAAGCGCUUUUGUUUAACGCCCUUAGCUAGGCAUUCCCUGAUGCUCUCACAAAAGACAAGAAUUGAAGCACAACGAGAGCAUCCUAACGCAUGCCAAAAUCAUAUCUAAGUCUAACAUACUUCCUAUGCAUAGGCAUUUUAUAGGAAAACAAAUUGUCAAGACAACCAAUAGCGGCCAUAUGCAAGGAAGAAGAAAGAGACAAGAGCAAUCUCAACAUCACGAGAGGUGAUGUGGUAAAAUGAAAGUUUCUACCAACAUAUUUUCCUCUCUCAUAGCAAUUACAUGUGGAUCAUAUUCGAAUUCAACAAUGUAACUAUCACAAAGGAUAUUCUUUUCAUGAUCCACAUGCAUGCAAAGUUGACGCUCUUCAAAAAUAGUGGGAUUAUCAUCAAAGAAAGUCAUGACUUCUCCAAUCCCACUUUUAGUAUUGUUGCAAAUAUCAUAUUCAUCAUGAGGUUGGAACAAAUUUUUAAGAUCAUAAGAAAGAUCAUCACCCCAAUCAUGAUUAUUGCAGAAAGUAGUGGACAAAGCAAAACUAGCAUCCCCAAGCUUAGGGUUUUGCAUAAUUUCAGCAUGAUUGUCACUAAAAGGAUUUAUGGUGAAAUCAUUGCAAUCAUGCUUUUCAUCCAAGGAGCCCUCGUGAAUCACUUUAUGAAUUUCUUCCACAUAAUUUUCAGAUUCACGCAUCUUAUGCAAAACUCCAAAGAAAUAGUCAAUUGCCCUCAACUCAAUAGCAAUUUGUUCCACACGAGUGGGUCUCAUAAAGAGACUAGCUAGUGGAUGAUGAUCCAAAUCACUAGAUUUUCAGCAAGCGAAGAUGCAAGCAUAUUGAGGGCACAUGGCACACAAGCGAACAGAAAGCAAGCGAUAGAAAAGGGUGAACAAAAAAGGCAAAGGAGAAAGGCAACUGAAAAGGCAAAUGUGAAGUGGGGGAGAGGAAAACAAGAGGAAACUGGCAACAAAAAUAAAUGCAAGAGAAGAGUUUGUGAGACCUAAUUGGAUAGAUCUUGAUUUCUCCUCCCCGGCAACGGCGCCAGAAAUACUUCUGAUGUUUGCUGUGUACCCCUAGCAAUGGUGCCAGAAAUACUUCUGCUACUGCACAAAAGACCUUCCAACGGCGCCAGAGAUAGGCACGUCGACAGGAGAAUACUUGGCUUGAUCUUUAUGUUGUGGCUACGCCUUAAGGGACUUCCUAGGAAAGUAUGCGAAGGAUUUCCCCCGUGGCCUUGGAGCUUUGCAUUGGUGUUCCCUCGAAGCGGAAAGGGUGAUGUAGCACAACGACAGUAAGUAUAUCCCUCAAUUUGAGAACCAAGGUAUCAAUGUGGCGGAAGAGUAUCUUAAGAUCCUGCACAAUCACAAAAUCUUGCACCCAACGCUAUGAAGGAGUUGUCAAUCCCUUAUAGAUUGUUUGCCAUGUGAGAAUUGAAAGCAACAAAGUAACAAAGCAAAGUAAAAGUGGAGUUGUAAACGAUGGAUGUGAAUAGACCUGUGGGACGUAGUGUUUACUAGUGGCUUCUCUCAUGAAAGCAAGUGGAUGGUGGGUGAACAAAUUACUGUCGAGCAAUUGAUAGAACUGUGCAGAGUCGCGACGAUAUCUAUGCAAUGAUUAUUUCAAUAGGCAUCAUGUCCGAGACAAGUAGACCAAUACUGUCUGCAUCUACUACUAUUACUCCACACGUCUACCACUAUCCAGCAUGCAUCUAGUGUAUUAAGUCCAUAAGAACAGAGUAACUCCUUAAGCAAGAUGACAUGAUGUAGAGGGAUAAUCUCAAACCAAUGAUAAAACCCCAUCUUUUUCACCCUUGAUGGCAACUGCUUGAUGUGUGCCUUGCUACCCCUACUGUCACUGGGAAAGGUCACCACAUGGCAGAACCCAAAACCAAGCACUUCUCCCAUUGCAAGAAUCAUAGAUCUAUUUGGCCAAACAAAACCCAAGAUUCGGAGAGACUUACAAGGAUAUAAAAUCAUGCAUAUAUGAAAUCAGCAAAGACUCAAAUAGAUAAUCUGAUCACAAGUCCACAAUUCAUCAGAUCUCGACAAACACACCGCCAAAGAAGAUUACAUUGGAUAGAUCUCCAUGAAGAUCAUGGAGAACUUUGUAUUGAAGAUCCAAGAGAGAGAAGAAGCCAUCUAGAUACUAACUACGGACCCAUAGGUCUGAAGUGAACUACUCACGAGUCAUUGGAGGGGCGAUGAUGAUGAUGAAGAAGCCAUCCACCUCCAAAGUCCCCUCCAGCAGGGCACCGGGAAGGGUCUCCUGAUGAGAUCUCGCGGAAACGGAAGCUUGCGGCGGCGGAAAAGUAUUUUCGAGGCUCCCCUGAUUUUUUGCGGAAUAUUUGGGAAUAUAUAGGCGCAAGACCUAGGUCUGGAGGCGGCUAGGGAAGCCACAAGCUUGGACAACUCCGCCUCCCCCCUGGUCGUGGGGUGGGAGCUUGUGGGCUCUCUGGUGCCCACUUGACUUGGCCCAAAGGCUCCCUAGACUUCUUUCGUUCGGGAAAAAAAAUCAUUUUGGGGUUUUUCUUCCAUUUGGACUACGUUCCAAAAUCAGAUCUGAAAAGAGUCAAAAACACGGAAAAAUAGGAACUGGCACUUGGCACUGAAUCAAUAAGUUAGUCCCAAAUAAUAUAUAAAAAGGUACAUAAAACAUACAAAGAAGGCAAGAUAAUAGCGUGAAACCAUCAAAAACUAUAGAUACGUUUCAGACAUAUCAGGCAUCCCCAAGCUUAGGCUUUUUGGUGUCCUUCAAUUUGGCUUGGGAUGCCUUGGGCAUCCCCAAGCUUGAGCUCUUUCCACUCCUUAUCUCAUCGUCCAUGAGAACAUCACCCAAAACUUGAAAACUUCACAACACAAAACUUAAACAGAAACUCGUGAUAACAUUAGCACAAGAAAACAAACUACCACUUCUUUUGGUACUGUAUAAAACUUGAAUUCCAUCUAUAUUGGUGUUGGGCUACUGUAUUCUCACUUUUCCAUGGCUAGUACCCCCAGAUACUAACCAUAGUUUCAUCAAAACAAGCAAUAAACUCAACAAAAACAGAAUCUGUCAAAAAUAGACCAAUCUGUAGCAAUCUAUAUACUUCGUAUGCUUAUGGUACCUCAAAAAAUCUGAAAAUUUACGACUGCCUGGGCAAAAGGCAUAUCAACUAGCAGAAAAACGAAUAAACUCAAAAGCACUUUCUGAAUAAAAAUGAAAAAUCAUCUCAUGAGCGAAAAGUUUCUGUCUGUUUCUAGCAGGAUCAAACAACCAUUACCAAGACUAGUCAUAAAGGUUUUUCUAGGCUGAAACACAAAAAGAAACACAAACAAACACUAUCAGAACAGAAUUGUGAUGGUGUGGACGCAACAAACAGAAAGAAAAAGAUAAAUUCAUUGGUUUGCCUCCCAACAAGCGCUAUUGUUUAACGCCCUUAGCUAGGCAUAAAAGCGAUAGAAUCACGUAUCGUCGUCUUUGGUGCUCAAACUAUUAGUAGCGUGAUCACUUAUCAUCUUAAGGUUUUCAUCUUUCUUGAUAGAUGAUUCACCACUAUUUUUGGGAACCAAAACAAACUUGGUGACCUUAUUGUGGGCAAAGUUUGGAGUAUUCUGCACAGCGCCAAAAGCGGAACCCAAGUUGGUUAUAACAUCCUCUAGUUUGCCAAUCCUAGCGGAAUCAUGACCUAGUUUUUCGUUAACUGUGGGUUCCUUCUCCUUUAAAUUUUUCAAAACCAUUCCCACCUUGGAUCCGUACUGAGUGAUUUGAUUGUGGAUCUUUUUAUCCAAAUUCUCAAUGAGUUCUAUCGUAGCAACUUUAUUUUCAAUGACGUCCCGCCUACGCAUCACAUGUUCCAGAGUUAAGGUAGUUCCAUUAACCAUGAGUGGGGGUGAGCCUACCAAAUUUAUGAUAGAUCCGUAAGAAUCAACGGUAUGGCUACCCAUGAAAUUUCCACCUACGAUGGUGUCAAGAAUAUACCUAUUCCAAGGAGAAACAACCACGUAAAAACUACGAAGUAGGACGGUAGUGGAUUGCUUAUGAGUAGAUCUACUCUAAGCAUUGCAAAUCCUAUACCAAGCGUCCUUUAAGUUUUCUUCCUCAAUUUGUUUGAAAUUUAGGACUUCGCUCUCGGGAGUAUCAUUCGAAGUGGUGGAUCUAGCCAUGAGGACAUGUAGACUAUCCCACACAGACGAACAGAAAGCAAGCGAGAGAAAGGGGCACACGAAAAGGCAAACGAAAAAGGCAAAUUGGUGAAGUGGGGGAGAGGAAAUGAGAGGCAACUGGCAAACAAAGUAAAUGCAAGAGAUGAGUUUGCAACACCUACUUGGAUGAGUUCUUUACUUGAUCUUCCUCCCCGGCAACAACGCCAUAAAUCCUUCUGCUACGUCAACAAAAGUCGUUCCCCGAGAGUGGUGCCAGAGAUCCUUUCGUCGUCUCUUGAGCUCGCGUUAGUUUUCCCUUGAAGAGGAAAGGGUGAUGCAGCACAGGAGCAGUAAGUAUUUCCCUCAGUUUCAGAACCAAGGUAUCGAUCCAGUAGGAGGGUCUCGUCAAGUCCAGAGUACCUGCGCAAACACAAACAAGCUUGCACCCAACGCUUCAAAGGGGUUGUCAAUCCCUUCAAGUUUGUUUGCAAAGUGAGAUCUGAAGGUGGAAAGUGCAACGAAGUAAAAAGUGUAAGGCUGAAAAUAUGGUGUGGAGUAGACCCGGGGCCAUAGUGUUCACUAGAGGCUUCUCUCAAAAUAGCAAGUAUCACGGUGGGUAAACAAAUUACUGUCGAGCAAUUGAUAGAACUGCGCAAAGUCAUGACGAUAUCUAAGGCCAUGAUCAUACAUAUAGGCAUCAUGUCCGCGACAAGUAGACUGAUACUUUCUGCAUCUACUACUAUUACUCCACACAUCGACCGCUAUCCAGCAUGCAUCUAGUGUAUUGAGUUCAUGACGAACAGAGUAAUGCUUUAAGCAAGAUGACAUGAUGUAGAGGGAUAAUAUCAAACCAAUGACGAAAACCCCAUCUUUUUACCCUUGAUGGCAACAACAUGAUGCGUGCCUUGCUACCCCUUCUGUCACUCGGUGAGGUCACCACACAGUAUGAACCCAAAACCAAGCACUUCUCCCAUUGCAAGAAUCAUAGAUCUAAUUGGCCAAACGGAACCCACAACGCGAAGAGAAUUACAAGGAUAUGAAAUCAUGCAUAAGAGAGAUUAGAAGAAACUCAGUUAAGAUACAUAGAUAAUCUGAUCAUNNNNNNNNNNNNNNNNNNNNNNNNNNNNNNNNNNNNNNNNNNNNNNNNNNNNNNNNNNNNNNNNNNNNNNNNNNNNNNNNNNNNNNNNNNNNNNNNNNNNNNNNNNNNNNNNNNNNNNNNNNNNNNNNNNNNNNNNNNNNNNNNNNNNNNNNNNNNNNNNNNNNNNNNNNNNNNNNNNNNNNNNNNNNNNNNNNNNNNNNNNNNNNNNNNNNNNNNNNNNNNNNNNNNNNNNNNNNNNNNNNNNNNNNNNNNNNNNNNNNNNNNNNNNNNNNNNNNNNNNNNNNNNNNNNNNNNNNNNNNNNNNNNNNNNNNNCAUCGGAUAGAUCUACAUGAAAAUCAUGGAGAACUUUGUAUUGAAGAUCCAAGAGAGUGAAGAAGCCAUCUAGUUACUAGCUAUGGACCCGUAGGUCUAUGGUGAACUACUCACGCAUGAUAGGAGAGGUCAUGGUGUUGAUGAACAAGCCCUCCGUAUCCGAAUCCCCCCUCCGGCAGAGCACCAGAACGUGCCCCAGAUGGGAUCUUGUGGAGACAGAAGCUUGCGGCGGCGGAAAAGUACUUUCGGUGAUCUCCUGAUUUUUUGGUAUUUUUAGGGAAUAUAUAGGCGCAACCCCUAGGGCAGAGGGCGUCCAGGGGGCCCACAAGCCUAUGGGCCACGGCCUCCCCCUGGCCGCGGGGUGAGGGCUUGUGGGGCCCCUGGGCCCUCCUGCCUUGGCUCUCAAGUCUCCUGAUCUUCUUCCGUUAUGGAAAAAUUCUUUUUGGGGAUUUUAUUCCGUUUGGACUCCGUUUCAAAAUGUCCUCUGAAAGGGGUCAAAAACAUGGAAAAAACAGGAACUGGCACUUGGAACUGAGUUAAUAAGUUAGUCCCAAAAAAUAUAUAAAAGGCAUGCAAAACAUCCAAAGUUUGACAAGAUAAUAGCAUGAAACCAUCAAAAAUUAUAGAUACGUUGGAGACGUAUCACUUCCCAUUUAGAGAGAAGCUUGCCUGCAAAAAAUCUUAAAUGAGAAUUAUAUAGCAAGACAUAAUCACCUACAUUGAACUCACGCUUUUGUAUCCUCUUAUCCUGCCACCUCUUAACCUUUUCUUUGAACAACUUGGCAUUCUCGUAUGCCUGAGUCGUCCAUUCAUCAAGCGAGCUAAUGUCAAAUAACCUCUUUUCACUAGCAAGUUUGAAAUCAAAGUUGAGCUCUUUGAUUGCCCAAUAAGCUUUAUGCUCUAGCUCAAGAGGUAAAUGACAUGCUUUACCGUACACCAUUUUGUACGGAUACAUGCCCAUGGGAUUCUUAUAGGCAGUUCUAUAAGCCCACAGUGCAUCAUCUAGCUUCUUAGACCAAUUCUUUCUAGACGUGUUGACAGUCUUUUGUAGAAUUAGUUUAAUCUCUCUAUUGCUUAGCUCUACUUGAUCACUGGACUAAGGGUGAUAGGGGACGCAAUUCUAUGGUUGACAUCAUACUUAGCAAGCGUUUUACGGAAAGAACCAUGAAUGAAAUGUGAACCACCGUCGGUCAUUAGAUAUCUAGGGAAAAUAACUUCUUUAAGCAUCCUGAUAGAAGUGGUGUGAUCAAAACUAAUAGUGGGGAUAGCUUCUACCUACUUAGUGAUGUAGUCAACAGCAACCAGGAUGUGAGUAUACCCGUUGGAUUUUGGAAAAGGUCCCAUAUAAUCAAAGCCCCGGACAUCAAAUGGUUCAAUGACAAGUGAAAAGUUCAUAGGCAUUUCCUAACGUUUACCGAUGUUACCUACUCUUUGACAUUCGUCACAAGACAAGACAAACUUACGGGCAUCCUUGAAGAGAGUGGGUCAAUAGAAACCUGAUUGCAAUACCUUGUGUGCAGUUCUAUCUCCCGCAUGGUGUCCUCCAUAGGCCUCGGAGUGACACUUCUGUAGGAUAUGUCCCUGUUCAUGUUCAGGUACACAACGUCUAAUAACACCAUCUACUCCUUCCUUAUAAAGGUGAGGAUCAUCCCAAAAGUAAUGUCUCAAGUCAAAGAAGAAUUUCUUCUUUUGCUGGUAUGUGAAACUAGGUGGUAUAUAUUUGGCGACGACAUAGUUUGCAUAAUCAGCAUAGCAUGGUGCACUAUGUGAAGUAUUGAUGACAUUCAAUUGCUCAUCGGAAAAGCUAUCAUCAGGUUGUGGGUCAUCAAGAACGUUCUCUAACCUAGACAAGUUAUCUGCUAUGGGAUUAUCAACACCCUUCCUGUCGACAACGUGCAAAUGAAAUUCUUGUAGCAAGAGAACCCAUAUGAUAAGUCUAGGUUUAGCGUCCUUCUUCUCCAUGAGGUACUUAAUAGCAACAUGAUUAGUGUGAAUAGUGACUUUUGAAUCAACUAUGUAAGACCUGAACUUUUCCCAUGCAAACACGACUGCUAAGAACUCCUUUUCCGUAGUGGAAUAGUUUCUCUGGGCAUUGUCUAGAGUUUUACUAGCAUAGUGAAUAACAGUCAACUUCUUGUCAACUCUUUGCCCUAGGACAACACCAACAACACAAUGCUAGCAUCACACAUGAUCUCAAAAGGUAGGUUCCAAUCAGGUGGUUGAACAAUAGGUGCAGUUAUCAAAGCCUUCUUAAGUAUUUCGAAGGCUUCCUCACAAUCAUCGUCAAAAACAAAAGGAAUAUCCUUUUGCAAGAGAUUGGUAAGAGGCCUAGAAAUCUUAAAGAAGUCUUUAAUGAACCUUCUAUAGAAACCAACAUGACCAAGGAAACUUCUUCUACCUUUGAUAUCUAUGGGGUAUGGCAUUUUAUCGAUUGCAUCAACCUUAGCCUUAUCGACUUCAAUACCUCUUUCAGAAAUCUUAUGUCCUAAGACGAUGCCUUCAUUAACCAUAAAGUGGCACUUCUCCCAGUUCAAGACAAGAUUGGUGUCUUUACAUCUCUGCAAGACUCGAUCAAGGUUGCUGAAGCAAUCAUCAAAGGAAGACCCGUAAAUGGAGAAGUCAUCCAUGAAAACCUCAACAAUCUUUUUACAAAAGUUAGAGAAUAUAGCCAUCAUACAUCUUUGAAAGGUGGCAGGUGCAUUACAUAAGCCAAAAGGCAUACGUCUAUAAGCAAAGGUACCGAAAGGGCAGGUGAAAGUGGUUUUGUCCUGAUCAGAUUGUGCAACUGGUAUUUGGGAGAAACCAGAAUAACCGUUUAGAAAGCAGAAGUGUGUGUGUUUAGACAGUCUUUCUAGCAUUUGGUCGAUAAAAGGCAAAGGGUAAUGAUCUUCAUAGUGGCUUUAUUCAAUUUCCUAAAAUCGAUCACCAUCCUAUAGCUCGUAAUAAUCCUCUCUAGGAUCAAUUCAUCCUUAUCAUUAGGGACAACGGUAAUGACUCCCUUCUUAGGGACGCAAUGCACCGGACUCACCCAAUGGCUUUGAGCAACAGGAUAGAUAAUACCUGCUUCUAGGAGCUUUAGUAUUUCUUUUCUUACUACCUCUUUCAACUUAGGAUUUAAUCUCCGUUGAUGAUCAACAACUGGUUUGAAAUCAGGAUCAGUUUUAAUCUUGUGCUGGCAUAGAGUGGGACUAAUGCCCUUAAGAUCAUCAAGAGUAUAUCCAAUAGCAGCACGGUGCUUUCUCAGAGAUUUACUAACUUCUUUUCUUCAUGCUCUGAGAGGCUAGCAUGAAUUAUAACAUGAUAUAUCUCUUUUUCAUCAAGAUAGGCAUACUUAAGAGUAUCAGGCAACUGUUUAAGCUCGAACACAUGAUCACCCUUUAGUGGGGGCGGAUCCCCAAGCAGUUCAACAGGCAAGUUAUUCUUAAGGAUAGGAUAUUGUUCUAAGACAACUCUAUCUAUCUCAUCCCUUUCAUCCAUAUGCAUAUCAUUUUCAUGCUCAAGCAAGUAUUGCUCUAAUGGAUCAGUAGAAGGCAUGACAAUAGAAGCUAAGGUAACAGUUUCAUCCUUACUAGGUAACUCCUUUUCACGAGGUUGUCAACCAAACUUGGAGAAAUUGAACUCAUGUGACACACCUUCAAAGCCAACAGUAACAGUUUGCUUCUCACAAUCAAUAUGAGCAUUGACAGUAUUGAGAAAAGGUCUUCCAAAUAUGAUGGGACAAAAAGCUAUCUUGUGCGGUAGCAAGAACGAGGAAAUUAGCAGGAUACUUCGUUUUACCACACAAGACUUCAACAUCCCAAACAAUUCCCACAGGGCAGAUAGUAUCUCUAUUGGCAAGCUGAAUAGUGACAUCAAUAGGCUCUAUGUCAACAGGUGCAAUCUCGUCUUAAUUUCACCGUAUAAGGAUUGAGGUAUUGCACUAACACUGGCACCCACGUCACAUAAACCAUGAUAACAAUGAUCUCCUAUCUUAACAAAAACAACAAGCCAACAAUAGGCCUAUGUUUGUCUCUAGCGUGAGGUUUAGCAAUUCUAGCAGCAUCUUCACAGAAGUGAAUAUUAUGUCCCACAACAUCGUCGGACAGGAGAUCUUUGAUAAUAGCGAUGCUAGGUUCAACUCUAAUUUGCUCUGGGGGUGUAGGUGCUCUAAUGUAGCCUCUACGUAUCACAGUUGAAGCUUUAGAAUGAUCCUUAUCCUAACAGGGAAAGGUGGUUUCUCAAUGUAAGCACUGGGAACAAUAGGAUCACUAUAGGCAAUGACUUUCUCUUCAACUGGAUUGGGUUUAACUACAUUGACUUCUAAAGGAGGAUGAUAUUUAAACCACUUCUCUUUGGGGAGAUCAAUAUGAGCAGCAAAUGAUUCACACAAUGAAGCUACUAUCUCAGAGUCAAGUCCAUACUUAGCGCUAAAGUCACAAAAAGUAUUUGUUUCAACAAAGGAUUUAACGCAAUCAAACUGGAAAUUCAUACGUGACUCCUUACCUUCUUCAAGCUCCCAAUCUUCAGAGUUGUGUUUAAUUCUCUCCAAUAAAUUCCAUCUGAAGUCAAUAUCUCUCUUCAUAAAAGAACUGGUAAAAGAAGUGUCAAGCAUGGUGCGAUCAUCAUGAGAAAGCCGAGCAUAGAAGUUCUGAAUGAUAAUUUCUCUCGAGAGCUCAUGGUUGUGGCAUGAAUAUAACAUUGAUUUAUGCCUCCCCCAAGCUUGAGCGAUGCUUUCUCUAUCACGAGGCCAAAAAAUAUAAAUAUAAUUCUGAUCACGAUGUACUAAAUGCAUAGGAUAAAACUUUUGAUGAAAUUCCAAUUUCAACUGAUUGUAGUUCCAUGAUCCAGUAUCAUCACAUAGCCUAUACCAUGUCAACGCCUUAUCCUGCAAAGAUAAAGGAAAGACCUUCUUCUUGACCUCAUCCUCGGGCAAACCUGCAAGCUUAAAUAAACCACAAACUUCAUCUACACAGAUUAGAUGCAAGUGUGGAUGUGAUGUUCCAUCUCGUGUAAAAGGAUUAGCCAACAGUUUUUCAAGCAUACCCGAAGGAAAUUCAAAGAAAAUAUUUUCAGUAGGUGCAGCAGGUUGAGGAGCAAAUAUUUGUGCUUCUGUUCGAGGUGCAUAUACCCCGAACAAGCCUUUCAAAGGAUUAGUUCCCAUAGUGACAAGUGACAAUAAAUUUCAGCACACUAUAUGAAUGCUUCCCUACCAAGUUCCACUUACCAAAGGCGCUUCACUCCCCGGCAACGGCGCCAGAAAAGAGUCUUGAUGACCCACAAGUAUAGGGGAUCUAUCAUAGUCCUUUCGAUAAGUAAGAGUGUCGAACCCAACGAGGAGCAGAAGGAUCUGACAAGUGGUUUUCAGCAAGGAAAUAUCUGCAAGCACUGAAAUUAUCGGUAACAAGUGAUUGUGUGGUGAGAUAAUUCGUAGAAAGAAACAAGUAACAAAUGUUGCAACGGUGCACCAAAGUGCCCAAUCCUUUUGUAGCAAGGGACCAGCCUGGACAAAGUCUUAUAGGAGGAAAACGCUCCCGGGGACAGAGGGAAUUUCUGUCAUGCUAGUUUUCAUCAUGUUCACAUGAUUCACGUUUGUUACUUUGAUAGUUUGAUAUGUGGGUGGACCGACGCUUGGGUACUGCCCUUAGUUGCACAAGAAUCCCACUUAUGAUUAACCCCUCUCGCAAGCAUCCGCAACUACGAAAGAAGAAUUAAGACAAAGUCUAACCAUAUCAUUAAAGUAGUGGAUCCAAAUCAGCCCCUUACGAAGCAACGCAUAAACUAGGGUUUAAGCUUAUGUCACUCUAGCAACCCACCAUCUACUUACUACUUCCCAAUGACUUCCUCUAGGCCCAAAUAAUGGUGAAGUGUUAUGUAGUCGAUGUUCACAUAACACCACUAGAGGAAAAACAACAUACAACACAUCAAAAUAUCGAACGAAUACCAAAUUCACAUGACUACUAUUAGCAUGACUUAUCCCAUGUCCUCAGGAACAAAAGUAACUACUCACAAAGCAUUAUCAUAUUCAUGAACAGAGAGGUAAUGAGUAGCAUCAAGGAUCUGAAAAUAAACUCUUCCACCAAGUAAUGCAACUAGCAUCAACUACAAAGAGUAAUUAACACAAUUAGCAACGUUACAAGUGCCAAUCGGAGUCGCGAGACGGAGAUUGGUUACAAGAGAUGAACUAGGGUUUGGAGAUGAGAUGGUGCUGAUGAAGAUGUUGAUGGUGACGAGUCCCCUCCGAUGAGAGGAGUCUUGGUGAUGACGAUGGCGACGAUUUCCCCCUCCGGGAGGGAAGUUUCCCCGGCAGGAUCGUCCUGCUGGAGCUCUAGAUUGGUUAUGCUCAAGUUCCGCCUCGUGGCGGCAGCAAAUCCUCAAAAAAGCCUCCUCCUGAUUUUUUUCGGAACGAAACCCUUCAUAUAGCAGAAGAGGGGGGGGGGCAGAGGGCCAGCUGGGUGCCCACAAGCGCCCUAGGCGCGGCCAGGGGGUGGCCGCGCCUAGCACGCUUGUGGCCACCUGCUAGCGCCCCUCUCACACUUCUCCGGUCCAGUAUUUUUUAUAAAUCCCGAAAAAAUACUCGUUUAUUUUUACGGCGUUUGGAGUUGCGCACAAUAGGUAUCUCAAACUUGCUCCAUUUUCAGGCCAGAAUUCCAGGUGCCAGCAUUCUUCCUCUUCAUGUAAACCUCGCAAAAUAAGAGAGAAAAGGCAUAAGUAUUGUACCGUGAGGUGAAAUGACAGCCCAGGAAGCGAUAAAUAUUAACAUGAAAGCCUGAUGUAAAAUGGACGUAUCAUGGAGAUGUAGCCCACAUGACUGUUAUCAGGAUAAAUUUACAAAUGGUUUUAUAUUUAUAUAAAAAGCCAAAAAAAUAUCUGAAAUUAGAAAAUAAAUGAAAUAGAAAAAAGGAAAAAGAACAAACCUCGCCACUUACCUGGCUAGCCCAGCCCCCAGGGGCAACCCCGUCUUCUACCUCCAGCCAGUAGGCAGAGGAGAGGCGUGGCGUGCACCCGAGAGCCUCGGCCACUUCCUGCUUCGUCGUGGCUCAGUCCCCCUUCUAGCGAGUCCACGGAGGCCCCGAUGCCCUAUCCCUUAUCCCCUCUGGUCUCUCCCUCUUGCUUUCUUCCUAUCCCUCUUCUCCCUCUCGCUCGGACCAGAGCGCGCUGCCGUCACCAUCGGGCACCACCACAGCCAUCGUCACUUCUACGCCCCCCUGAGCUGCUCAUCGCCUCCGCCACCACGAGUGCUCUUCCUCGCUGGAAUAAUUGAGCUCAGUCGCCCCUGCAUCGCUGCCAGCCAUGUCGUCUUCAACCUCCGGUCGUCGACAACCGCGUCGCCGAUUCGCCAGCUAGAAGGCCUCCCUGAGGUCGUCGUUGGCUCUAUCCUCCUCGUGAUGAGCCGCACAACCCAUUCCCCUAUCCCCGUGGUCCUCCCGUGCCCCUAGCUGCAGCUGCCGCCGAGCCCGCGCCGCUGACGCCGCCCAACUUAUCAUCGGCGCCAAAUCCGGCCGCCCUAGCUCCUCGUGUUGGGCGUGUUGGGUGAGGCCGAGCCUGGGCUUAAUCCUAGAGCUCUCGGCGCCUGGAUCCAUGCUCUGUAGCGCCAAUUAGGGCAACUCCGGUGAGCCCCCGCUACGUAUUCGGUCGCUGUCGGCCAGACUCCGGUGGGCGCCCACGUGGCGUGGCCAUUAGUCCUAAUCGCCCCCAUCAGCCACUAACCAGCGUGCCCGCAGGUGGUCAAACCCCCAAUUAGGGCGGGUCAGCACGGGGAUUAGCCCCGGGUCACUGAACAGUGGCCCCUACUGGUCAGGUUUGACCUGGCACUUGGUCGGUUGACUUGCUCAUGCAGUAAACCAUUUCUGGAUUUAUUUAAUUCCAGAAAAUGUUCAAAACUUCAAAAGUUCAUAGAAAUUCAACCAUAGCUCCAAAUGAAGUAUAUUAUUUAUGAAAAGUUAUCAAAAAUGCAAGGAAUCAGAUGGUACCAUUUUCAUGACUGUUUGAACAACUUAAACUUGUUGAAUAUGAAAAUUUCAAUAAAUACAUAUGAAUGGUUAUAAAUGGGUUUGAAAUUGAUCUAUAAUGAUCAAAUAACUUCCAUUUAACUUAUGACCACCUGCAUUAGACAAAACCAAAAUCAUGUUAACAUGCCAUACUCAUGCAUCAUUGUGAAGAAUUUGUCGUGCCUAAAUUCUUACUUGUUUGAUCUUGUUGAUAGACCUGCGAGAUGUAUUUAUCACUGACAUCAAAGAAUAGCUGAGUUCUUCUGACCAAUGAAAUCGCACUCUAUCGCUCUUGCUCUCGUUUCAAUGCAUUAGGACAAGAUGAUUCAAGUGCUACUUGUGUUACGUAGAUGAACCCAUUCCUUUGCAUGACCUAUCAUUGUUACAGUAAAUAGCUAAACCAAGAUACCUAGCAUACCUAGUAGAUGCAUGAGACAUGUUGUGCCAUUACCCUGUUAUGCUUGCUAUGCUUAGAGUUGAGCUGGUUUGAUCAUCUGGGUGAUGAAUUGGAAUGAUCAUGUCCUACCGAUGAGGGUUAAGUAUGUGAACCUCUUUCGGUAAACGUAGCAAUGAGAGGACAUGUAGGAGUACGUGGUGGGUUGUCUCAUUUAUUUCGCACUCACCACCCGAGAUCUUGUGUUGGUGUGCCAAGACUAGCUACUACCGCACAUUGAGUUCCGGUAACUCAACCCCUGUCGGCCUAUUUGUUGGGUAAUGUAGCAAAAUUCAAAAAAAUUUCUAUGCCAUAUUAAGAUCUUCCUAUGGAGAAACCAACAACGAGAGAGGGGUGAGAGCAUCUUCAUACCUUUGAAGAUCGCUAAGCGGAAGCGUUUCUAGAACGCGGUUGAUGGAGUCGUACUCGCUGCGAUUCAAAUCAUGGUGUGAUUCCGAUCUAGUGUUGAACCACUCCACCUCCACGUUCAACACACGUGCAUUCCGGUGACAUCUCCCGCACCUUGAUCCGGCAAGGAGGAGGGAGAGGUUGGGGAAGAGCUCCGACAACACGACGGCGUGGUGGCGAUGGAGCGACAAGGUCUCCCGCAGGGCUUUGCCAAGCACCGUGGGACACGAGGAAGAAGAGAAGCAGGGCUGCGCUGAGAGAGAUAGAAAUUUUCGUGUCUCCAAUGGCCAAAACCCACUAUAUAUAGGGGGAAGGGCAGGGUGGCGCCCCCUUAGGGUUCCCACCCCUAAGGGGUGCGGCAGCCCUAGAUGGGGCAGGAGGUGGCGGCCAGGAGGGGAGGAGGGGGUGGAGCACCCCCUGGUGGGCCUUAGGCCCACCUGACUUAGGGUUGCCCCAUUCCCUCUCUUGGCGCCUUGGGCUGGGUGUGGGGGGCGCACGAGCCCACCCAGGGGCUGGUUCCCUCUCACACUUGGCCCAUGUAGCCUCCCGGGGCUGGUGGCCCCUCCCAGUGGGCCUCCGGAGCCUUUCCGGUGGUCCCGACACAUUGCCGGUGGUGCCCGAAACAUUUCCGGCGUCCAAACCCAUCCAUCCUAUAUAUCAAUCUUUACCUCCGGACCAUUCCGGAGCUCCUCGUGAUGUCCGGGAUCUCAUCUGGGACUCCAAACAACUUUCGGUAACCUCGCAUAACAAUUCCCUACUACCCUAGCGUCAUCGAACCUUAAGUGUGUAGACCCUACGGGUUCGGGAGGCAUGCAGACAUGACCGAGACACCUCCCUGGCCAAUAAACACCAGCGGGAUCUGUAUACCCAUGGUGGCUCCCAUAUGUCCCACGAUGAUCUCAUCGGAUGAACGACGAUGUCAAGGAUUCAAUCAAUCCCUUAUACAAUUCCCUUUGUUUGUCGGUAUAGAACUUGCCCGAGAUUCGAUCGUCGGUAUCCCUAUACCUUGUUCAAUCUCAUUACCAGUAAGUCUCUUUACUCGUUCCGUAGCACAUCAUCCCGUGACUAACUAUUUAGUCACAUUGAGCUCAUUAUGAUGAUGUUCUACCGAGUGGGCCCAGAGAAACCUCUCCGUCACACGGAGUGAUAAAUCCCGAUCUCGAUUCGUGCCAACCCAACAGAUACUUUCGGAGAUACCCGUAGUGCACCUUUAUAGUCACCCAGUUACGUUGUGACGUUUGAUACACCCAAAGCACUCCUACGGUAUCUGUGAGUUGCACAAUCUCACGGUUGAAGGAAAAGAUACUUGACAUUAGAAAAGCUUUAGCAUACGAAAUACACGAUCUAGUGCUAUGCUUAGCAUUGGGUAUUGUCCAUCACAUCAUUCUCCUAAUGAUGUGAUCCCGUUAGCAAUGACAUCCAAUGUCCAUGAUCAAGAAACCACAACCAUCUAUUGAUCAACGAGCUAGCCAACUAGAGGCUUGCUAGGGACACAUUGUGAUCUAUUUAUUCACACAUCUAUUAUUGUUUCCUGUUAAUACAAUUAUAUCAUGAAAAAUAGACAAUUAUCAUGAACAAGAAAAUAUGAUAAUAACCAUUUUAUUAUUGCCUCUCCGUUGUUGACCGACACUUGCUUUGUUGGGUUAUGUAUGCAUGUUCCUGUACGGAUGUGCCACUUGGGUUUAAAGCUAGUCAUGUCUAUCCGGGUUCUCUGACAUAUGAUUGUUGGUGACAUAGUCAUAUACGUGAGCCAAAAGACGCAAACGGUCCCCGCCAAGCUAAGGUGGCAGCCAUGGUGAUUAUCAUGCGUGAGGCCACAAAGUGAUAUAAUGUGUUACAAGCUGGAAUUGUAUGACUUAGGAUCGGGGUCCCGACACACAUACUCUUUUUUCACACCUAUUUUUUCUUAGAUUAGUUUUUUACCUACUUUUUUUAUCUAGGUCAGUUUUUAAGUCAGAACAAUGUCGAGAAAUUGAAAUGAACAUUCUUGAAUCCAAAUAAAUGGUUAUGAAUUCAGAAAAAAAUCAUGAAUUAAAAAAUUAUGAUGAAUUCAUAAAAAUGUGCAUUAAUUCAUGAAAAUGUUCGCACAUUUGAAAAAGAACAUUAACUCAAAAUUUAUUAAAUGUUUAUUUUCUAGUAAUUUGUGAAUGUUAUUCGAUUUUUCUGAAACAUGUGUGCUUCUUGGAAAAGGACAAAAACAGUGCUUCCAAGGAAAGCAAAGAUUUGUUUUUAAGAGAAACACAACUAUUUUUUUUAAAUGGAAAAAAUAGUACGUCCACAAGAAACACUAUUCGCCUCUUGUGGAAGAACAUACUUCUUUUGCUUCUUCGAAAAAAUGAAAAAAAUUGCGUCUAUGAAAAGCAAAAUUUCAUUUCUUGCGGAAGCACAUAUUUGGUUGCACGAGAAUCACAACUCGGGAUAAAAAUGUGAUCCUUGAAAAGAGAAAAAAAGUGAAAACCACAAUCCUGUUUCCGGGUUUAGUUUUUUUCAAACUUUUUUGUUGUUAUUUUUUCCCAUUAUUUUUGUUUUUAGGUUUCUGUUUUUUCAGGUUUUGUUGAUUUUUUAGUCAAAAUCUAUUAACUUUAGAUGCAUGGUUCAAGAGAUAAACAUUUUAAACAAACAAAUCUAUGAAAAAAGAAGGACAUCUCGGUGCGACAAGUGGCGCACAUGCAAUGCACAACAUGUAAGAGCCUAACAAGAUGAUGGUGACCUUUAGAAAGGAUAUCCCUUAACAAGUGAUUUUAGAGUUUCUAGCAGGUAGGUCACUAUAUAGGGUCUCCCAUCGAGUAAGCCAUCCGAUUGUAAGAAUUCUAUUCCGCUCAUACUGCACAUAAUAGUUAUUUUGCGCACUUAGCAGUUGUGAGCGAACGAUGUGCGCUAGUUCUUUUUUUGCUCCCUUUAUUUUUUCUGCUUCUCUGUUUGUGAUGUUUUUGUUUUAUUUUCUCUCUUCAUCCUCCUACUUAUUUCUUGUAUUUUAAUUUUACCCUUAGUUUUUUCUUCCUUAGUUUUGACCAUGUUGCCUUUUAUCAUAUUAUCUUUUAGUACCAGAUGACCAUGUUUUCAUUUCCAGCUUUUCAUUUCUUAGAUAUUUUUCCUUUUCGACGUUUUAAUAACUUGAUGAAUUUCUUACCUAAUGAACAAUUUUAAUUAAACUAUUAGAAUAUUAAAAUAUGUGAUGACCAUAUUUUGUUACACAAUUUCCAUACCUCUAAUAGGAAAUUCACAUAUUGUCAACUAUGUGAUGAUUCUUUCCAAAUUUCGACCACAGUUCUUUAAUAUAGAAUACAUAUUUUUUCUUUGAAAUAGGUGACACAUAGUUUUCAUAUGCACCAUAUCCCAUUAGAAGUUUGAGUUGCUAAAUUUUUAAUUGGCGAGUGCCUAGGCACGAGACAGGAGGUAUCAUCGAAGAGAGGAGCAGUGUCACAUCACUUCACGACCAAGGGACGGUCUCAUUCAGGAAAGGAGGACUAGCAAGCAGAAUUUAGCAACAACACAUGCAUACCACACCUAAUUUCCGUCUACCAAAAAUUUGAGGAUUUUUCUUAAAAGACAUAAGUAGAAAAUACACACCUCACACAUAUAUGAAUGCCUUUAGUACUAAAGUAGAUCUUGCUCCCUAAAUAGAAACUGGACCUCGGUCGGGUGGAUGUUUUGGCCGGUUUUGUAUGCAUUCACCAGAUUUAGCGUCUAUGGAGCUCCAAUGGCUGAUGGCCUCACUAUCAUACCACUUGCCCCGACCCUGGGUCAUCGCCUAUAUAAAUGUAAUGCAAUGCAAGUAUCUCGAUCAACACUAGUGUUGGUGGUCCAACUAUCAAAGAGAAAUCGACAACAAGAUGGAUGCCAAGCGCAAGGCCGAGUCGCUGCUCGUCAUCACCCUUGUGGUGGCGGAGGCCACAUCACCUUUGUUGGUGGCCUCGGGGCAUGAGAAGGCUACUCCCACUUGCCUCACCGAGUACUCCAAGCUCUGUGGCAAGGGCGAAAAAAGGACGCCACGUGCACCGCCAUGGUCGACAAGGCAUGCAGCACUGAGGCAACUAGUGUCACCUUCAUCGAGCGCUUGUUCACAGAGCUCGCCAAGGUCGGGGAAAAGAAGGAAGAAGUCUUUAAUCUAGAAACUUCUGGAGGACAGGAUGCCCUGAAAGAAUCCGUCGACAAGCAUGGUGGCUGCCCUGGCGACAAGACUGUCAAGGACUAUUCUACCCAAUGUGGCGCCGACUGCGACAAGGCAUGCAUUGAUCCUACUUGCACCGACCACUGCUACGUCGACUGCCCAUACAUGGCUGCAAGAUUUUCCUACAUCAUGGCCACCCCCGCCAAUAAUAAAGCCAUAGAGAAAGACAUGGAUUUCUUCAAGCAUUGCGCAAAGGGAAAGGAUAGCUCAGAUAACAAGUGUCGCGAUACAUGCAAGCUGAUUUCUUCUACCCCUACACCCGCCCCGGCCAAAGCCGCUUGAAAAUGCAUCUAUUUAUUCCUUCUUUUGGCGAAUUGAAAAUGCUUCUAUUCUAUCAUGGUAAUUUAUUCAUGUUCGGCAUGUAUUCAUCUUUUUGUUUUGUUUUUGCUAUUCUAAAUCAAUAAAUAAAAGGACGGUACUCGGAAUAUUUUUCUCUAUAAGUCUCAAAUGUCAUGUUUGAAUGGCACUAGAACAUCGCCCUCGCAUAAUAAAA
Molecule: long non-coding RNA, 137367 nt
Filed under: Hordeum vulgare
Lineage: Eukaryota; Viridiplantae; Streptophyta; Magnoliopsida; Poales; Poaceae
Description: long non-coding RNA (HVUL_LNC006586)
Rfam family: MIR1120/MIR1122 microRNA precursor family (bases 2711-2811)
Source: RNAcentral